GGAUCUUCCCAAUUAGAUGAUUUGAGGAGAGAUCAAGUUGUUGCAGUUGAAUUGCUUUCCCAAGUUGAGGUGGUAUAGCACCAGAAAUUUUAUUGUUGGAGAUGUUCAGGUUUGUGAGCAUGUGGCACUCCCCCCAUUUCUCAGAAAGCUCACCAUAAAAAUUGUUAUUGCUCAGAUCAAUAUAAUUUAGAUUAGGGUAUACACCAAAACUUUCGGCUAUGUCUCCAGUAAGUUGGUUUUUUUCAAGCCUAACUCUGAAUAAGCUAGUGCAAUUUUUCAAGCUCUUUGGAAUAGGACCAGUGAAAUGGUUCAUUUGGGCUGAAACUUUUUCAAGAGCAUUACCAAGGCAUAUCUCUUGUGGUAGGUGGCCAAUGAAGUUAUUCUCAGCAAUUUGCAAAGAUUUCAAAUGAGUGAUAUUAUUCAUUUCUAGAGGAAUGGCACCACUGAGUCUGUUGUAAUGAAGGGCCAAAAAGUUUAAGCCGGACAAGUUUCCAAAGGAUGGAGGGAUCAGACCAGUGAGACUAUUAUUUGCCAACUCAAGAUCAUUAAGUGAUGUCAACAAUCCAAUCUCUUGAGGAAUAGAACCGGAUAGUUUGUUUGUAUGAAGGUACAAAGUGGUUAAGUUCCUCAAGUUACCUAUGGAAUGAGGGAUUGGACCGGUGAGAUUGUUAAUUGACAACGCAAGAUCAUUAAGUGAUGUCAACAAUCCAAUUUCUUGAGGGAUGGAACCAGAAAGCUUGUUCUCAGAAAGAUCUAAAGUGGUUAAAUUUCUCAAGUUUCCAAAGGAUGGAGGGAUCGGACCAGUGAGACUAUUAUUUGCCAACUUAAGAUCAUUAAGUGAUGUCAACAAUCCAAUCUCUUGAGGAAUAGAACCGGAUAGUUUGUUUGUAUGAAGGUACAAAGUGGUUAAGUUCCUUAAGUUACCUAUGGAAGGAGGGAUUGGACCGGUGAGAUUGUUAAUUGACAACGCAAGAUCAUUAAGUGAUGUCAACAAUCCAAUUUCUUGAGGGAUGGAACCAGAAAGCUUGUUCUCAGAAAGAUAUCAAGUGGUUAAAUUUCUCAAGUUUCCAAAGGAUGGAGGGAUCGGACCAGUGAGACUAUUAUUUGCCAACUCAAGAUCAUUAAGUGAUGUCAACAAUCCAAUCUCUUGAGGAAUAGAACCGAAUAGUUUGUUUGUAUGAAGGUACAAAGUGGUUAAGUUCCUCAAGUUACCUAUGGAAUGAGGGAUUGGACCGGUGAGAUUGUUAAUUGACAACACAAGAUCAUUAAGUGAUGUCAACAAUCCAAUUUCUUGAGGGAUGGAACCAGAAAGCUUGUUCUCAGAAAGAUCUAAAGUGGUUAAAUUUCUCAAGUUUCCAAUGGAUGAAGGGAUCGGACCAGUAAGACUAUUAGUUGCCAACUCAAGAUCAUUAAGUGAUGUCAACAAUCCAAUCUCUUGAGGGAUAGAACCAGAAAGCUCAUUCUCAAAAAGAUGUAGAGUGGUUAAGUUUCUCAAGUUUCCUAUGGAUGGAGGGAUUGGACCAGUGAGACUAUUAAUUGCCAAUUGAAGAUCAUUAAGCGAUGUCAACAAUCCAAUUUCUUGAGGAAUAUAACCAGAUAGUUUGUUUUUAUGAAGGUACAAAGUGGUUAAGUUCCUCGAGUUACCUAUGGAAGGAGGAAUUGGGCCUCUGAAAUUAUUAAAACACAAUGCUAGAACACUAAGAGAUGUUAGAAAUCCAAGUUGGGGAGAUAUUACACCAGUAAAACGAUUGAAAGUAAAGUUAAGAUUUGUGAUUAGUUUAGAAAGAUUACCAAUGUUGAUUGGAAUGGUUCCAUAAAGGGAGUUGUUAUAAAGAUUAAGAGUGAGAAGGUUAGGGAGUGAUGAGAAAUUGAGAUUGUGGAGUGUACCUCUCAAACCGCAAUUGUCAAGGUCUAAAUUGGAGACACUUCCUGACCUGUGACAAGUCACUCCAAACCAAUGAUGGCAAGAAUUGCGUCCAGACCAAGAAGAAAGGAAAGAUUGGGUUUGAUUAUCAAGACUGGUCUUCCAUGUUAGAAGAGCAACUGCCUCUUGAUCUUGUUCAACUUUCAAAAGAGAAGUGGUAGGUGUAGAGGCAGAUGUAAAAGUGACAUGGAAUAAUGAUAUCGAGUACAGAAGGAAAAGGAGAAAUAUGAAUAAGCAAGGAGUGAUGAUGAGUCGGGGGAGUAAGGAGUAGGAUGAAAAAUAUUCAAGCACCAUUGUUGAAUUGGUAGAAAUGAAGUUAUUAAGAGGUUUACCUGGAGGGAAGGAUGAAGACGAAACACUUAUUUAUAGACUUAAAUGUGAUACAUCCAAGAUUUCCAUUAGUUGGUGUUGACAUCUAACCAUUUGCUUUGUCUACGAUUAAUGGAAUUGAAAAGUAUUAUAUACAUGCAUGAGCUCAAUUCCACACUUAUUUUAUUUUAUCAAAAUGCUCUUAAUUUUUUUAUUAAAAUUUACACCUGUAAUUACAUAUGAAAUAAUUAAAAAUAUUCCUUUUUCACUCUAUGCACUUUUAAAUAUAACUUGUUUAAAAUUAAUCAUUACAAUUCAUUUUAAGAAGUAAGGACCAAAUAUACCCACGUCAACAACCUAGUUGAUAUAGGAAGUCCACUUUAACCAACAUUACUCAUUGUUUAGAUUGAAUUCUUUUAACUAUUUUGCCCUGUGAGAAAUAAACUCUUUUAACUUUAUUAGUUCUUUCAUAAUUUUUAUCCUUACAAUAUGAACUAUCUGAUUUCUCUUAAUAUUUUAUAAAUCAUUUAUGUUAUAUUUCAAAACAAAAUUAGUUGUCAUUUCUUCUACUUCUUUCCCAGACAAAUGCAUAAUUUGUGGUUGAUGUUUAUUAGUUUUAUUAAAGGUGUUUACAAUUUGUAAGUGAGACCCAUCAUCUAUGAAAAAUAUAGACAUGCUUUUUUUCAGUUGAAAGUCUUAAGGAACUAGUAUUUGGACCACAACAAGAACUAAGGGCUACCAAAUUUUCACUUUGUUUUACAUCCAAAUAAAACACACAAUCCUUUAUGUAUUGUCUAUUCUAAGCCAAGGGGCUCUCAAGGCUUUAAAAUGCAUCUCUAAGAUUAAGAGGAGCCUAACAUAUAUAUCAUCAUGAGCUUUUUUUCUCUAUCCGACGUGAGAUGUCAUAAAAAUUGUUCAACAAGACUAAUGCAUUUGUGAAGCUCAAAAGAAUCACAAAAAUCAAAGGAAGAUUUUUUGGGCAUUACAACAUAAAAGAUGCAGGACCCUUGUACACAUGCAUUUUCCUUAUCAAACAAUUGUCUUGACAAGCCAUUCUAAAGCCCACUUGGCUUGCCAUCACUAGUGAUGGACCUACAUCAUUCAAAUUCUCGAUGCUCUUGAAAAGGCCAUAUGCACUUGAAGUAAAAAGAGCUUUGAAUUUUUGUUAGAUACUUCGUUUUUUCUAUUUGGAAACAUAUUUUUCUUUUCUUUUUUUGUUCUUUUUUUUUAAUAGAACGUUUACCCUCCUAGAGUGUAAAAUCCUCUAUUUUCUGUUCAAAUUUCAGCUUUGCAAUUAGAGUCCUAAAUUCUAAACCUUGUCUGGGUUUUCCAGUUUUGUGAAAAAUCACAUCAUAGGGACCCAACAAGAUGGGAUUUGAUUCAAUGUUAGAGACAAAUUUUGGAAAAAUCUACAAAACCCUCAACAGUUGUGGCCAUACCAUAGCUCAAGACCAAGAUGGGAAUUUACAAUCUAAUAAAGCUGAUGAAUGCUUCAUAGACGUGAAGGUCCUCACAUUCUUGAUCGGGAAGAACCUAGGCCGAAAGUAAUCAGCAAAGGAUAAGAACGCCAGGAUCAUUUCACACUGAAACACUUUACUCCAACUACUCUGGUUAAACGGAUUCAUCCUAGAGAAAACUAUGAAGAUAGCAGCCUUGUUAUAGACUUAAAUGUGAUACAUCCAACAUUCCCAUUAGUUGGUGUUGACAUCCAACUACCUCCUUGUCUACAACUAAUGGAAUUGAAAAGGAUUAUAUGGCUCAAUCCCAUGCUUAUUUUAUUUUAUUUUAUCAAAGUGCUCUUAAUUUUUAUUAAAAACACUUGGAGUGCUUCUUCUUGGAUAAACACUUGAUGAGUAUUUCUUUUAAAGGAUAAGAGAAAUAUGAAAAAUACUAAUAUUUCAUAAAAAUAUUCAUUUUACAAAAAUACAUUCUUCUAGUAUUUUUAUUAAAAAUAAUUUUAGAAAUACUCUUACCAAAUGGUGGAAAAUUCUUAACAUGAGUGCAAAUUAAUUUUUAUUUUGAAAAAGUUUUACUAAAUGGAAAAAAAUUCUUCCUCGAAUUUUAUGUGGAUAUGAAUUACUUGGAUAAAAUUGGAGCUUUGUCCAUAUCAUGUUAGUGACUUAUUUUGUUGAGAUAUAUAGUUAUAAGACAAAUCUCACCCAAAUAUCUUUUUUUCGUAGAAGACAAAGCUCAUUGCCUUGAAUGAUAGGAUCUAGAGAUGCACAAAAGUGUGCUUUUUUAUUUAAAAAAAUGUGUUCUAUGACUAGCAUGUAUUUCAAAUUUAAGUUCAACCAAAAAGACCGCUCAAUCUCCUAAGAGCUCUUUAGAGAUGAAAACCAAUUUUAAUUAUAUCAAAUAAAAAUAUAUAAUUAUUAUUUCUUAAGAUGGUAUUGUUAAAUUGCCAAUUUUUAAAAAUUUUAUUAUGGUAAAAAAUGUUAACAUUUUGGGAAAAAAAUUAUUACUAUUUUUUUUUCAAACUAGCAGUCUUGAAAUAUUUUGUCUUAAUUAUAUAAAAAAUGAUAAUUAUUUUUGUAUAGACAAUGAUAUUUAAUUAGUAAUUUUUAGAUAUUCUUAGCAUGUAAAAAGAAGUAGACUUGACAUUUAAUAAUAUUUUGAUACCACUUUAAUCAAAUAUAUUAUUCAAAGUUAUACAUCUAGCUCUAUUAAAUUUAAGUUAAAUGAAGGUAUAGUCGAAAUUCAUAUUGACAAACAAAUGUUACCUAAGUGUAAUUCCUAUGACAUUGUAGUGAAGCAUAAUUUUUUUUUUCUUUUUAAGUAGAAUUAUAUGAAAACUUAAUUUAUUUUAAGCAUGCAUUAAAAUAAUGAUUUGUCUUUUAUUAAUUAAAAAACUAAAAAAAAAAUUGUACUAUUUAUUAUUAUUAAAAAAGAUUUCUUACUUUCAAUUAAAAUUACAUAUUUACAUAAGAAUAUAAAGUUCCCUUUCCAAUUGCAUGUUUUUAGUCUAGACAUUUAUUGUCUUUGAUAGGGUGGAAAAGUCAUUGCAUUCUUGAUUUUUAUUAACAAUUGUGUGGAAAAGUUGUUGUUUUCCUAAUUCUUGUCAAUAAUUGUGUUCAAAAGUCAUUGCAUUCCUAAUUCUUAUCAACAAUAGUUUUUAAGGAAUCUAUACCUAAUAUUCACAUUAUCAAUAGUAUAUGAAAAUGAUCCUAAUUGAUGUGAGUGGUCUAAUUAGAGUGAAGUAUAUAAGAAUAUCAUUUAUUAAAUCUUAGUAUUAAAAUAAAAAGUAGCAAUUGAAUCCAUUAUAUCAAGACUUGAGGAAUGUGAGGAAUCUAAAUUAAUUUUCUUUCCCUAUAAGGUAGAAUUUGCAUUGAAACUCCAUCUACUUUAAUUUAAGGGAUAGCACAAACAAAGUCGUAGGUGUGACAUGCUUUUAUGUAAAAACAAUUUAAGAGUGGUUUGUGCUUUUUAUAAUAGGUAUCAUGAAAAAGAACAUGCUCAAAAUGUAAAUUUUUUAUUUUUUUAAAUAAUAUUACAUUAUUUUAAUUCAAUUUUCAAGUUAAUUAAAAGCAAAACUUAGAUCAUGGAUUGGACAUAAUGACAAUAAAUUUCUCCUAUUAAUAGAUUUAACAAUAAAAAAGAUGAGUCUUUUUUUUUUCAAGUUAAUUACUAAUUUCUAAAAUUUUUAUUAUGGUAACAAAUGUUAAUAUUUUGAAAUAUUUGAAAAUAUGUUAAUUAUCAUUUUUUGCCAAAUUAUUAAUCUUCAAAUAUUUUUAUUUUAAUUAUAUAAAAUAAAAACAAAUAUAAUAAUUAUUUUAUUACAAACAAAGAAAUUUAAUUAUUAAUUUUUAGUCUUAGCUUAUAAAAGGAAGUAGAUUUAACACUUACAAGAACACCACUUUUAAACAAAUAUGUUAUUCCAAGUUAUACAUAUAGUUCUAUUACAUUUAAGUUGAUGCCAGUGGUAUGAUCAUAGUGAUGUAUAUAUUAGUAUUAAAACAAAAAGUCACAAUUGAGUCUUUUGUAUUUAGACUAAGGAAUAAUUAUAACAAUGGUGAAACCUAGAUUAAUUUUUUCCAUCUUUAUAAGGUAAAAUUUGUAUUGAAACUUCAUCUAUUUCAAGGCAUAGCACAAAUGAAGUUGCAAGGAUGACAUGCCUUCAUGUAGAAAUAAAAUAGAAUUUCAUUGUCUAAAUAGGAUAUUUUAUUAUUAUUGUAAACAAAUUUUUUUACUUCUUCCUUUGUUAGCAUCAAGAACUCAGAAAAUAUUUGCUUCACAAUGUUGAGCAUUGAUGCAUCUAUUUAAUAGUGAUUUGUGCCUUUUAGAUUACAUAUUUUGAAAAAAGAUAUGUUCGAAAUGUAAAUUUUACUAUUAUUUUUUUUUUCAAAUGAUACUCUAUUAUUUCAAUUUAAUUAAAAGGGAGACUUAGGCCAUGGGUCAAACACAAUGACAAUAAAUUUGUCCAGAUGGAUUUAACAAUCGCAAAUAUGGUUUUCUUUUUUUUGAAUACAUAUAAAAGAGAAUUUAUGAUCUAGUUUUUUUAUAGACUUAAAAGAACAAAAAAAAUCAAUUAUUGAAUAUACCUACCAAUUCAAUUACCUUAGAAAAAUUAAAACUUGUGCAUAUUUGUUGCUCAGUUUACAAUUCUUAACAAAUUAAUAGAAAAGAAUUAAACAUUCAAGGCAAAAAAAAAUAGGUCCAUUCAAUUUUCCUUUGAAAUGAUAGUGGGUUGUUUUAAUGGGAUUUGAAGUUUGGGUCAAACUUGAUAUAAUAUUGUUUUACCCUUGAAAUUGAUAACGAUAAUGGGUCAUGUAUAAUGGGAUUUGAAAUCCAAAUCUUAGUGGGAUAUGAACUCUAAGUCAAAUAAUGAUAAUUGGUUUGUUUAGUGGGAUUUAAAAUUUGAGUCUUAAUGGUCUUCGAAGUCAUCAAAUAAUGAUAAUUGGCAUGUUUAGUGGAACUUGAACUUUGAGUUUGAAUGGGGUUUGAAGUUUGAGUCAAACUUGAUAUAAUAUUUUACCCAUAAUUGGCCAUCUUUAAUAGCAUUAGAAGUCAUAGUCAAACUUGAUGUAAUGUUUUACCCUUGGAAAUAAUAAUGAUGAUUGGUGGGAUAUGAAGUCCAAAUCUUAGUGGGAUAUGAACUCUAAGUCAAAUAAUGAUAAUUGGUUUGUUUAGUAGGAUUUGAAAUUUAAAUCUUAAUAGGAUUCAAAGUCGUCAAAUAAUGAUAAUUGGCCUGUUUAGUGGGACUUGAACUUUGAGUCUGAAUGGGGUUUGAAUUUUGAGUCAAACUUGAUAUGAUAUUUUACCCACAAUUGGCCAUCUUUAAUAGGAUUGGAAGUUAUAGUCAAACUUGAUAUAAUAUUUUAUCCUUUGAAAUAAUAAUGAUAAUUGGUGGGAUAUGAAGUCCAUCUCUUAGUGAGAUAUGAACUCUAAGUCAAAUAAUGAUAAUUGGUUUGUUUAGUGGGAUUAGAAAUUUAAGUCUUAGUAAGAUUCAAAGUCGUCAAAUAAUGAUAAUUGGCAUGUUUAGUGGGACUUGAACUUUGAGCUUGAAUGGGAUUUGAAGUUUCAGUCAAACUUGAUAUAAUAUUUUACCCACAAUUGGCCAUCUUUAAUAGGAUUGGAAGUCAUAGUCAAACUUGAUAUAAUAUUUUACCCUUUGAAAUAAUAAUGAUAAUUGGUGGAAUAUAAAGUCCAAAUCUUAGUGGGAUAUGAAAUCUAAGUCAAAUAAUGAUAAUUGGUUUGUUUAGUGGAAUUUGAAAUUUAAGUCUUAAUAGGAUUCAAAGUCGUCAAAUAAUGAUAAUUGACAUGUUUAGUGGGACUUGAACUUUGAGUCUGAAUGGGAUUUGACAUUUGAGUCAAACUUGAUAAUUUUACCCUUAAAAAUAAUAACAAUAAUUGAUCAUAUUUUAUGGGAUUUGAGAUCUUAGUCAAACUUAAUAUAAUAUUUUAACCAACAAUGAAAAAUAAAUAAGCAUAUGAUACGAGCUAAGAACUCAUUUCAAAAGUAGGGUCAAAAAUGGUUUUAAAUGCUUAAAAAGUGUGUUUUGCUAUAUAAAAAAAAAUCGUUUUAACGUUAGAAAAUAUAGAUACUUCUUCUAAAAGCCAUUACAAGAAAGACAUGAAAAAUAUUAAAAUUUCAAAUAAAUUUUCAUGUUUGAAAAACAUAUUUUUCUUGCAUUUUUAUUAAAAAUAUGUUCAAACAUACUCUUACAUGAUCUACUUGAGUUCCUAAAAUAAUUACAAACUCUAUUUAAUUUUUAUUUUAAAAUUUUUUUACCUAAGGGUGGAAAAUUCCUCCUCAAAUUAUACAUGGAUAUGAAUUAUUUGGAUGAAAAUUGGAGCUAAUAUCAUAAGAAUGACCUAUUUUAGUGGAAUAUAUAGUUAUUAUAAGAUAAAUCUCACUCAACUAUCUGUUUACUUAUAAGACAAAGUUCACUGCCUUGUAUAAUGGGGUGCAAAAAUACAUAUGAGUGGACACUUUUGACUUAAAGUAUAAUGAGAUGUAAAAAUACAUAUGAGUGAACACUUUUUACUUAAGAUCGUGUUUCACAAUAACAUGUCUUAAAUUUAAGUUCAAAGAAAAGUACCACUUAAACCUCCAAAGAACCCUUGAACAUAACAAUUGAAAAUAAAGAUAAACUCCCUCAUAUGAUAAUAAAAAAUAUUUUUCAAUUGUUAUAAAUUGUGAUCAUGUUACUUAUUAAGUUAAAUAAGAAGUAAAAAGGAUUUUAUAAAAAUGGUAUUUUAAAUGUGAAGUAAAUUUUAAAUGUGCUAAAAAUUUUAGGUCCUCUUUGGACGUGUUUUCUAAUGCUGGUUGAAAAGUUGUUUUUAUGUUAAAGAACAAAAGAUAGUUAUUUAGUAUUUUAUAAAAAUAAGGAUGUUUGAUAAGUUGUUUUUUCAAAAAAUAAAAAUAAGAACUUUUUUGGAUAAGUUGUUUAUAAAAAUAAUUUUCCUAUUUUGAUUUUGUAAAAACAUUAUAAAUUUAAUUUAUGUAAUAUUAAUUAAAUUUAAUUAAAGUCUUAUUGAAAAUAAAAAAAUAGUUUUUAAUUACAAAUAAAUUAAAAAAAUAAAUAGUUUUUAGUAAAAUAUGAACAAUAAUAUUAUAAUAAAAUCAUAAAUAAAAAAAAUUAUAAAAAAAUAUUAUUUUAGUAUAUUUUUUAUGCUAAAGCUCCUAAUGGGCUUCGAAGUCAUCAAAUAAUGAUAAUUGACAUGUUUAGUGGGACUUGAACUUUGAGUUUGAAUAGGGUUUAAAGUUUGAGUCAAACUUGAUGUAAUAUUUUAUCCACAAUUGGCCAUCUUUAAUAGGAUUGGAAGUUAUAGUCAAACUUGAUAUAAUAUUUUACCCUUGGAAAUAAUAAUGAUAAUUGGUGGGAUAUGAAGUCCAAAUCUUAGUGAGAUGUGAACUCUAACUCAAAUAAUGAUAAUUGGUUUGUUUAGUGGGAUUAGAAAUUUAAGUCUUAAUAGGAUUCAAAGUCGUCAAAUAAUGAUAAUUGACAUGUUUAGUGGGACUUGAACUUUGAGUCUGAAUGGGAUUUGAAGUUUGCGUCAAACUUGAUAUCAUAUUUUACCCACAAUUGACCAUCUUUAAUAGGAUUGGAAGUCAUAGUCAAACUUGAUAUAAUAUUUUACCCUUUGAAAUAAUAAUGAUAAUUGGUGGAAUAUGAAGUCCAAAUCUCAGUGGGAUAUGAAAUGUAAGUCAAAUAAUGAUAAUUGGUUUGUUUAGUGGGAUUUGAAAUUUAAGUCUUAACAGGAUUCAAAGUCGUCAACUAAUGAUAAUUGGCAUGUUUAGUGGGACUUGAACUUUGAGUCUGAAUGGGAUUUAACGUUUGAGUCAAACUUGAUAAUUUUACCCUUGAAAAUAAUAACGAUAAUUGGUCAUAUUUAAUGGGAUUUGAGAUCUUAGUCAAACUUAAUAUAAUAUUUUAACCAAUAAUGAAAAAUAAAUAAAUAUAUGAUAUCAACUAAGAACUCAUUUCGAAAGUAGGGUCAAAAAUUGUUUAAAAUGCUUAAAAAGUGUGUUUUGCUAUAAAAAAUAAAUCAUUUGAAAAAAAAAAUCGUUUUAAAGUUAGAAAACAUGAAUAAACACUUAGAUAUUUCUUCUAAAAGCCAUUACAAGAAAGACAUGAAAAAUAUUAAAAUUUCAAAUAAAUUUUCAUGUUUGAAAAACAUAUUUUUCUUGCAUUUUUAUUAAAAACAUGUUCAAACAUAUUCUUAUAUGAUCUACUUGAGUUCCUAAAAUAAUUACAAACUCUAUUUAAUUUUUAUUUUAAAAUUUUUUUACCUAAGGGUGGAAAAUUCCUCCUCAAAUUAUACAUUGAUAUGAAUUAUUUGGAUGAAAAUUGGAGCUAACAUCCAUAUCAUAAGAAUAACCUAUUUUAGUGGAAUAUAUAGUUAUUAUAAGAUAAAUCUCACCCAACUAUCUCUUUACUUAUAAGACAAAGUUCAUUGCCUUGUAUAAUGGGAUGCAAAAAUACAUGAGUGGACACUUUUGACUUAAAGUAUAAUGGGAUGUAAAAAUACAUAUGAGUGGACACUUUUUACUUAAGAACGUGUUUCACAAUGACAUGUGUCUUAAAUUUAAGUUCAAAGAAAAGUACCACUUAAACCUCCAAAGAACCCUUGAACAUAAUAAUUGAAAAUAAAGAUGAACUCCCUCAUAUGAUAAUAAAAAAUAUUUUUCAAUUGUUAUAAAUUGUGAUCAUGUUACUUAUUAAGUUAAAUAAGAAGUAAAAAGGAUUUUAUAAAAAUGGUAUUUUAAAUGUGAAGUAAAUUUUAAAUGUGCUAAAAGUUUUAGGUCCUCUUUGGAUGUGUUUUCUAAUGCUGGUUGAAAAGUUGUUUUUAUGUUAAAGAAUAAAAGAUAGUUAUUUAGUAUUUUAUAAAAAUAAGGAUGUUUGACAAGUUUUUUUUAAAAAAAGUAAAAAAUAAAAAACUUUUUUGGAUAGGUUGUUUAUAAAAAUAAUUUUUCUAUUUUGAUUUUGUAAAAACAUUAUAAAAUUAAUUUAUGUAAUAUUAAUUAAAUUUAAUUAAAGUUUUAUUGAAAAUAAAAAUAGUUUUUAAUUACAAAUAAAUUAAAAAAUAAAUAGUUUUUAGUAAAAUAUGAACAAUAAUAUUAUAAUAAAAUCAUUAAAAAAUAUUAUUUUAGUAUAUUUUUCAUGCUAAAGCUCCUAUGAAAUUUUAGGUAGAUACAUGUCUUCUAGUGGAUAAUUAUAGUCUUUUUCAACUCGGAGAUCCUUCACGACAUGAGCCACCAACCAUUCCUCAUACAAAAUCUUGCCAAAUUAACCUUGAGAAUAUUCCUCAACAUCCUAUUCCUCUUCAUCUCAACCAUCCUCUCCCUUUGUCUCCUCCACCUCUCUUGAACACCACUCCCCUCCGCCCCAAUCUCCCACCCUCUCAUCUCAUGGUCCAGGUGCUAAAGUCAUUGAAUACAUCUUGUAUUGUAUUCAAUCCCAUGUUUUUCUGGCCUCAUAAAUUCUAAACCCUAUCUAGGUUUUCCAAUUUUGUGAAAAAUUAUAUGGAUUAAAUUCAAUGUUAGAGACAAAAUUUUGAACAAAUCUGCAAAAACGCUCAACAGUUGUGGUCAUAGCUCAUGACCAAGAUGGGAGUCUACAAUGUAAUAAUGCUGAUGAAUGAUUCAAAGACUGCUCCAACUAGAUUUUGAAAAUUGUCUAUUUUCCAACAUUUUUGUAUUGAGCUAUUCUCGUAUAAACGGAUUGAAAACAGUUUUUUGAAAAUUUGUUUAAAAAUAAGAGGACUUUUCAUAAAAAAAUUCAGGGUGUUUUAUUAGAGCAAUAGGAGACAUGGAGAAUAUGCCGAUAACUUUUGCAGUGUACAUCAAUGCAUAAUACUUUCAUAGAGAAGAGACUUUUAUUUAAAAAAAAAAAAAAAAAAUUGACUCCUAAUAGAAUUUUAUUACUCCAAACAUUCAGGAGCUAUUCUUAAAAAUCGAUUUGUAAAAAUUAUCGAGCAGACCCACAAUCUGUUCGAGUAACAAAUGGAAAACUUACCAUUUGAUCUUAUUCCAACUACAAUUUAAAAAAAGAAAACAAACAAACAUAUAAAUCCUUAGACAGGACCGAGCAACAAGCAUUGUGGUUUUGUUGUCUGUGGGUGGUCAAAUUUAUCAGUAACCCAAGACUUCCAUGCUCACAAAAGCUCCAUUUUAAUCAAAGGUUGGUGAGAAAAUUACUAACAGGCUCAAGUCUCAUCUUAAAUAGAAGGAAAACAAAAACAUUAUUUACAUGCUUCACCAAUGAAACAUUCAAGUUAUGCAUUGAUAACCAUAAUUUCUGGGGAUAUAACGCUGUUCAACAAGAUUAAUGCAUUUGUGAAGCUCAGACGAAUCGCAAAGAUCAUAGAUGAAAAUCUCUCUAGCAUUACCAAAUAAAAGGUACAACGAAGAAAAAGUUGAUGUAUGUGAUCUUGCUUGGGACUGAGGUGGAUCAAUGUUCAAUAUUUUCCUAAAAUAAGCAGACUAAUUAGUGUAAGAAAUAUUGAUUCAUAUAGAACUUUAACCACAAAAUUCAGAAUUAACUAGGAAGAAGAUGAAAAUACAGAGAAAACUUGAGGGAAGGAGCUAAGACACAGAUGGAGGGAUUGGCUUCACAGCAUUUUGGAUCCGCUGGAAUGCCACUCUCACUCUUUCCUUGAGGCCUUCAUUUUCGCUCUCAACAUUCCCACUCUGUUUAUCAAGAUGCACCACAUUUCCAUCAACGCUUAUCACCAGGUUCCCAUUCCCUUCCAACUUCACAUCUCCAAACAGAGAAACAAGGAGUGCGUGGAUAACCUUUUCUGCUUUCUUCCCAUUUUCUUCUUCAGUUUUCAUGGCCUCUGAUUCAACUACUACCUUGGGGAUCUCAAGACUGAUAUUUAAAACUAGAGCCACAAUGGAGUCAGAGACCAUGUCACUAAUUGGAUCUGAUGUCCAACGCAAUGAAAUAUGCUUCUCCGACUCAUGCUUCACUGUCACCCGUUCAUGGACUUGAAAAGCUGGAACCUCAGAUUCUUCAUCUGGCAAUGACUCAACACUCUCAUAUAUCUGCUUCAGCCUGUGCUUUAUUACACCAAAGGCACCAGUGUAAGGAAUAGUAAUCCUCUGGGUGACAUUUGCCGUGGAUAGCUGUGAGAAGACAUGGAGAUCAUCAGGUGCCAUUAUCUGAUAAGUGAACCCUUUCUUUACCAGUAAACCACUGACAAUUUCACCAACUUCUGGGGUCUUUUCAGCCAGCCUCUCAAUGGUUUUUGCCAUUUUUUCAGAGUUGAAAUACAUUUCAACUGACUGACAGUUCUUUGGGGAAAUAAUUUUGGUGUUGCAGUCAGCAAACUGGGUGAUAAGCUUCUGUUUGAGCCUCCCCAUCUCAUUAGCUUCUCCAUGAACAAGAAUGAUGUUAGGUGGCAUGAGCUCCUUCAAGAAUGUACUUGUCUGUGCAAAAUCUGCAUGGGCAGAGAAAGAAAUGUAAUGGACCUGCAUGUUGAGGGGAGCAGUAAGACCAUUCAUUAAAGUAACUUCCUUGGGUUCAUUAAUGAUGGUUUUUGCCAAUGUCCCUCCCACGACAUACCCAGGUAUAACACAUGCAUUUUUCUUAUCAGAGCACCACAUAUCAAACAGUUGUCUUGACAACCCACUCUGAAGCCCACCCGGGCUCGCCAUCACCACUGAUGGACCUACAUCAUUAAAAUUCUCAAUGCUCUUUAAGGGUGAUAUGUGCUUGAAGUCAAAGGGAUUCGAAUUUGCAAAUUGGUUGCGGAUCCUCUCAUUCAUGGAAUUGAUAUAUGUCUGGUAAACAGCCAUGCACCUUUUUGCAAGGGGGGAAGCAUAAAAUAUGGGAUGUUAUGGAGCUCAGGAUGGUUAGACCAAUACUCAUCAAGGAUAAGAAGGAGUUCUUGGGCACGACCUAGAGCAUAUGCAGGGAUUAGAACACGGCCCCCUUGAGAAAUGGUUGAGUGGAUGACAUCUGUGAAGCGUUUUUCUCGCACAUGCCGAGGCUGAUGGAGUUGGACACCAUAAGUGGAUUCAAUUAUGCAAAUAUCAGGGCAGAACUGUGGAAUCUCAGCAGCACGGAGAUGACGAUCUUCUUCGCUAGAAUAGUCUCCAGUGUAAAGUACUCGGACACCAGCAAUAUCAACCAUAAACAUGGCAGCACCAAGGACGUGGCCAGCUGUGUAACACCAAAAUCGUAUACCAUUUACUUCUAAAGUCUGAUGGAAAUCAAUAACCUGCAGAAGGGAGAUUUAAUUACAGUUACAGGAAGAUUAAAUGAGAUAAGAAAAUUAAGCUACAUAUCUAAAGUCAAUUGUUGUAAAUGGCCCAACAUUCUGCAAUAGAUCAGGAUUAUAUGCAACCAAUAUUUUGGCAUAUGAGAUACACACACACACACACACACCAUAUUGCUUUUUUUAGUGAACAAGUUUUAUAUUUUAUUAGAUUAGUUAUGUAACAAUUUUGAAACUAAAUUCAGAAACAAUAGAAAAAAUGUUGUUGUGGAACACAAAACAUGAAUUAAUAUUAGAAGUAUAGCCAUUUAAAUCUUAAUAGACUAAUUCCUACUAUGUUAGUUUUAUUUGUCCAGAACUGAAGACAAAACUCAUCUGCUCUCAUGGAAGGUGAAGUACAGAAAGCCCACAGAUGUUAUAGAGAUCUAAAACAGUAGUACUUACACUCAGGUAGAAUCUAUGAUUCAGGUAUGAAUGUCUAUGGUAGAAAGAUUAAGGCUUUAGGACAAGGUAGUAGACAUUUGUGGCACUAUUAAUUUCAAAUAAGAGUCCCAAGAUAGAACAUUAGAGCUAUUCGCAAAUUUAAAUAACCAGAUUUAAGCUAAUCUGUGAUACAUGGACCAUUGUGACCAUAACUUUUGUGUUUUUUUUUUUUUUUUUGAUAGUUAUUGUAACCAUAACCUUUUUUUUUUCCUGAUAGACAUUGUGACCAUAACUUUUCAGGCCUUUAAAAAAGGAAGUGCAAGAGAAGGAUUUCUCAUCCUUCCCUACUUUACAAAACCUGAUUUAAAAAUGGAAGUGCAACUGUGCAAGAGAAGGAUGAGAAAUCCUUCCUUACUUUACAAAACCUGAUCAAAACAGAGGAAAAGAAAUACUCUCCAAUAAACAUCAAAACAACUCGACAUUGCAAUUUUAACACUUCGGAUCUACAAGUCGACAUCCAAUCAAGUUGAGUUAUGUUGAGAAAUUCAUGCCUUAAAACAGAUAGUUACAUUAAAGGCACAACCAUAAUCAUAAAUCCAUUUACUGAGAAGAAAACAAUGCUGAGAAAAGCAAUGGGAACUUCAACAUAAUCAAAGAAAGUGAAUGAUUGGGGUUUUUCUGAAGGAAUUUUAGCUGAUAGAUUCAAUUAUUUGUAACCUCUCGCACUCUUACAUAUGAAAGUACAUGUUCAAGUUUGUGUAUGGACACUUUAUGCAGAGAAUGGGUAGGUCCAUUAACCCUUUCAUCCCUCCAGAACCCCAGAAAAGGAACCUGUAAUGGCCAACGGCCUUUGUAUAGAGUGAUCCCUCUAAUACAGCUACAGAGAAUACUCUCAAAACCAUGCUUAUAGUAGUAGAUCACUAACUAUUGAUGUGCUUUCAACCAUUUCAAGAGCACUCAUCAGCCAUGCAGUCAGAAUUUCAACUGGAGUAAAGUUGGGCUCAAGAAAGUCUACUCAAAGCCGAAAAAAUCUCAAGGCCAGACAAGAGCCCAGGGACAGAUUUCAAUUUUAGGAAGCUAUUUCAUACGAGGAAAGGAAUCUCCAAGAGUUUAUUCCUUGAGAAAAAAGAAAUAUUAGCAAACGGAAUGAAGAAGCCAUUGAGAAGCAGGAGAUAUUCAGAUAAUGACUUAAAAUUUGGGUGGUAGAUGUAGUCUCAUUACUUUAAAAAUAUAUCUGCAGUGCUCCUAAUAGCACCAGAUAUUGAUAAGAGAAGGUGCGGAUGGAGUACUUGCAGCUGGUCCCAGUCAAAUCUUUAUAUGCUUUAACAAUAGUUGUUUGGUCACUUUUUCUAAGUAAGGCCAUUCAGGACAGAAUUCAUUCAAUGAUUUUUUUUUUUUUUUUUUUGGAAGAAAUAUGUCCAUACCCAGGUAUAUAGUACAAUAUAAAAGAACAAUCAUGAUAUUCUCUAAAUUUCAUUUCUCAAUUCAGCAGAUCAUUAAGUUAUAAAAACAAAUAACAUUACAAUAUUCAACAAGGAAAAAGAAUAUACUGUGUCACCAAAAGGACAUCAAUGGUUGAAGGAUCAAUCUCAUCAAAGUAUGGCAAAGCAGCCAUGACUGAGUAUGCGGGAUGAAUUCCACAGUCAAACUAUCAUCACAGAACAGGAACAUAAUAGAAACAAACAAAUUAAAAAAAAUAUCGAAAACAAAGUAUAAAAACUAGCAACCAAAAUAAACGAAUAAUGCAUUAUGGUAUACCAAUAUGGUUUUCCCUUUAUAGGACAUGUAGACACAGGAACGGCCCACUUCAUUUCCAGCACCUAGAGGGGUAAUAAUCAGCUGGUCUCCUCUUGUUAAUGAGGAAUCUGGUCUCUUCAAAGACUGCGAUGGCCCUGUAGAUGCCAUUCUUCAACUGAACAAUUCUCAGACCCCUUCAAUUAACACCACUCUAUUUUCAUGCAAAAUGCUCUGCAACCGAUUAAAAAAUACAAAAAAAAGAUUCAAAAAAAAAUAAAAAAACGCUUCAUCAUAAAUAAAAUGAUACCCAAAAAUAAAUACAAUUCCAACAAAAGACAUUUUUUCUCUGGGAACUCCAGUUAUUUUGGUGAAUAUAUUUCUGUUAAGCUUGGGAAAAAUAAAUUUUGACUUUCAGUAAAAUAACUCUGUACAGUUGAAAUUUAUAUUUCCCUGAGAACAUCUUCAAUAGAAAUAACCUAUCUCCCCAAUUGAAGCUCAAAAUUCAAAAUCCAGUACGAGAAAGCACUGUUUGUUUGCUGAGAAAUUGCAGAACCAAAAAUUUAAAUCUUACAGCUCUCAGCACUCAUCCCCCUAGAAAGCAACAUAAAAGCGCAAGAUUCAAUUGCUUCAUUUCCCUCUCUUCUCCUCACUUUUCUCAGCAACCAAACACAACAACCUUAUAUAAAUAAGGAGAGAGAGUGAAGUAGAAGAAAGAAGAAACUCGAAACUUAUAAAAAAAAAGCAUAGUAUGAAGGCAAUUAUAAGAGAUUCAAAAUUUUCAACUCACUUGGUUGCAUUCCCCAGGACUUUCUCGGGAACCAAACAGACGGGAGGAAGAAAAAACAUAAACUUCAGAACAAAGAAAGAAGAAAUGCAUAGAAAAUAGCAGAGGGAGAAAGUUUCGAGAGAGCUAGAGAGGUUACAGUUAUGAAAUGAUUUCAGACCAUGCAGAGGAAGAGAUUGAACUAAAACCCCAAUUUUGAGAAGAUGCUUCCCUCUUUGCCUCACCCUCUGAAAGAUUGAUAAAUACCGGGCUGGAAUGGUCGGUCCGGACAGUCUUCAAGGAGUUCUUGAAAAAGAAUCUGAAGUACAUCUAUGAACAAUCACAUAUGCAUUUGGGCAAUCUAUAGGUUCUCCAUCUGCUCUCAUCGCUGAACUACCACAUUCCUUCAGAUAAAUGGACCUGCCACCUCUGGUUUAUUAAAGACUAAAACAAUUUCCGUUGAACAGGUCUUUGCAUAAACCUUCUUUGGGGCAGGAGACUGAUGUGGAGUAUACUUAAGUCGUUUUCAGAUUAGUAUUUGAAUUGACCUUCUGAGGGGUGCCAAGUGCAAUUCACCAAAAUCCCAAACUGGAAUUAGUCCAUCUCCCAUUUCCUUUGAAAUACUCAACAAUUUAGUUUCUUUUUCUAUCAAGUUUGCCUUCAACUUUUCAAUAUCAGCCUACAUUUUCUCUAGUUUCGUCUGUGGUUCAGCUUGUAUUGGACUGGGUCUAGAUUUUGCGUGUUCUACAUGCUCAUAAGUGCUUCCAAACUACACCAUGUCCUGAACAUAUUCUUUCUGAUACCUGACCUUGGCAUCAAGAGCAGAUUUUAAAUGUCCCAUCUUUAAGACCAGAUUACUACUUAUGAAGUAGUCUAGGCUCUCCUUCAAACGGCUGAGACAGUGAGCAUUGUAACCACUGCCAAAUACUUUGUUAGUUGCUGAAAGAAAGCUUGGGUUCCUAUCUGAAAUUAGAACCACAUGACAAUUCAUCAGUAAAUACUUCAGAUGCUCUAGGAACCACAACCAGUUUUCUUCAUUAUCAGUAUUAACCACCCCAUAAACUAGAGGAUAUUAGUCAUCAUCUACAUCUAAGGCAGAUGCAGACAACAAAGUGUCUUUAUGUGGCCCACUCAAGUGAUAGGCGUCAACAAACAGCAACUCCCUGGAAUUGACUUCAUAAGUCGCUUGCACAUCCAUGGAAUUAGCUUGUAAGAGUCCUCUGGCUUUCCAAAAUUCGCUGUGCUGGAGAAAGUCCAAUAGUGAGGGCUGCUGCUGAGCGAAUGCAAUAGUUCCUUUACAUGCAGUUGAGCCACCAGCCUGUUAAUUUCUCAGCUCAUGGCGUAGGUGAACAUUAAGCUGCUGAAGAUAGACUGGCUCUCUACAUCAGAUCACAUUGAUUUGUUUGGAGUUGCCCAAUUUCUUUGGCAAAUCUUCAUUUUCGUGUCUCGAAUUGUGGUUCAGUUUCCUUACUUCUUCUACCUCUGGACAUUCCAAAACAAAACUUGCAAAGGCUUGAAUGGCUUCUAAACUUUCUGCCAAUUCAGAAUUUUCCAACUGCAGGUUCACAUUAGAGUUCUUCUAACUCCUCUGCUUCAGCAGCCUCAAAGCAUUCCUUUUUAGCAGCUUCACGCUCUUCUGUUGCAAAUCCUCUUUGAUCACUCUCAAUAAUUACCAAUAAUUUUUGCUUGGGUUGAAGAACAAACCUUCUUGGUGUAUACCUUAAAGGAAUCGCAGAUUCAUUAAAUGUUUCACCCAGUCAUUCAAUAGUGAAGACUAUGCAACCAUGAAGGAAAGUGAGUCAAUGCAUGAACUAAUGGGUCGGGCCUUGUGGUGCCUAAAGUGGGCCUAGGUGGGCCAAAGUAAACCUAAGUGAGCUUAGAAAAGUGCUCUAGUGACCUAGAGUGAACUAAGUGGAAUUUAACUUAAAGUGCACCCAAAGUAAAGCCUAACCUAAACUCAAAGGAUGACUAAUGUCACAAUGAGAAGCCAGAUAAACCCUCAACCAAAGUCUCUAAGGUGGCUCAGAGAAGGCAAAUUGCAUAGUAGUAAUUAGCUACAAAUGAACCAUUGUAAAAUACUAAACGAGCCCUCAAUAGAACAUGUGUUAAGGGGACAAAAUGGAGGGUCUACAGUAAUAGAACAAAAAUUCUAAAAUCUUCAAAUCUCAACUUUUAAACCAACAUAUCAACCAUAAUAUUUUUGUCUGAGCAAUUUCAAACUAAAACAAUAGCUAACAAUAAUUAAAUUCUAAUAUUUAACAAAAUCCCAAAAAGAGAGUUUAAACAAAUAUCCUAAUAAAGCCAAAAUUUUCAUUUCUCACCCGAACUUAGGGUACUUGAAAAAUUAACAACAAAGGGGGAUGAACUCAAAACUCAAUAAAAAACAUUAAUAUAGUUUCAUAGAUCAAAUAUUUUCAUUCAUGCUUCCAAAUAGGAGAUAUAGGGUAUAAUCAUUUUCAUAAAACGUUUGAGUUCAAACAUGCUAAUACAUUUUAAACAGUUCAACCAAACAUUUUCAUAUAUAUCAAAACCAUUUCAUAUCAAAUCCAAAUCAAAUACAUUUCAAUUAUUUUUAUUCUAGUUACCAAACAAUAAAUGGCGCUUAGUUAAGUGAAACUUUACAAAUGGGUAGUUAGCCUCAAAUUUGUUCCUUUUAAGGUGGACAGAAUCAAAAGUAACCUCUAAUCAAAGCCCUCAAGGUUGGGGUCUAAAUCAAUUAUAUUUUUCACCACAAAAAUGAAAAGGUCAACUAUUAUAUUUCGUUGACAAGGGCCGAAAAGUCAAUUAUUAUACUCCAUUGAUAAGGACCAAAAAAAUUAAAAUCAAAUUCUUUGUUUUAUUUAUUCAAACUUACGGAAACAUAAGACCUCCAUAUAUUCUAUUAUAAACAAAAGAAAUGUUAUAAUAUAUUUUUCAUGCAAAAAUAUAUUUGAUCCAUACAUAAAAGCAAAAAUAACAUUUACAUAUAUAUAUAUAUAUAAUUAUCUUCUUUUGCAAAGUUUGUAUUAAUUUCUCUUAGCUCAAAAGAGUCCUAAAAAACCUUGGAGAGAAAUAAUUAUGGAAAAUCUAUUCUUCACUUAACAUAACAUAAUAGAAAUAAAUAUUACUAUUUAUCUACAAUUUAAUUAAUCUAUUCCGUAUUUAAAUAAAAUUAAUAAAUUUCUAAUUUGAUUCUAAUAACACAUUACUAAUUUAAUUAAAUUGCAAUUUUAUUUCAUUAUAUAUAUAUAUAUAUAUAUAUAUUUUACUAAAUCUCUCAUUCUAUUUAUUACAUUAAACCAUUAUUACUAUUAUCUUAUUUAUUAACCUAGACCUAAAUAUUAUUAUUUUAUUAAUUAUCAAAUUCAAUAGCCACCCAAACCAUUACCCACUUGUCUCCGGGACACACAAAACCAAUAAAACAAAGCAAGUUCUUUCAAUUGUCAUCAUCAUUAUUAUGAUGAUUCAUUAUUUAUUUAUUUAUUCUUGGUUUUCCAAGUUCUUCCUUCCAUCCAAUGCACAUGCCUCUUUUUUAUUCUUUAUUUCUUUCUUAACCCUAACACGUCUUUUUUUUUUUUUUUACUUCUAGGAAUGUGCACACAAAUACAAUGCCUCAAAACCAUAAAUACAAGUAUCUAUAUAUCACCCCUCCAAAAUCCAGAAAUCAUGUAAUUCUUCUUAUUAUUUAUUUAUUUAUUUUCUUUUCAAUCUAAAGUCUCCACUAACGACUUAUUUAUUUAUUAUCUAAAUCUAAAAUUUCUUUUCUUCCUCUGUUUUUUUUCAUUUUAAAUUUAUUUAUUUAUUUUUCUAUUCCAUUGAAAUUUUUGAAAUUUUCCUAUCUUCAUCAAUAAAUCAACCUAUACUUGCAAUUUUUCAAACAUUUUGAUCUAAAAGUUUAAUAAACAAACCCUAAUCUAGAUUUAGAUUUUCCAAAAAAAUAUCUAAUAUGUUUUAAAGUAACUAACGAAUCUAAAAUAUUAAUCUAGGGGUUAGAAUCUUAUCGGAAAAGUAUGGACUUCAAACCUUAAACCUUCAAACCUUCACCCCUAUGUUCACCAAUUCUCUAAUUUUGGUUAAUAAGGUUUUUGGAAUAGAGAAGACAAGAAAAAAAAAAUCUAAUUCAUACCUAGGACUAUUAAUGGAAAAAAUGACAUUUUUCCCCUAAUGAAUUUAAUUAAUUUUUAAUUUACUAUUUUACCCUUAAAAUUAAUUUGGGGUGUUAUAGUAUCAAUGGAUGAAAAAAAAAAAUCAAAAGGCUUAGGUCAUAAAUUUUAUUUCAAAAUCAUUUAAGAAUUAAUUAAUUAAAACUCAAUUUUUAAGUUUUUAAAUUUUAAAUUCCUCCCUUAUUCAUUAUUGGAUUGAAUUCUUUUAACUAUUUUUCCCUCUUUUAACUUUAUUAUUUCUUUCAUAAUUUUUAUCAUUAGAACAUAUAAGCUUUCUUGUUUCUCUUAAGAUUUUGUAAAUCAUUUAUGUGAAAUUUUAAAACCAAAUUAGCUAUCAAUAUUUCUUCUACUUUUUUCUCAAUCAAAUGCAUGGUUUGUUGUUGAUACUUAUCUUGGUUCAUCUAUAAGUGAGACCAUACUUUUUUUUCCAUUUGGAAGUCCUAAGGAAUCGACAUGUAGCCUAUAACAAGGACUACCAAAUUAAUCAUUUAUAGUUUACAAUAAAAUAGAAUGCAUAUUAAAGGGGCUCUAGACUCGCAACUGUGAAUAUAUUGUUUGUUCUAGGUCCAACAGGUUUUCAAAAUUUCAAAAUAUGUUUACAAGGCUAAGAGGAGUCCAUACAAAUAUAAUAUAUAUGUAAAAUUGCAAGGUUAAACGUUUUUAGAGAAACACUUCAAUUAAAAGCAUUUCCAAUAAAAACACUUUCAAUCGAUCAUUAAUUAUCUUUAGUUAAUUAUCAUCAAUUCCUAAAUAUAUAUUUAUUCUCCUUAUCGGGGAUUUUACUAAAAUGCUUUUUUUUUUUUUUUAUCAAACUAAACUAUGCAAGUGUAGGAAGUAGUUCUGUUUAAUAUGCUCAUAUGCUCUUUAGAUCAUGUUCUCCUUGAGUUGCUUGUUUCUUCUUAACAAAAAAAAUACAGUUUGUCACCCAUUUUGAAGGGAGAUAAUAACGAAAAACUCAUAGUUAAAAAAAAAAAAAAAAAAAAGUGAUUUCAACAGUUUUGGGAAUUAUCACUCUCAACAAUCUAUUAAAAAAUUGUAAAGAUUACAUGUUGGCUCUCCCCAGCCCCAAGGACGCUUACUGUCACAAGAAACCCAUAUCCUAUCUUCCACCCCAAGCCUGCUUCUGCCACUCAAAGUCCAAUCACAAUAUUCAGAGCUCCCAAGAUGAGAGCAAGUCUCCCUACCAAGUGAUGUUACUAGUUCCAGUACUUGCGCUGUUUGGAUGUCUUGUCCGGCCUUAGAAUCAAUGCCAUUACCCAAGAAGAAGAAAACUUAGUUUUCAGCAUGCUUGAAGAAAUAUAUUUAGUUAAUGUCGAGUGAACGCCCAGGGAGAGUGAAAACAAACCUGAAGAAUGCCAAGGAAAAACACCAAGGAUCCGAGGGGUCUGUGAAUCUUGAAUUUGGGAAUGCGAUAAGACUCCAGUCCAUUGUAGAGUGUCCUUCCUGCGACGACAGUAGCAAGACCCGGAAGAAAACCCACAAUCUGGAUCGAGAUAUGAAGAUAAAACCAUUGAGGAUCAUGAUGCUUGAAGUAUCUAGGGAUGAUUGCCCCAGAUGGAAGGAGCACGUCCCAUGCAAUUAGGCCCAUGUCUCCAUGACGCGUCUCCAAAUCUCCAGUGUUAUUGACACCAGAGUUAUAUCCUGUGAGACACACAACAGAAAUUUUCCAUAUCAGACUUCAAAGAGUUUUAUCUGAAGCUCCCACUUUAUUUCCUAGAUAUAAGCCCCUCACGUCUAGAAUGUAAAAUCCUCUGUUCUCUGUUCAAAUUUCAGCUUUGCAAUUGGAGUCAAUACAUCUCGUAUUCAAUUCAAUCCUCAUCUUUUUAUGGCCUCCUAAAUUCUAUGACCCAGUUUUGUGAAAAACUACAUCAUGGGGACCCAAGAGGAUGGGAUUUGAUUCAAUGUUAGGUACAAAAUUUUGGAAAAAUCUGCAAAACCCUCAACAGUUGUGACCACAGCUCAAGACCAAGGUGGGAAUUUACAAUCUAAUAAUGCUGAUGAAUGCUUCAUAGACUGCUCUACGAAACUAGAGUUUGUUAGAAUGCCUGUCCUUUGUUGAAAGACAUGAAGAUCCUCACAUUCUCGAGCAGGAAGAACCUUGGCCGAAAGUAGUCGGCAAAGGAUAAGAAGGCUGGGAUCAUUUCACACUGAACUUUACUCCAACUACUCUGGUUAAACGUAUUCAUCCUAGAGAAAACCUGUGAAGAUAUUAACCAUGACAUAGACUUAAAUGUGAUACAUCCAACAUUCCCAUUAGUUGGUGUUGACAUCCAACUACCUCUUUGUCUACAACGAAUGGAAUUGAAAAGGAUUAUAUAAAGAAUUUGAUAAAUGUGUGAACUUCAUAUUUUCAUUAAAAUCAAAUCGUAUAAAUAAUACAUUGAAGCAAAACAGAAAGCAAUAACUAUAUCCUAUAUUUCAGCAAUAUUCAAGCUGACCUAUUCUUAAAGAAUACUAACAGAAAAAUAUUUGGAGGACUACAUUCAUCCCAGAGAAACCCUGUGAAGAUGGCAGCCUUGUUUUAGCUCUUUGAAUAGAGUGAAAUAACAUAGCAGAAGCUGAUCAAACCUGGCAUGGAGGGCCCCCCAUUAAUAAAAUCAACUUGUCCAAGCAUCCGGUGAUGCAGAUUGUUUGGCAGCCUCAGAAGUAGAGACACGGUCAUCGGCAUUCCCGCACUCCUCCACGACAGCCCUGCAUCACAACCAAUUUACGGGUCUAUUACAAAUGAGAGAGAGAAAAAGAGAUUUUCAUGUUAAUGAAAUCAUUCACCUUAGGAUCGAACUGAAACGAUAAACAUCAAUGAUUCCGGAUGAUUGAAUUUGAGUGCAUCCCCAGCAGGCUCUUCAUAUUCAGUAGCCUACUUGGUUACUGAUACACCUGCAAAGUUGAAAGCAACAGGAGGUAAAAUCAUCACAUUCUUUAAUAAAAAUGUCAUCACAUACGACUCUUUAGCUGAUAUAGAUACAAAUGAAGUACCUGCUUGAGGGGCCCUUCAAAGGAAAAUAUAUUCCAAAGGUUGCAAGGACAUCACAUGGUGGCAGAUCAUGCUUCUGAAUAACCUGCACAUUCCACCCUUCAAAUAUAUUAGAAAAAUAAUAUAAUUGUAGUUUUAUAUUAUAAUAGAAGUUCAAAAAAACAAGAGAAAUUAUGCACGAUUGCUUGCGCCCACCUCAUGGAUGUCAUAACAGUAUGCCUUCUUGCUUUUACAUUUUUCAGUAAUAAUUGAUCGAUAACGAAUUUACAUGGAGAAGUGAGAACCCUCAGCUAGUUUCAUCCCCAUGACCAUGACCCAGCAGCUCACCCAACGUAAUCACAGAAAACGGUUUUGGCAAUGGUGGCCACUGUUUUGAGAGUGCUCGAGCAACUUGUUGCAUAGUUGGCCGAGAUUGGGGAUUAACGCACAAACAUGCAAAUGCCAACUUCACUGCAACCACUACUUCCUCUGCCACUUGAUUCACAGGAGGUGAGGGGCGCUGGUCUAUCACAUCAUUCAGCAGGAAAUGGCCGACCGUUGAUGGUGAUGCAGAUGAGGAGGACGCUGAUGAUAACAGGGAUGAGAUAAGCUCUCCGGGAUGCCUUCCCAUAAUUACUUCUAAUGUCACAACACCGAAGCUGUAAACAUCGGUUUUAUUAUCCACCUUCAUUGUGUAAGCAAGUUCUGCAAAAGAAGAUUAGAUCAUGCUCUGCUCUGCUAAGCAAUUAGAAACGUUACAUAUGACGUAUAGAGGCCAUUUAGAGAUAAGCAAGGCACUAAGAAAAAUGUACCUGGAGCUGUAUAACCAAAAGUUCCUGCAAAUGAAGUCCAAUUAGAUGAGUCUGACUUUAAAAGCCUAGCCGUGCCGAAGUCAGAUACAUGAGCUUCAUAUUCUGAAUCUAACAAAACAUUGUUGCUCGAUAUGUCUCGAUGAAUUACAGGAGGUGAGCAAUCAUGGUGCAUAUACGAUAAAGCUUUAGCCACGCCUUUAAUAACGUUUAGCCUCACAAUCCAAUCUAAUCUUUCUGCUUCUUCGUCAUUGCAUAGAAUGUUUUGCAAACUCCCCUUUUCCAUAAACUCAUAAACCAAAAAUGAGUUCUCUGCAAAUGAACUGAAGCCAUAAAGCUUGACGAUGUUGCGGUGCCUUAUCUGUGUUAAAGCAUGAAUCUCGCUUUUGAAAGCUUUCAAAUCAGCCAUAUCUCCAUCUUCUGAUGAGUGAAGCUUUUUCACAGCAACAACCCGACCUGUUGGCAACUCAGCCUUGUAAACAGUACCAUAUCCUCCAGUGCCAAUACACUGUUUCGAACUGAAAUUGUCGGUCCCCUGUAUGAUGUGCUCAUACAACAAUUCCCCAUCAUGGCCCCAUAUUGCAAAUAGAUCUUCGACAUCUGCUUCUGGAGACUUGUUUUUUCUCUUCCUCAAUUUUUGGAAAAGAAAAAAAAUGCCAAUAACAAAAGCAAGUAAGAACAAUAGACUGCUCACAAGUAGGAGUAUUACUAUCAAAACAGAAAACUUGUUGGCCUUCUUUCGACUAGCACUGCAUGGCUUGAGAUGAGUGACAUUAUUACCACACAGACCUUUAUUAUUUUUGAAUGCCUCAAAUGGAGCGAAGGCUUUGAUGUUGGGGAGAGGACCUUCCAACUGAUUGUAGGAUAUAUCAACAACUGUCAGGCUUAUCAGAUCAUCAAACGUGUGUGGGAUGGUGCCAGAGAGCCCGUUAUGGGAGAGAUUCAACGUUUCCAGGUACUGUAAUUCUCCAAGUAGCGGUGGUAUCUCUCCUAUUAGCAUAUUUUGACUAAGAUCGAGACUUUCAAGAUGAUGCAACUUUCCAAUUUCAUCGGGAAUGCUAUCCACAAAUCUAUUCUCGCUCAAGUUGAAGGACCUUAAUUUCCAGAAGUUUCCCAGUUGUUUGGGAAUUGAACCGCUUAUGUUGUUUGAUGCCAAGUCAAGAAUUUCAAGAUUGGAUAAGUUUCCCAAUUCCAAAGGAAUACUACCUGAAAGACUGUUGUUUCCUAAUAACAAUUUGAACAAUAAUGGCAACAUACCCAACUCUUUCAGGAUCUUCCCACUUAGAUGAUUGGCGGAGAGAUCAAGCUGUCGCAGCUGAGUUGCUUUCCCAAGUUGAGGCGGUAUAGCACCAGAAAUAUUGUUGUUGGAGAUGUUCAGGUUUGUGAGCAUGUGGCACUGCCCCCAUUUCUCAGAAAGCUCACCAUAAAAAUUGUUGCUGCUUAGAUCAAUAUAAUUUAGAGUUGGGUACACACCAAAACUUUCGGCUAUGUCCCCUGUCAAUUGAUUUCUUUCAAGCCUAACUCUGAAUAAGCUAGUGCAAUUUUUCAAGCCUUUUGGAAUAGGACCAGUGAAAUGAUUUCCAGAGGCUGUAAAGUUUUCAAGAACACUACCAAGGCAUAUCUCUUGUGGUAGUUGGCCAAUGAAGUUAUUCUCAACUAACUGUAAAGAUUUCAAAUGAGUGAUAUUAUUCAUUUCAAGAGGAAUCGCACCACUAAGCUUGUUGUGAUCAAGGAACAAAAAGGUUAAGCUGGACAAGUUUCCUAUGGAUGGAGGGAUUGGACCACUGAGACUAUUAGCUGCCAAGUCAAGAUCAUAAAGUGAUGUCAACAAUCCAAUUUCUUGAGGGAUGGAACCAGAAAGCUUGUUCUCAAAAAGAUAUAAAGUGGUUAAAUUUCUCAAGUUUCCAAUGGAUGGAGGGAUCGAACCAGUGAGACUAUUAGUUUCCAACUCAAGAUCUAUAAGUGAUGUCAACAAUCCAAUUUCUUGAGGAAUAGAACCAGAUAGUUUGUUUGUAUGAAGGUACAAAGUCGUUAAGUUCCUCAAGUUACCUAUCGAAGGAGGGAUUGGACCGAUGAGAUUGUUAAAUGACAAUUGAAGAUCAUUAAGAGAUCUUAACAAUCCAAUUUCUUGAGGGAUGAAACCAGAAAGCUCGUUCUCAAAAAGAUAUAAAGUGGUUAAAUUUCUCAAGUUUCCAAUGGAUGGAGGGAUCGGACCAGUGAGACUAUUAGUUGCCAACUCAAGAUCAUUAAGUGAUGUCAACAAUCCAAUUUCUUGAGGAAUAGAAUCGGAUAGUUUGUUUGUAUGAAGGUAUAAAGUGGUUAAGUUCCUCAAGUUACCUAUGGAAGGAGGGAUUGGACCAGUGAGAUUGUUAGUUGACAAUUGAAGAUCAUUAAGAGAUUUUAACAAUCCAAUUUCUUGGGGGAUGGAACCAGAAAGCUUAUUCUUGAAAAGAUGCAAAGUGGUUAAGUUCCUUAGGUUUCCUAUGGAAGGAGGGAUUGGACCAGUGAGAUUGUUAGUUGACAAUUCAAGAUCAUUAAGAGAUCUUAACAAUCCAAUUUCUUGAGGGAUGAAACCAGAAAGCUCGUUCUCAAAAAGAUAUAGAGUGGUUAAGUUUCUCAAGUUUCCUAUGGAUGGAGGGAUUGAACCAGUGAGACUAUUAGUUGCCAACUCAAGAUCAUUAAGUGAUGUCAACAAUCCAAUUUCUUGAGGAAUAGAACCAGAUAGUUUGUUAGUAUGAAGGUAUAAAGUGGUUAAGUUCCUCAAGUUACCUAUGGAAUGAGGGAUUGGACCAAUGAGAUUGUUAGUUGACAAUUGAAGAUCAUUAAGAGAUCUUAACAAUCCAAUUUCUUGGGGAAUGAAACCAGAAAGCUUGUUCUUGAAAAGAUGCAAAGUGGUUAAGUUCCUCAAGUUUCCUAUGGAAUGAGGGAUUGGACCUGUGAGAUUGUUAGUUGACAAUUGAAGAUCAUUAAGAGAUCUUAACAAUCCAAUUUCUUGAGGAAUGGAACCAGAAAGCUUGUUCUCAAAAAGAUACAAAGUGGUUAAGUUCCUCAGGUUUCCUAUGGAAGGAGGAAUUGGACCAAUGAGAUUGCUAGUUGACAAUUGAAGAUCAUUAAGAGAUCUUAACAAUCCAAUUUCUUGAGGAAUGGAACCAGAAAGCUUGUUCUCAAAAAAAUGCAAAGUGGUUAAGUUCCUCAAGUUUCCUAUGGAAUGAGGGAUUGGACCAAUAAGAUUGUUAGUUGACAAUUGAAGAUCAUUAAGAGAUCUUAACAAUCCAAUUUCUUGAGGGAUGGAACCAGAAAGCUCAUUCUCAAAAACAUACAAAGUAGUUAAGUUUCUUAAAUUACCUAUGGAAGGAGGAAUUGGGCCUCUAAAAUUAUUAGAAGACAAUGCUAGAACACUAAGAGAUGUUAGAAAUCCAAGUUGGGGAGAUAUUACACCAGUGAAAUGAUUGAAAGCAAAGUUAAGAUUUGUGAUUCGUUUGGAAAGAUUACCAAUGUUGAUUGGAAUGGUUCCAUAAAGGGAGUUGUUAUAAAGAUUAAGAGUGAGAAGGUUAGGGAGUGAUGAGAAAUUGAGAUUGUGGAGUGUACCUCUCAAACCGCAAUUGUCAAGUUCUAAAUUGGAGACACUUCCUGACUUGUGACAAGUUAAUCCAAACCAAUGAUAGCAAGAAUUGCGUCCAGACCAAGAAGAGAGGAAAGAUUGGGUUUGAUUAUCAAGACUGGCUUUCCAUGUUAGAAGAGCGAGUCUUUCUUGAUCUUUUUCAACUUUUGAAAGAGAAGUGGUAGGUGUAGAGGCAGAUAUAGAAGUGACAUGGAAUGAUGAUAUUGAGUAUAGAAGGACAAGGAGAAAUAUGAAGUAGUAAGGAGUGAUAAAGAGUCGAGAGAGUAAGGAGUAGGAUGAAGAAUAUUCAAAGGCCAUUGUUGAAUUGGUAGAAAUGAAGUUAUUAAGAGGUUUACAUGGAGGGAAGGAUGAAGAUGAAACACUUAUUUAUAGACUUAAAUGUGAUACAUCCAACAUUUCCAUUAGUUGGUGUUGACAUCUAACCACCUCUUUCAUCUACAAAUAAUGGAAUUAAAAAGGAUUAUAUACAUGAGCUCAAUUCCACACAUAUUUUAUUUCAUUUUAUCGAAAUGCUCUGAAUUUUUCAAUUAAAAUUUACACCUACAAUUACAUAUGAAAUAAUUAAAAAUAUUUCUUUUCCACUCUAUGCACUUUUAAAUAUAACUUGUUUAAAAUUAAUAAUUACAAUUCAUUUUAAGAAGUAAGGACCAAAUAUGCCCACGUCAACAACCUAGUUGAUACAGGAAGUUCACUUUAACCAACAUUACUCCUUGUUUGGAUUGAAUUCUUUUAACUAUUUUGCCCUGAGAGAAAUAAACUUUUUUAACUCUAUUAGUUCUUUCAUAAUUUUUAUCCUUACAAUAUGAACUAUCUUAUUUCUCUUAAUAUUUUAUAAAUCAUUUAUGUUAUAUUUCAAAACCAAAUUAGUUGUCAUUUCUUGUACUUCUUUCCUAGACAAAUGCAUAAUUUGUGGUUGAUGUUUAUCAUUUUUAUUAAAGGUGUUCACAAUUUGUAAGUGAGACCCAUCAUCUAUGAAAAAUAUAGACAUGCUUUUUUUUCAUUUGGAAGUCUUAAGGAACUAGUAUUUGAACCACAACAAGGACUAAGGACUAACAAAUUUUCACUUUGUUUUUCAUCCAAAUAAGACACACAAUUGUUUUUGUAUUAUCUAUUCUAAGCCAAGGGGCUUUCAAGGCUUUAAAAUGCAUCUCUAAAGUUAAGAGGAGCCCAACAUAUAUAUCAUCAUGAGCUUUUUUCCCUAUUCAACGUGAGAUGUCACAAAAAUUGUUCAACAAGAUUAAUGCAUUUGUGAAGCUCAGAAGAAUCACAAAAAUCAAAGGAAAAUAUUUUGGGAAUUACAACAUAAAACAUGCAGGACCCAUGUACACAUGCAUUUUCCUUAUCAAACAGUUGUCUUGAAAAGCCAUUCUAAAGCCCACUUGGCUUCCCAUCACUAGUAAUGGACCAACAUCAUUCAAAUUCUCAAUGCUCUUGAAAGGCCAUAUGCACUUGAAGUAAAAAGAGAUUGAAUUUUUGUUAGAUAGUUUGUUUUUGCUAUUUGGGAACAUAUUUUUCUUUUCUUUUUUUUGUUCUUUUUUCUUUUUAAUAGAACGUUUACAUGGUAGCCUGCUCCAAUCCCCUUACGAAACUUUUGUUAUUAGGUUAGCCAUACACUUCACAUGUUUGUUUCUAGCGAUUCACAUGGUAUAAUCAAAUGAUACAAGUCUUGGAUAAGAAUCUACAAUGCACUAGAACACCCUUGUUGAUGAUCCUUUACUCCGAUAGUGUCUAGAGUUCCUCGAACAAUAUGAUAUCUCACAUUGGGUAAAUCCUUAACCCUUCCCCCUCUUACUAAGACUACAAAAUGUUCUUGUGAAUUAUGGCCAAUACCAGGUAUAUAAGUAGUGAUUUCAAAUCCAGAGGUUAAUCGUACUCUGGCAACUUUACGUAAGGCAGAGUUUGAUUUUUUUGGGGGUGAUAGUAGAAAAGUUGACAGAUAAGUCACCCUUACUAGAGUGUAAAAUCCUUUAUUUUUUGUUCAAAUUUUAGCUUUGCAAUUAGAGUCAAUACAUCUCGUAUUCAAUUCAAUCCUCAUAUUUUCUGGACUCCUAAAUUCUAAACCCUAUCUGGGUUUUCCAGUUUUGUGAAAAAUCACAUCAUAUGGACCUGACAGGAUGGGAUUUGAUUCAAUGUUAGAGACAAAAUUUUGGAAAAAUCUGCAAAACCCUCAACAGUUGUGGCCAUACCAUAGCUCAAGACCAAGAUGAGAAUUUACAAUCUAAUAAUGCUGAUGAAUGCUUCAUAGACUGCUCUACAAAACUAGAGUUUGUCAGAAGGCCUGUCCUUUGUUGAAAGACGUGAAGGUCGCAGGAAGAACCUAGGCCGAAAGUAAUCAGCAAAGGAUAAGAACACCAGGAUUAUUUCACAUUGAAACACUUUACUCCAACUACUCUGGUUAAACGAAUUCAUCCUAGAGUAAGCAUGUGAAGAUAGCAACCUUGUUAUAGACUUAAAUGUGAUACAUCCAACAUUCCCAUUAGUCGGUGUUGACAUCCAACUACAUCUUUGUCUACAACUAAUGGAAUUGAAAAAUUAUAUAGCUCAAUCCUGCACUUAUUUUAUUUUAUUUUAUCAAAGUGCUCUUGGAAUUGAAAAGGAUUAUAUAGCUCUUAAGUUUUAUUAACAUGAGUGCAAAUUAAUUUUAAUUUUGAAAAAGUUUUACUAAUUGGUGGAAAAUUCUUCCUCGAAUUAUAUGUGGAUAUGAAUUACUUGGAUAAAAUUUGGAGCUUUGUUGAUAUCAUGUUAGUGACUUAUUUUGUUGAGAUAUAUAGUUAUAAGACAAAUCUCAGCCAACUUUCUUUUUUUCUUAGAAAGACAAAGCUCAUUGCAAUGAAUAAUGGGAUCCAGAGAUGUAUAAAAGUGUGCAUUUUUACUUAAAAAAAAUGUGUUCCAUGACUAGCAUGUAUUUCAAAUUUAAGCUCAAACAAAAAGACCACUCAAUCCACUAAGAGCUCUUUAGAGAUGAAAACAACAUAAUAAUUGAAAACAAAAAUAAACUCAUUGAUAUGAAAAUAAAAAAUAUAUUUAUUUUGUUAUAAAAACUAUGAUAUCACAGAUUAAUUUGAAUGUGAAGUGAACUGGACUAUUGACUCUUUAAUUAAUAAAUCAAUUAAUUUUUAUAGUACUUUUUUUAUUAAAACAAUUCCUUAAUUGUGAAGUAAAUUUUACUUAUCUAUUCAUAUGUAUUUGAUAAAAUUAACCUUAAUGGGAUAGAAACAUCAUGCAAUUCAUUUUGUUUUUAUCAACAAUUCUUAUAAAGAGAUCACUUAAGGGAGAGAACUCACAUCAUCAAUGCUGAGUAGUUAUCACAAAGUGAUUAAAAUUUUUUUCCUAAAAAAAAAAUAUAUUUUUAUGAAAAUUGCUUUUAUUUAAAAUCAAUCAUAAUAUAAAUCAUGUUUUUAUUUUUUUUAUUAAGUUAAUAAGAUUUAAAAUUAAAAUAAAUUUUACAAAAUCAGUAAAUGUUUAUAUAUAUAAAAAAAUCAAAUGGCUCCACUCAUCCAUUAUUCAUGAUUGAUUGAACAAUGUAAAGAUGACAGUAUCUUCUAUGUAUAAUUUAAACACUCUCACCCUAGACUUUUAUACAUGAAUAGCUAUUAGAAAAUACAAAAUUUAAUGCAAAAAUUGGACUGAGGGAGUAACAUAACCUCAUCAAUGCUUGUAGUUGAUACAUAAAUAGAUUGAAGAGGAUACAACUACCAUCACAAAUAAUAAAUGAAAAAUAAUUAAUAUAACCAUAAUUUAGUUUUUCUUUUGUUUAAAUAAUCAACUAUUCUAGUUGGGGAAUGGAUCAUAUAUGGGGUCCAUGAAUUAAAUUAUUGUACAAAAUGUCUUACAAGAAAAAUGUUACUUAGCUUACGAUUUAUACAUUUGCUUUCAAUUAACUAAUGGUUCUAAUAUAUAAGUGUUCAUUUGGAUAAAGUUCUUAUUUUCCAGUUUUAAAAAUAAAAAAUAGUAAUAACUUCUAUUGAAAAUAUAAAAAAUCAUCUAACUCUUAAGACACAACUACCAUCACAAAUAAUAGACAAAAAUAAUUAAUAUAACCAUUGUGAGGUUGUUCUUUUGUUCAAAUAAUCAACUAUUUUAGUUGGGGAAUGGACCACACAUAUGGGGUCCAUGAAUUAAAUUAUUGUACAAAAUGUCUCCAAGAAAAAUGUUAUUUAGAUUAUUAUUUAAACAUUUGCUUUCAAUUAAUUAAUUGUAUUAAUAAUUGAGUGUCCAUUUGGAUGGAGUUCUUAUUUUCUAGUUUUAAAAAUAAAAAAUAGUAAUAACUUCUAUACAAAACAUAAAAAGUCUUCGAGUCUUAACACACAACUACCAUCACAAAUAAUAGACGAAAAACAAUUAAUAUAGUCAUUAUGAGGUUGUUCAUUUGUUCAAGCAAUCCACUAUUCUAGUUGGGGAAUGGACCACAUAUGUGGUCCAUGAAUUAAAUUAUUGUACAAAAUGUCUCACAAGAGAAAGGUUAUUUAGCUCACUAUUUAUAUAUUUGCUUUCAAUUAAUUAAUUUUUACUAAUAAUUAAGUGUCCAUUUGGAUGGAGUUUUUAUUUUUCUAGUUUUAAAAAUAAAAAACAGUUACAACUGCUAUAUAAAAGACAAAAAGUCUUCUAGUUUUAAGACACAACUACCAUCACAAAUAAUAGAUGAAAAACAAUCAAUAUAACCAUAAUGAGGUUGUUCUUUUGUUCAAAUAAUCAACUAUUCUAGUUGGGGAAUGGACCAUACAUGGGGUCCAUGAAUUAAAUUACUGUAUAAAACAUCUCACAAUAAAAAUGUCAUUUAGCUUACUAUUUAUACAUUUCCUUUCAAUUAAUUAAUUAUACUAAUAAUUAAGUGUCCUUUUGGAUGGAGUUAUUUUCUAGUUUUAAAAAUAAAAAUAGCAAUAACUUCUACAUGAAAUAUGAAAAGUCUUUGAGUCUUAUAUCCAAAAUGUAGUGCCUUUUAAACUUGAUUUGAAAAAAAAAAUAUUAAAAAAAAUUACUAUUUGGAAUUUUAAAUUUUUUGAAAAAUAUUUUUCAAAAUGUAAGGUAAGUCUAUAUUUUUUGUAUAUGAAUAUAUGUUUUUUAGAUAAAGUUUUCUUUUGUAAAAGAUAAAAAAUAGAAAAUAUAUCUAAAUGGAACAUAAAUGCUUACAUAAAAAUUAUCAAACAAUGAAAUGUUACUUAAAUCUGUAGUUAAAAAAUUAUAAUAGAGAACUCGUAAGCAAAAAAGUAUAUAUACUUAGUAAAGAGAAUUAAGACUAAUUAAUUGCAAAGAAAUUGUGACACAUUCAUGGGUAAAUCCAACACAUGUUUAGUGCAUGGCCCAAGUUUGUUAAAAUACUAUCAAAUAAUAAAGUUAUUAUGAACUCAAGAACUUCGGAUUACCAAAACCAACCUAAAUAAUUGGUCAUGCAUGACCUAUUUUAAAGUCUUUGCCAAUCCUGAAGUUAACUUGAAAAUUGUGUAAACAUGUUUCUUAGAAAUACACAUUUCAAACUCUCUCAAUCUUUCUUUACCAAAAACUCAAUACACCCUUUUUGUACCUCUCUUUACUCUUUGCUUAGUUUUUCCUUCUCUAUAAAAAUACUAAAUAAAGUCACAUAUUUAUGGAGUCCUAUUGGUUAACCCUAGACCAAUAGUUUCCCAAUCCUUUGUUAAGUUCAAAAGUAACUUACCAAAACAUACACACUAUAAAUAUUUACUCUCCAAAAAAUAAAUAUUAAAAUAAUUUGAGUCAAUGCACUCAACUGAAUCAUCGAUAACCAUAAUUUCUAGGGAUACAAAAUUGUUUAACAAGAUUAAUGCAUUUGUGAGGCUUAGAUGAAUCACAAAAAUUAGAGGAAAAUCUUUUGGGCAUUACCACAUAAAAGAUGUAGGACCACAUAUGCAUUUUCCUUAUAAAACAAUUGUCUUGACAAGCCACUUUAAAGCCCACUUGGGCUUGCCAUCACCAUUGAUGGACCUACAUCAUUACAUCAUUCAAAUUCUCGAUGCUCUUAAAGGUGGUAUCCACUUGAAGGUAAAAGGAUUCCAAUUUUUGUUAGAUUGUUUGUCUUUUCUAUCUGGAAACUAUUUUUCUUUUCUUUCUUUUUUAUAUCACAUUUACUCUCCUAGAAUGUAAAAUUCUCUGUUCUCUGUUCAGAUAUCAGCUUUCCAAUUGGAAUUAAUACAUCUAGUAUUCAAUUCAAUCCUCAUCCUUUUCUGGCCUCCUAAAUUCUAAACUUUGUCUAGGUUUUCCAGUUUUAAGAAAAAAUACAUCAUGAGGACCCAACAUGAUGGGAUUAGAUUCAAUGUUAAAGACAAAAUUUUCAAAUAAUCUGCAAAACCCCUCAACAUUUGUGGCUAUAGUUCACGACCAAGGUGGGAAUUAACAAUCUAAUAAUGCGGAUGAAUGCUUCAUUGACAGCUCUACCAGACUAGACUUCGACGGAAUGCAUGAUAACAAAUUUACAUGGAGAAGUGAGGACCCUUGGCUAGUUUCACCCCCAUGACCAUGGCCCAGCAGCCCAGCAGCUCAUUCAAUGUAAUCAUGGAAAACGCUUUUGACAAUGGUGGCCAUUGUGUUGAGAGUGCUCUGUCAAUUUGUUGCAUAGUUGGCCGAGAUUGGGGAUUAACAUGCAAGCAUGCAAAUGCUAAUUUGACUGCAAGUGCUACUUCCUUAGCCACUUAAUUCACAGGAGGUGGGAGCCGCUGGUCCAUCACAUCAUUCAACAGGCAAUGGUCCACAGUUGAUGGUGAUGAGGAUGAUGAGGACGCUGAUGAUAACAGGGAUAAGAUGAGUUCUUCAGGGUGCUUUCCCAUAAUUACUUCCAAUGUUACCACUCUGAAGCUAUGAACAUCGGUUUUAUUAUCCACCUUCAUCUUGUAAGCAAGUUUUGCAAAGAAGAUUAGCUCAUGCUCUUCUCUACUAAGCAAUUGUGAAAGUUACAUAUGAUGUAUAGAGGUCGUUUAGAGAUAAGCAAGGCACUAAGUAAAAUGUACCUGGAGCAGUUUAACCAAAAGUUCCUGCCAUUGAAGUCCAAUUAGACGAGUCUGACUUUAAAAACCUAGUCGUGCUGAAGUCAGAUACAUGAGCUUCAUAUUCUGAAUCUAACAACACAUUGUUGCUCGAUAUGUCUUGAUGAAUUAUGGGAGGUGAACAAUCAUGGUGCAUAUAGGAUAAAGCUUUAGCCACGCCUUUAACAACAUUUAGCCUCACCAUCCAAUCUAAUUUUUCUGCUUCUUCGUCAUUGCUAAGAAUGUUUCUCAGGCUCCCCUUUUCCAUAAACUCAUAAACCAAAAAUGAGUUCUCUACAAAUGAACUGAAGCCAUAAAACUCGAUGAUAUUGCGAUGCCUUAUAUGUGUUAAAGUAUGAAUCUCACUUUUGAAAGCUUUCAAAUCAGCCAUAUCUCCAUCUUCUGAUGAGUGAAGUUUUUUCACAGCAACAACCCGACCUAUUGGCAUCUCAGUCUUGUAAAGAGUGCCAUAUCUUCCAGUGUCAAUACACUGUUUCGAACUGAAAUUGUCAAUGCCCUGUAUGAUGUGCUCAUACAACAAUUCCCCAUCAUGGUCCCAUAUUGCAAAUAGAUCUUCAACAUCUGCUUCUGGAGACUUGGUUUUUCUCUUCCUCAACUUUUGGGAAAAAAAUAAAAUAAAUGUCAAUAAUAAAAGCAAAUAAGAACAAUAGAAUGCUCACAAUGAGGAGUAUUAUGAUCAGAACAGGAAACUUGUUGGCCUUGUUUCUACUAGCACUGCAUGGCUUGAGAUGAGUGACAUUAUUACCACACAGACCUUUAUUAUUUUUGAAUGCCUCAAAUGGAGGAAAGGCUUCGAUGUUGGGGAGAGGACCUUCCAAUUAAUUGUAGGAUAUAUCAGCAACUGUCAGGCUUAUCAACUCGUCAAAUGUGUGUGGGAUGGUGCCAGAGAGCCUGUUAUGGGAGAGAUUCAACAUUUCCAGGUACUGUAAUUCUCUAAUCAGCAGUGGUAUCUCUCCUGUAAACAUAUUUUGACUAAGAUUGAGACUUUCAAGAUGAUGCAUCUUUCCAAUUUCAUCAGGAAUGCUAUCCACAAAUCUAUUCUCGCUCAAGUUCAAGGAUAAAAAUUUCCAGAAGUUUCUUAGUUUUUUGGGACUUCAACCGCUUAAGUUGUUUGGUGCCAAGUCAAGAAUUUCAAGAUUGGAUAAGUUUCCCAAUUCCAAAGGAAUACUUCUUGAAAGAUUGUUGUUGCCUAGCAACAAUUUGAAUAAUAAGGGCAAUAUACCAAAUUCUUUGGGUAUCUUCCCAAUCAGAUGAUUUGUGGAGAGAUCAAGUUGUUGCAGUUGAGGUGGUAUAGCACCAGAAAUAUUAUUGUUGGAGAUGUUCAGGUUUGUGAGCAUGUGGCACUGCCCCCAUUUCUUAAAAAGCUCACCAUAAAAAUUGUUACUGCUUAGAUCAAUAUAAUUUAGGUGUGUGUAGACACCAAAACUUUCAUCUAUGUCUCCCAUGAGUUGGUUUCUUUCAAGCUUAACCCUAAAUAAGCUUGUGCAAUUUUUCAAGUUCUUUAGAAUAGGACCAGUGAAAUGGUUUCCUAAGGCAGCAAAUUAUUCAAGAACACUACCAAGACAGAUCUCUUGUAUAAGUUGGCCAAUGCAGUUAUUCUCAGCUAACAUCAAAGAUUUCAAAUGAGUGAUAUUAUUCAUUUAUGGAGAAAUGCACCACUGAGUCUAUUGUAAUGAAGGGCCUAAAAGGUUAAGCCCGACAAUUUCUUAUGGAAGCUGGUAUUGAACCACUAAGAUUGUUAAAUGACAAAUUAAGAUCAAGCAAUCUCAACCAUUGAAUUUCUUGAGGGAUUGAACCAGGAAGCUUAUUCUCAAAAAGAUACAAAGUGGUUAAGUUUCUCAAGUUUCCUAUGGAAGGAGGGAUUAGACUAGUGAGACUAUUUGUAGUCAACUAAAGAUCAUUAAGUGCUAUCAACAAUCCAAUUUCUUAAGGAAUAGAACCAUAUAGUUUGUUUAUAUGAAGAUACAAUUCCUCAAGUUUCGUAUAGAUGGAGGGAUCAAACCAGUGAGAUUGUUAGCUAAUAAAUCAAGAACAUUGAGAAAUCUCAACAAUCCAAUUUCUUAAGGGAUGGAACCAUAAAGCUCAUUCUUAAAAAGGUACAAAGUGGUUAAGUUCCUCAAGUUACCAAUGGAAGGAAGGAUUGGACCAAUGAGGUUGUUAGUCGAUAAUAGAAGAUUAUUAAGUGAUUUCAAUAAUCCAAUUUCUUGAGGGGUAGAACUAGAAAGCUCAUUCUAAAAAAGAUGUAAAGUGGUUAAGUUCCUCAAGUUUCCUAUAGAUGAAGGGAUCAAACCAAUGAGAUUGUUAGCUAAUAAAUCAAGAAAAUUAAGAUAUCUCAACAAUCCAAUUUCUUGAGGAAUAGAACCAGAAAACUCAUUCUUAAAAAGGUACAAAGUGGUUUUUGAAGGAAAGAUGAGUUUUCAGUUCUAUGCACCAAAGGAAAAGAAUGAAAUAGAAGAAGAAGAUGAAAUUUUUUUUCUCGAUUUCUGAAGGAAGAGAUAAGGAGUUGUUCUGUAAAUGAAGCAAAAGAGGAGAAGUUGUAAGUGUUGGAGGAAAAUAAAAGGAGGGGUAUUUUUGUCUUAAUCGAGUCAUUUUUUGUAUUUUUGAACGGUGGGUAUUUUUACAAAUAUGGGGGUUAUUUUGACCCCUUUAACCAAAUAACACAACAAAAAAUAGGAAAUCAUAUUUGACAACUAAAAACUAUUUUUUGUUUUCUGUUUAGAAAACAUAGUGUUUUUAGAUAACAUAUUUUAGUUGUUUUUAAUUAUUUUCACUUGUUUUUUAAAGGUUGUUUUAAAAAUAAUAAUUAUACAAACAUGUAGAAUGAUUAAAAAUAAAAUAUGAGAUAUAAAAAUUAUUUUUAAAACAUAUUUAAAAUUAUUAAAACCAUGUUAAAAACAAUUCAGGUUCUCAAACAAACUUUUGUUUUAUAAAACAUUAGAUAAUAGUUUUCAAAAAUUGCUCUAAAAAAAAUGUUUUUCAAACUAUUUUUAAAAAUAGUUGUCAUGUCAAAUAGGGCCUAAACUUCUUUCCUUAAGUACAUUUAUCUAUAUGAAAACUUCUUUAGAUAAGGUAAAAUCAAUUUAGGAGAAUCAAAUUUGUUUUAUAUCCAUAUGAAAAACAAAAUCAAUUUAUGAGAUUUAAAUAUGAGGUCCUUUUGUUUAAUUAAUCAACUGUUCUAAGUUGGGGAAUGGACUAUACAUGGAUCCAUGAAUUAAAUUAUUGUAGAAAAAGUCUCAAAAGAAAAUGUUACUUGGCUUACUAUUUAUAAAUUUGUUUUCAAUUAAUUCAUUUGUACUAAAUAAUUAAGUGUCCAUUUAGAUAUAAUUCUCAUUUUCUAUUUUUUUUUAAAAAUAGAAAUAACUUCUUAUAUAAAAUACAAAAAAUUCUUGAAGUCUUACACAAAAAAAUAGUGGUUUUUAUAAAUUGAGGCAUGAAAAAAAUUUACUAUUUCAAAUUUUAAAUUUUUUUAAAGUAUAAGUUAAGUUCAUACUUUUUGUAUUAGAGUUUCAACUUUUUAUAUAAGAAUUUCUAUUUUUAGAAACAAAAAAACAAAAAAUGUAUUCAAACAAAAUAUAAAUACUUAAAUAUAAAAUGUAUCAAGUACCGGAAUUUAACUUUAACUAAUAAUUAAAAAUGAUGAUAAUAACUUAUGAGCAAAAAACUAUACUUAGUAAAAAGAUUUAAAACUAAUUAAUUUCAAAUUAAUAAAUUGUGAAACAAAGAGCCUAGUAAUUCAUGGGCAAAUUUAACACAUAUUUACUACAAGGCCUAAGUUUGUUCACAUCUUAUUAAAUAAUAAAUUGCCAUCAACUCAAUAACUCCCAAAUAAUGAAACCAUUGAAAUCAUUCAUUUGACCAUGCUUAACCCAUUUUAAAGUUUUUGCCCAACUUGAAGUCAUCUUAAAAACCUUGUCCCAUAGUUUCAUGUGAAUGUUGACUUGGAUAGGUGUUGUCUACUUUUGAAUACCAACAACAACUUAAAUAAUUCCUCAUGCUUGAUCCAUUUUAAAGUCUUUGCUAACUUCAAAUUAUCUUAAAAGGUUUGUCUCAUAGCUUUACAUGCAUUUAUGACUUUGAUAGAAUGCAUGACUUUGAUGUGUGGUACCAAUUGAAAAUACCAAAAACCAUCGAAAUAAUUGCUCAUGCUUAACCCAUUUUAAAGUCUUUGCCCAAUUUGAAAUCAUCUUAAAAAAACUUGUCCCAUAGUUUUCACAUACAUUCAUGACUUUGAUAGGUAGUGUCAACUUUCAAAUAAAACAAAUGACCAAAAUAAUUGCUCUUGCUCCACCCAUUUUAAAGUCUUUCCCUAAUUUGAAAUCAUCUUUAAAAAACUUGUCUCAUAGUUUCACAUGUAUUUUUUACUUUGAUAGGCCAUGCCAACUUUGUGCUUAACCCAUUUUAGAGUCUUUGCCCAACUUGAAAUUAUCUUAAAAAACUCGUUCCAUAGUUCUCACAUGCAUUCAUAAAUUUCAUAGGUAGUGUCAACUUUUGAAACAGAAAAAUGAUUUGACCCAUUUUAAAGUCUUUGCCUAACUUGAAAUCAUCUUGAAAAACUUGUUCCAUAGUUUCACAUGCAUUCAUGACUUUGAUAGGUAGUGUCAACAUUGUGCUUAACCCAUUUUAAAGCCUUUGCCCAGCUUGAAUCAUCUUAAAAAACUCAUCUCAUAGCUUCCCAUGCAUUUAUAACUUUGAUAGGUAGUGUUAACUUCCUGCUUGACCCAUUUUAAAGUCGUUGCCAACUUCAAAUCAUCUUAAAAGACUUGUCUCACAGUUUUACAUGCAUUUAUGACUUUGAUAGAAUUUAUGACUUUGAUAUGUGGUACAAACUCAAAAUGCCAAAAUCUACUAAAAUAAUUGCUCGUACUUGACCCAUUUUAAAGUCUUUGCCCAACUUGAAAUCAUCCUAAAAAACUUGUCCCAUAGUUUUCACAUGCAUUCAUAACUUAGAUAGGUAUUGUCGACUUUCAAAUAACAAAAAUGAUGAAACUAAUUGUUCCUGCUUCACCCAUUCUAAAGUCUUUGCCUAACUUGAAAUCAUCUUUAAAAAACUUGUCUCAUAGUUUUACAUGUAUUUUUUACUUUGAUAGGCCAUGUCAACUUUGUUUUUUUUACCCAUUUUAAAGUUUUUUCCCAACUUGAAAUCAACUUUAAAAACUUGGUCCAUAGUUCUCUCAUGCACUCAUGAAUUUCAUAGGUAGUGUUGACUUCUAAAAUAGAAAAAUGACUUGACCCAUUUUAAAGUCUUUGCCUAACUUGAAAUCAUCUUAAAAAGCUUGGCCCAUAGUUUCACAUGCAUUCAUGACUUUGAUAGGUAGUGUUAACUUUGUGCUUGACCCAUUUUAAUGUCUUUGCCCAACUUGAAAUCAUCAUAAAAAACUUAUACCAUAGCUUCAUAUGCAUUCAUAACUUUGAUAGGUAGUGUUAACUUCCUGUUUGACCCAUUUUAAAGUCUUUUCCAACUUCAAAUCAUCUUAAAAGACGUGUCUCAUAGUUUUACAUGCAUUUAUGACUUUGAUAGAAUGCAUGACUUUGAUAUGUGGUACCAACUAAAAAUACCAAAAACCAUCGAAAUAAUUGUGCGUGAUUGACCCAUUUUAAAGUUUUGGCCAAUUUGAAAUAGUUUUCACAUACAUUCAUGACUUUGAUAGAUAGUGUCUGACUUUCAAAUAACAAGAGUGACCAAAAUAAUUGCUCUUGCUUCACCCAUUUUCAAGUCUUUGCUUAACUUGAAAUCAUUUUUAAAAAACUUGUCUCAUAGUUUCAUAUGUAUUUUUUACUUUGAUAAGCCAUGUCAACUUUGUGCUUAACCCAUUUUAGAGUCUUUGCCCAAUUUGAAAUCAUCUUAAAAAACUUGUUCUAUAGUUCUCACACGCAAUCAUGAAUUUCAUAGGUAGUGUCGACUUUUGAAAUAGAAAAGUGACCCAACCCAUUUUAAAGUCUUUUCCUAACUUGAAAUCAUAUUAAAAAACUUGUCCCAUAGUUUCACAUGCAUUCAUGACUUUGAUAGGUACUGUCAGCUUAGUGCUUAACCCAUUUUAAUGUCUUUUCCCUACUUGAAAUCAUCUUAAAAAAAUUAUCCUAUAGUUUCGCAUGCAUUCAUAACUUUGAUUGGUAGUGUUAACUUCCUGCUUGACCCAUUUUAAAGUCUUUGCCAACUCCAAAUCAUCUUAAAAGACUUGUUUCAUAGUUUUACAUGCAUUUAUGACUUUGAUAUGUGGUUCCGACUCAAAAUGCCAAAAACAAUUGAAAUAAUUGCUCAUACUUGACCCAUUUUAAAGUCUUUGCCCAACUUCAAAUCAUCUAAAAAAACUUGUCUCAUAGUUUUCACAUGCAUUCAUAACUUUGGUAGUGUCAGCUUCUAAAAAAAGAAAAAAAACCAAAAUAAUUGCUCUUGCUUGACCCAUUUUAAAGUCUUUGCCUAGCUUGAAAUCAUCUUAAAAACUCAUCCAAUAGUUUCACAUGUACUUAUGACUUUGAUAGGUAUUGUUUUUAAGUUUGUGCUUGACCCAUUUUAAAGUCUUUUCCUAACUUAAAAUCAUCUUAAAAAACUUGUCCCAUAGUUCUCACAUGUAUUUAUGAAUUUGAUUCACAUGUAUUUAUGAAUUUCAUAAGUAGUGCCGACUUUCGAAUAAGAAAAACAACCAAAAUAAUUGCUUGUGCUUGACCUAUUUUAAAGUCUUCACCUAACUUGAAAUCAUUUUUAAAAAACUUGUCCUAUUGUUUCACAUGCAUUCAUGACUUUGAUAGGUAGUGUCAAUUUCGUGCUUGACCCAUUUUAAAGUUUUUGCUCAACUUGAAAUCAUAUUAAAAAGAAAAAAAACUUGUCCCAUAGUUUUCACAUGCAUCAUGACUUUUUUAGGCAGUGUCGACUUCCAAAUAACAAAAAUGAACAAAAUAGUUGCUCGUGCUUGACCCAUUUUAAAGUCUUUGCCUAACUUGAAAUCAUCUUAACAAACAUAUCCCAUAGUUUCACAUGCAUUUAUGACUUCGAUAGGUAGUAUCAAGUUCUAAAUACCGAAAACAACCAAAAUAAUACUCAUGCUUGACUCAUUUUAAAGUCUUUGCCCAACUUGAAGUCAUCUUUGUUUGAUUGUGAUCUUUGUUUGAUUGUAAAGCCUUUAUCAGUCUUAUAGCACUAUGCAAAGGCUAUUGGGGGGUUGAGCUCAACUUGUUAACAUUUUCUUUUUAUUUCUUGAAGGAUGACUUUUCCCCUAUAGUUGUUAUAUUUAACUCUCUUAUAAUUUAGGAUUUCGUGUGAAAGUUUAGAAGAAAAGGAGAGUAUUCACUAUUGUAACCUUUGUACCUUCUUUUGAUUAGUGGAUUAUUGAGUGUUAGUACACUCUCUAUUAGUGCACUCUGUAGAAGUAGGGAUCAUAUUGAUCAUUGAACCAUACUAAAAUUUCAUUUAUUUUUCUUUAUUACUACUCAUGUGUGUGGUUGCAUUAAGAAUCUUAAAAAAAGCUUGACUCAUAGUUUCACAUGAAUUCAUGACUUUAAUAGGUAGUGUAAUGAUGUCACUUAUCUCCUUGAAUUUCUUUUUGGAAAACAUAUUCUAGAGGUGACAAGAAACUUAUCAAAUUUCAAUCUGACCUCACGUUUAGACAAGGCAAUCACCUAAAGCCCUCACUCCAUAAAAAGCUCCAAAUUUUUGUUAUUAUUACUUUAUUUAUUUUUCUGGUUUUUAUUAGCUAUUUUAAAUAAUUAUUCAUAGUUCUUUAUUUUAAUUAAAUGAUAAAAUAAAAAGAAAAGAAAAAUGAAAUAAAUGUCCAAACUUGUAUAAUUAUCUAGAUAUUUGUUUGCAUUGGGACAUUGGUUCAACUAAACAUUUAUAGUCAUUAGAAUUUAUCAUUUUAAUUGUAUUAUUCUAAAAAGAGAAUCUAUUGAUUUCAUUUUGAAAACCUACAAGUUUUAAUAAGCCCUUUUGUCUUUCUCAAUUCCAUAAAUUUUAUCUCAUGCUAUCUUUUUCACAUAGUAGCAAAAGAAUUUUAAUUGAAAUACACAAAAGAAAUAAACUAUAUGUCCUACAUACAAGUCUAAUAAGAAAAACCUUUAGAGUUGGAUGCCCACUAACUUCCUCUCUAAAGAUGAUUCUACCUUUCUAAUUGGCACACAAGAGUCUUCACUUAAAAAUAUUAAAAUAAAUUGGAUUAACAUAAGAUCUAGUGAAUAGUUGUAAUACACAAGAGUUAUGAUGAACAAAAUAGAUUUAGAACAUGUCAAAAGUCAUAAUAGGAUUUAAGGAAUAUAUGACAUUUAAAAAUAUGUAAUCAUGAUUUUAAACAUAUCUAUGGUCAAUCUACUAGUUAUACAUAAUUAAGCCUUUACUACUUGUGAUAGUACCUCAUCAACACCAUUUUUAGGGUCUCAUUAUCUUGGAUCACACUACCAAGGAACUCAUGUCCUAGCCAUCCAUCAAGGGCACAAUGGAGCAUAAUUUACCACUUCAAACUCUUCCAUAUAGCCCAGUAUCGAAACCCACAAUACCAGUGUAUGAUCCAUCCCAUCCCUUACUACAUAAGUGGUGUAAAGUUUCAUAUCAAAGAAAAAUGAAACACCUCAUUGAUAUAUGUGUUAUGUAUGAUACCUGUUAUAUAUAAAUCUCCAGAACUUUAACAAUUAAUUUAAAAUUUAACAAAGUAUGUAAUUGCAUUAUUGUACACAUAUGCAAGGUAUUAAAUGAUUACUUGAAAAAGAAGUGGUAUUUAUUUUUGCAAACUUAAUAUUAAUCAUAUGUGUUUUGACCAAAUAGAAAUUUCACAUGUCUCAUACUAAUAAUCAAAUUGAACAAGUAAUGUAUAAUGCAUAUAAGAGAGAUUUAUUUUAGGAAAAUUUACUAAAACCAUUUAUAUUUUAACUAUUCACAAAAAUCUUUGUAAUCAAAAUAACAACAGAAUUUGCAGUAUAAUGGCACCUGAAACUAUGGAUCCUCUCCUAAUUAACAAAUGAAUACUUUUAGAUUUGGAAAUUUCAUAAAAGAUGGCUAAGAUCCUAUACCCCUAAUUGUCUUCUUUCACAUGAAUGACACCUAAUAGUCUUCUGUCACCUAGACAACACCUUAGACUAAAAUUGAUGAACUUGAAAAUAAGAAUUUAGGAAAAUGGAGUCCAACUUGUGUAAAACUUGAACCAAUGAGUCUAUCAACGGUAUAUAUACUUUGAGAAUUGAUAACUAAGUCAACUUAGUCUCAGCCUCUAUUAGUUCCAAAUUUGCAUAAAUAGCACAUGCUAAAACACACUUAUUUUCUCGUUUUUUUACCAAAUAAUCCAAGUUCCAUAAAUUAUUAAACUAUCCAUGUUUACUCAAUGACAAGUCUAAAAAUUUAUAAAAAUAAUUUAGAAGUCUAAAACUAACUCAAAUAGUAAUACAAUCCAAAACCCAAAACUUUCUUAGCACAUAAUGUUGAAAAUCUACCAAACUUUACCAAAUCUUUUUCCAUACUAACAAAAUUUGAAUCAAGUUGAAUUGGAUUCUUUAGUUUCUUUUCAAAUAUACUAAAAUUAUUAAAAAUAACUAGAGGUAAAGAUUCUUAAUGAAAACAUUGCAAAAUUGAAACUAUGUUUGAAAACAUUAUUAAGUGAACCCACAAUCUAUUGAACUAACAUAUGGAAAACUUACCAAUUGGUCUUGUUUCAACUUCUUAUUACAAUUUCAAAAAAAAAGAAAAUAAAUAAAUAAAUCCCUAGAUGGGACUGAGGAACAAGCACUGUGGUUUUGUUGACCAUGAAUCAAGACUUCCAUAUAUGCUCACAUAAGCUCCAUUUUAAUCAAAGGUUGCUGCGAAAAUUAGUAACAGUUAGCAGGACCACUCAAGUGAAGCAUCGAUAACCAUAAUUUCUGGGGAUAUAAAGCUGUUCAACAAGAUUAAUGCAUUUGUGAGGCUCAGAAAAAUCAAAAAAAUCAGACGAGAAUCUUUUGGGCGUUACUACAUAAAAGAUGCAGGACCACACAUCCAGUUUUCUUAUCAACCAGUCAUCUUGACAACCCACUUUGAAGCCCACUUGGCCUUGCCAUCACCAUUGAUGAACCUACAUCAUUCAAAUUCUCAAUGCUCUUUAAAAUCAAUAUAUGCUUCAAGUCAAAAGGGAUUGGAAUUUUUGUUAGAUAACAGCCUUUGCUAUUCAGGAACAUAUUUUUCUUUUCUUUUUUUAUUUUUUAUUUUUUAUUUUAUUUUAUUUUAUAGAAUGUUUACCCUCCUUGAAUGUAAAAUCCUCUGUUCUCUGAUCAGAUUUCAGCUUUGUAAUUGGAAUCAAUAGAUCUUGUAUUCAAUUCAAUCCAAGUGUUUUUCUGGCCUCCUAAAUUCUAAACCCUAUCUGGGUUUUCCAUUUUUGUGAAACAUUAAAUCACCGAGUCCGGGAUCCAACACGAUGGGAUUGGAUUCAAUGUUAGAGACAAAAAUUAGUAAAAACAAAUCUUCAAAACCCUCAACAGUUGUGGCCAUAGCUCAAGACCAAGAUGGGAGUUAACAAUUUAAUAAUGCUGAUGAAUGCUUCAUUGACUGCUCUACCAUACUAGACUUUGACUGCUGUCGUUUGUUGAAAGACAUGAAGUUCCUCACAUUCUUGAGUACGAAGAAUCUUGGCCAAAAGUAAUCAACAAAGGAUGAGAAGGCCAGGAUCAUUUCACACUGAACUUUGCUCCGGCUACUUUGGUUAAACAAAUUCAUCCCAGAGAAACCUUGUGAAGAUAGCAGCCUUGUUUUAGCUCUUUGAAUAGAGUGAAAAACAGAACAGAAGUUGAUCAAACCUGGCAUGGGGGCCCCACAUUAAUAAAACCAACUUGUCCAAGCAUCUGGUGACGCAGAGUAUUUGGCAGCCUCAGAGGUAGAGACAGUCAUCGCAUCACAACCAAUUUAUGGGUCGAUUACAAAUUUAGAGACAGAAAAAUAUAUUUUCGUUUUAAUGAAAUCAUUCACCUCAGGAUCGAACUGCAAUUCUUAAUACACAUCAAUGAUUCUGGAUGAUUGAAUUUUAGUGCAUCCCCACCUGCAAAGUUACUGAUACACCUGAAACCUUCUUACUCUACCCAAUAUAAGCUUUUACAGAAAUAAUCAAUUUAUAAUAAAUUUACAUGGAGAAGUGAGGAUCCUCAGCUAGUUUCACCUCCAUGACCAUGACUCAUCAGCUCACCCAAAGUAAUCAUGGAAAACGGUUUUGACAAUGGUGGCCACUGUGCCAACUCAGCCUUGUAAACAGUACCAUAUCCUCCAGUGACAAUACACUGUUUUGAACUGAAAUUGUCAGUCCCCUGUAUGAUGUGUUCAUACAACAAUUCCCCAUCAAGGCCCCAUAUUGCAAAUAGAUCUUCAACAUCUUCUUCGGUCGACUUGAUGUUUCUCUUCCUCAAUUGUUUGAAAAGAAAACAAAUGCCAAUAAAAGCAAAUAAGAUCAACAGAGUUCAAGAUUAUGCAUCUUUCCAAUUUUGUCGGGAAUGCUAUCCGCAAAUCUAUUCUCGCUCAAGCUCAAGGAUGAUAAUUUCCAGAAUCUUCCCAGCUGUUUGGGAAUUGGAAUGCUUAAGUUGUUUGAUGCCAAGUCAAGGGUUUCAAGAUAGGAUAAGUUUCCCAAUUCCAAAGGAAUACUUCCUGAAAGAUCGACUGUUGUUGCCUAGCAACAAUUUGAACAAUAAGGGCAACAUACCCGAUUCUUUUCGGAUCUUCCCACUUAGAUGAUUGGUAGAGAGAUCAAGUUGUUGCAGUCGAAUUACUUUCCCAAGUUGAGGUGGUAUAGCACCAGAAAUAUUAUUGUUGGAGAUGUUCAGGCUUGUGAGCAUGUGGCACUGCCCCCAUUUCUCAGAAAGCUCACCAUAAAAAUUGUUACUGCUUAGAUCAAUAUAAUUUAGGUUCAGGUAUACACCAAAACUUUUAGCCAUGUCUCCGAUAAGUUGGUUUCUUUCAAGCUAAUCUCUGAAUAAGCUAUGCAGUUUUUCAAGCUCUUUGGAAUAGGACUGUUGAAAUGGUUUCCAAAGGCAGAAAAGUUUUCAAGAACACUACCAUGACAUAUCUCUUGUGGUAGUUAGCCAAUGAAGUUAUUCUCAACUGACUACAAAGAUUUCAAAUAAGUGAUACUAUUCAUUUCUUGAGGAAUGGCACCACUGAAUCUGUUGUAAUGAAGUACCAAAAAGGUUCAGCCGGACAAGUUUCCUAUGGAAGCUGGUAUUGAACCAUUGAGAUUGUUAAAUGAUAAGUGAAGAUCAUCAAGCAAUCUCAACCAUCCAAUUUCUUGAGUGAUGGAACCAAAAAGCUUGUUCUUAAAAAGAGGCAAAAUGGUUAAGUUCCUCAAGUUAUGCAUGGAAAGAGGGAUCAAGCCAAUGAGAUUCUUAGUUGACAAUGCAAGAAUAUUAAGAGAUUGCAACAAUUCAAUUUCUUAAGGGAUGGAACUAAAAAGAUCAUUCUCAAAAAGAUGCAAAGUGGCUAAGUUCCUCAAGUUUCCUAUAGGUGGGGGAUUGGACCAAUGAGAUUGUUAGCCGACAAAUUAAGAACAUUAAGAGAUCUUAACAAUCCAAUUUCUUGGGGGAUGGAACUAGAAAGCUCAUUCUAAAAAAGAUGCAAAGUAUCUAAGUUCCUCAAGUUUCCUAUAGGUGGAGGAAUCAAACCAAUGAGAUUGUUAGCUGACAAAUCAAGAACAUUAAAAGAUCUUAACAAUCCAAUUUCUUGAGAGAUGGUUCCAUAGAGGUAGUUGUUAUAAAGAUUAAGAGCACAGAGAUUGGGGAGUGUUGUGAACUUGACAUUGUGGAGUGUACCACUCAAACCACAAUUGUCAAGGUCUAAAUUGGAGAUACUUCCUGACUCGUGACAAAUCAUUUUGGACUAAUGAUGGCAAGAAUUGCAUCUAGACUAAGAAAAGAGGAAAGACUGGGUUUGAUCCUCAAGACUAGCCUUCCAUUUUAGAAAAGCAAGUGCUUCCUAAUUUUGUUCAAUAUUCAAAAGAGAAGUGGUAGGUGCAGAAGCAAAUGUAAAAAUGACAUGGAAUGAUGGUAUUGAAUACACAAUGAAAAUGAGAAAUAUGAUGAAGCAAGUAAUGAUGAUGAAUUGGCGGAGUGAGGAAUAGGAUGAAGAAUAUUCAAGGGCCAUUGUUGAAUCGGUAGAAAUGAAGUUAUUAGGGGGUUUAGUUGGAGUGAAUGAUGAAAAUGAAACACUUAUUUCUAGACUUAAAUGUGAUGCAUCCAACAUUUCCAUUAGUUGGUGUUGACAUCCAACUACCUUCUUAUCAUCUACAUUAAAUUGAAUUGGAAAGGAUUAUAUAUAUGAGCUAAAUUUCAAACAUAUUUUAUUUUAUUUUGUCAAAAUGAUCUUAGUUUUUUAAUUAAAAUUUACACUUGCAAUUACAUAUAAAAUAAUUAAAAAUAUUCAUUUUUCACUCUAUGUACUUUUUAAAUAUAACCUGUUUAAAAAUAACAAUUCUAGACCAAAUAUGCCCACCUCAACAACCUAGUUGAUACCGAAAUUUCACUUGAUCAACCAACAUUACUUGUACAUAUGCCUUUAUAUAAACCACCUAAUAUGUUUGUUUUUUUUGUCAAAAAUAAAUAUUGACUUCAAUGGGAGCAAUACAUAAAAAAUUUGCCAUGAAUAUUUUUUUUUUUUUUGGUAGGCUUACAUUCUGUAUAAGAUAAAUAUAUUUUUUAUUUUGUAUCAAGAAAUUGAAAAAAAAAUGAUUUAUUUGUUACUCAUCAAACAAUUGAGAUGGAAUCACAUCUCAUUAAUUCUUCAUGAAGAUUUGGCUUGUAAGAGUUUGAUAUUUAAUUAUAAAUAUGUAAUAUUUACUAAGUUGAUUACAUUUUUUCUUUGAUUUGGUUUAGGCUUAUAAAAUUAUUAGUUCUCAAAUAUCUUAUUUUAAUUAUAUUAUAUAAGAAUAUGUAUAAUUAUUAUUUUCACAAUAUUUUUAAAUUACAAAUUUUUAGAAUUUUUAGUAUGCUAACAAAUGUUAAUAGUUUGAAAUAUUUGAAAAUAUGUUCAUUACCAUUUUUUUUGGUCAAAUUAUUAGCCUUCAAAUAUUUUUAUCUUAAUUUUAUAAAAUAAAAUCAAAUAUAAUAAUUGUUUUAAUACAAACAAAGAUAUUUAAUUACUAAUUUUUAGUCUUAGCUUGUAAAAAGCUUAACACUUAAGAACAUUUAGGUAAAUAAAUACGUCAUUCAAAAUUACACAUCUAGCUAUUGCAUAAAUAAAGUGUUAACAUUCAUAUUAAAAAAAAAAUGUUACCUAAGAGUGUGUAAUAACUAUGAUAUUAUAGCAGAACACAAAAACAAAUUUCUACUCUAAGUAGAAUUUAUAUGAAAACUUCAUUUAUUUUUCAGAUUGUAUUCAAGUAAGGAUAUGUUGUGAAUUAAUUAACAACUAAAAAAAAUUGUAUGUAUUGUUUAUUAUUAUUAUUAUUAUUAAAAGAGAUUUCUUACUUCUCAAUUAAAAUUAGAGAUGUAGAUAUGAACAUAAAAUGCUCUUUUUAAUUGAAUGUGUUUUUAAUCAAAACUUUUGUUGUCUUCAAUAGAGCGGAAAAGUCAUUGCUUUACUAGUUUUUAUCAAUAAUUGUUUUCAAGGAAUCUAGACCCAAUAUUUAUAUUAUCAAUGGUAGGCAUUAGUGAUCCUAGUUGAUGUGAGUGGUCUAAUCAAAAUGAAGUAUAUAUGAGCUUCAUGUAUUAAAUCUUACUAUUAAAAUAAAAAGAAACUAUUGAAUCCAUUGUAUUAAGGUUAAGUAAUAGCUAUAAGAAUAGUGGAACCUAUAUUAAUUUUUCUCCUUUUAAAAAGUGAAAUUUGUAUUGGAACUUCAUCUAUGUUAAGGCAUAGCACAAAUGAAGGGACAUGCUUUCAUGUAGAAAUAAAAUAGAAUUUCAUUUUCUAAAUAGAGCUAUUUUACCAUUAUUGUAAAUAAUUUCUUUUACUUCUUCCUUCUCAUGAUUCAAGAUUCGAGAACUCAAAGAUAUUUGCUUCACAAUAUUUCCCAUCCAAACAUUCCAAAAAUUCUUCAUGAACAAUUGGCUUGUAAGAGAUUGAUAUAUAUAUAUAUAUAUAUAUAUAUAUAUAUAUAUAUAUAUAUACUUUUUCUUUAAUUUGGUUUAGGUUUCUAAAAUCAUUAUUUAUCAAAUAUCUCAUUUUAAUUAUAUCAAAUAAAAAUAUAUAAUUAUUAUUUCUUAAGAUAGUACUAUUAAAUUACUAUUCUUUCAAAAUUCUAUUAUGGUAACAAAUGUUAAAAAAAAAUAUUACUAUUUUUUUUCAAACUAUUAGUCUUGAAAUAUUUAAUUUGUUUUAAUUAUAUAAAAAGAACAAAUAUGAUAAUUAUUUUUGUAUAGACAAUGAUAUUUAAUUAGUAAUUUUUAGAUAUUCUUAACAUGUAAAAAGAAGAAGACUUAACAUUUAAGAAUAUUUUGAUACCACUUUAAACAAAUAUAUUAUUCAAAGUUAUACAUCUAGCUCUAUUAGAUUUAAGUUAAAUAAAGUUAUAGUCAAAAUUCAUGUUAAAAAACAAUUGUUACCUAAGAGUAAUUCCUAUGAAAUUGUAGCAGAACUCCAAAAAAAGGAAAAAAAAAAUCCUUUAAGUAGAAUUUAUAUGAAAACUUCAUUGAUUUAAGUGUGCAUUAAAAAAAUGAGUUGUGUUGAAUUAAUUAAUAAACUUAAAAAAUUAUUUGUUAUGUUUUAUUAGUAUUAAAAAAAGAUGUCUUACUUGUCAAUUAAAAUUACAUAUUUAGAUAUGUAUAUAGAAUUCUUUUUCCAAUUGUAAGUUCUUAGUCAAGAGUUUUGUUGUCUUUGACAGAGUGGAAAAUUUGUUGCAUUCCUAAUUCAUAUCAACAAUUGUGUGGAAAAAUCGUUGCAUUCUUAAUUCUUAUCUACAGUUAUUAGUCAAGACUUUUAUUGUCUUUAAUAGGGUGGAAAAGUUGUUGCAUUUGUAAUUCAUAUCAACAACUGUGUGGAAAAGUCACUUUAUUCUUAAUUCUUGUCAACAGUUGUGUGGAAAAGUUGUUGUAUUACUAAUUCUUAUCAAUAAUUGUGUGGAAAAAUUGUUACAUUAAUAAUUCUUAUCUACAAUUCUAAGUUCUUAGUAAAGACUUUUGUUGUCUUUGAUAGGGUGGAAAAGUUGUUGCAUUACUAAUUCAUAUCAAAAAUCGUGUGGAAAAGUCGUUGCAUUCUUAAUUCUUGUCAACAGUUGUAUGGAAAAGUUGUUGCAUUACUAAUUCUUAUCGAUAAUUGCAUGGAAAAAUUGUUGCAUUACUAAUUCUUAUCAACAAUUGUUUUCAGAAUUUAUACCCAAUAUUCACAUUAUCAAUAGUAGAAGUCAAUGAUUCUAAUUGAUGUGAGUAGUCUAAUCAAAGUGAAGUAUAUACGAACUUCAUUUAUUAAAUCUUAGUAUUAACAUAAAAAGUAACAAUGGAAUCCAUUGCAUCAAGGCUUGAGGAAUAACAAUAAUAAUAUUGGGGAUCUAAAGUAAUUUUCUUUACAAGAGUCAAAGAACUCGGAGAGACUUGCUUUACAAUGUUAAACAAAGGUGCAUUUAUUUAAAAGUGGCUUGUGCUUUUUACACUAAGUAUUAAGAUAAAGGACAUGUUCAAAAUGUAAAUUAUGUUAUUUCAUUCUCUUUUUUUUUUCAAGUAAUAUUGCAUUAUUUUAAUUUAAUUUUCAAGUUAAUUAAGUAGAAAAAUUAGAUCAUGAGUUGGACAUAAUGACAAUAAUUUUUUCCUAUUCAUAGAUUUAACAAUAAAAAAAGGGGUUUUAUUUUUUUCAAAUACAUCUAUAAGAGAAUUUAUACUAUGUUUUUCUUAUAGAUAUGAAGGAAAUGAAAACAAAAAAUAAAAUAAAAUUCCAUCAUUGAAUGUACUACCCAAUUCAAUUUAGAAAAUUUAUUUUUGAAUAUUUGUCGUUUAGUUUACAAAUCUUAAAGAAAUAAAUAAAAGAUGGCUAAACAUUCAAGGCAAGAAAAAUUGAUCCAUUCAAUUACCCAUGGAAAUGAUAAUUGGCCAUGUUUAAUGGGUUUUGAAGUCUUAGUGAAACUUGAUGUAAUACUUCAACUACCAAAGAUAAUAAAUAAAUUUAUAAUAUUGACUAAGAGCUUAUUUGGAAAGUAUGGCUGAAAAUGAUUUUAAAUUCUUAUAGAGUAUGCCUUAUUAAAAAUUAAUAAUUUGAAAAAAGUAUUAAAGUUAGAAAAUGAUUCAUAAUGUUUCUUAAAUAAACACUUGAUAAAUAUUUUUUUUAAAUAUUUAAAAAAUUAUGAAAAAAUUAGAAUUUCCAAUAAAUGUUUAUGUUAAGAAGGUACAUUUUUCUAGAAUUUUUAUUAAAAACACUUUCAAACAUACCUAUAUCCCUUUUUGUUUGGAGUAUAACCUAUGAAAACACAUUUUUCAACUCUAGGAUCAAGUUAGAUCAAAAUUUGUUGGGUAUGUGAACAAAUACCAUGCAACCCAAAACUUGUAAAGAGAAAUUAGAUUAUAUUCUAGAUUCUAGAAAUUUUUGGGGUGCUCCAAAGGUGUGAUAUAUUUUAAAACUUAGGUAGGCAUCCUAUUAAUUAAAUAGGAUAUUGUUCAAACAACUUCUCCCGAUAAAUAGUUUGGAACAUGCAUAAAAAAACAUUAUGGCAUGGACCACUUCAAGUAAAUGUUUUUUUUUUCUCUAAACAACUCCAUUUUGUUAAAGAAUAUCAUGACAUGUAGAUUGAUGUUGGAUAUUUUUUUCUUUUUAAAAAAUUUUCAAGCAUUUAUUAAAAUUUUCAUUCUAUUAUUAAAGUCAAGUAGACUGAUUUUUAUUUGAAAGUGAUUUUUAAUUUAUUGUAAAAAUCUUUGAACAACUUUUCCACUUCAAAUAUUUAAUAGGUGUGAUCAUUUAUAAAAGUCACAAACCCGUUUUUUCCUAGAUAAAAUGGUAACCUUUAAAGGACUCCAAACAUCACUAUGAAUCAAAUCAAAUAAUUUCGAAGCAUCAUAAGGUUUCGAGAUAUAAGUAGCACGAUGAAUUUUGAUAAACGACAACUCUCACAUUCUAAUAUAAUAAUGUUUAUAAAUACAUAUAUACAACAUUGUACGAUUUAUUUUUCUGUUUUCAUUUUUUUUCACCACACGAGACUAGAAACCAAGGGAGAAUAAGUCGGUGUCACAAGCGAUGUGGCCGUUACAAGAGAAGAAAUCGUUCCCCGGGAAAAGAGCAGGGCGGUUGGUUUGUACCUACCUCCCGGGAAGUAAAACGCGUCGUUUUGGGCUUGGGCUUUUAAAGUAAAGGGCUAAAACCACUGUUAGAAACUGGACCUGGCCCAGUUUGAGUAAGCAGAGGCAUCUUACUCUUUUCUUUUGCUACAUAAAUAAUUACUUCCAUGCUAAUCCAUUUUAAAAUUGCUUUGAUUCAAAACAAAAAUAAUUUUAAUAUUUAAAAAAUAUUUUAAUUAAAUAAAAAUAUUUGCAUGGACAAAGUAUUGGUCUCUUUAUUCAUUUAUUUUUUCAAUAUCUUAAAUACCUAAAUAUUUUAAAAUAUUAAUUUUUACCGUUAAUUUUUACAUUUGAAAUAUAUACUCCCAAAAACAAUAAUACUUUUUUUUUUGGGUAAUAAAAUUGGAUUCCUGUUUUUUAUUUUGCAAAGUUAUUUUCCUUUAUUGUUUUUUUCCUUUUUUUAAAGUUUAUGAUUUUUGUUAUAAAAAUUAUUACUAAUAAAAAUUCAUCUAGUAUAUGAUGUUAAUUCAUUGAGAUGACGUAUUAACAUAGACGGUAGUAUGGUAGGAUAAAAUAAAGUUUUUAACGUUAUUAGAUUUAUUGCAAAAGGUAAGCACAACAUUUAUAUAUUGAACUUAAAACAUAAAUACGCUAAAAGUAUAAUGCACUAUGACAAGCCUUAAUUUUACUUUUUAAAAAUUAUAAAACAAAUAUUUUAUUGUACUAUUUUCUUAAUAGUUAUAUUACAAAAUUAAAUAUUUUAAAAUUUAUGAAAUCUAUAUAAUAAAAAUUAUAAUAGCUUUAUAUUUUUAAUUAUCAAAAUGAAACAAUAAUUUGUAAAUUUAAUAUAUUAUAUAUUAUAUUAUUAUUAUUAUUACUAUUAUUUUGGAUAAGUUAUUGAUAAUUUUUUAAAAUAAUAAUUAAUAAAAUUGUAAUUUAUAAUAAAUUUUUAUAUUAUAUAUAUGGAUUAGUAUUAAUAUUAUUCUUUUUAGAUAGGUUAUUAAUAAUAAUAAUAAUAAUAAUAAUAAUUAAAAAAGAAAAAGAGAAAAUAGAGAAAAGACAAGGGAGGGAUACGUUUGAUUUUAAAGUGAAAAGUAUGAGGGUAUACUUAACUUUUUGUAUUUUGUGUCACGUGGAAGACUUAUUAAAGUUGGUGACCCAUUUGGGACAUUAUCACCCAUAACUCAUCCUAUAUGGAAAUUUUCCUUAAAAUGUUUUACUAAUGGGCAGAAAAUCCCUCCUCAAAGCACAUGAGGAUAUUUAUGAACUAUUUGAAUGGAAAUUGGAGUUAAAAUCAACUAUAAGAGUGACUUAGUUUAGUGGAAUAUAUAGUUAGAAGAUAAAUCUCACUCAACUAUCUCUUUACCUAUAAGACAAAACUCAUUGCCUUGUAUAGUGGGAUAAAAAAGCAAAUAAAUGGGUUCUUUUUAGUAAAAAAUGUGUUCCAUGAUCAUAUCACAAAUUUAAGUUAAAUAAAAACUAAAAAUUUCUAAAUAAAUUUUUUAUUAAAAUGAUUUCUCAAUGGUGAAGUAAAUUAAUCUUACAUAUUUUUGUACCCCAAUUUUUUUAUUUAUUUUUUAUUUUUAUUAAAAUAGGUGGAGGUGUUUAACAAUUCUCCUUUUCAAAUCCUAGUCCUAAACCUAAUUCUAAUCAUUAUUAUUUCUCGUUUCUUUUCUUUCCUUUCCUUCAAUUCUAUUAUAUUUAAGUACUUAAAUUAAAUCAUUAACUCAAUUUAUCAAAUUCAUCAUAAGGAUCAUGUAAAAAUCUUUUAAACCACUUAGUGGAUCCACUCGUCCAUUAUUCAUGAUUGAUUGAUCAAUGUAAAGAUUACAAUACCAUUUAUAUGUAAUUUAGAGACUCUCCCCCUAGAUUUAUACAUAUGAAUUGCUAUUAGAAAAAGAAAAAAAAAAUUCAGCUCAGAAACUGGGACAAGGGGUAAUAGAAACUCAUCAAUGCUUAUAGCUAGUGCAUAAUUAGAAUGAAGAGGACACUAUUAAAUAGAGCAGGUUGUCCUUUUUGUUCAAUUAAUCGAUUAUUCUAGUUGGGAAAUAUACCAAACAUGGGUUCUUGAAUUAAAUUAUUGUACAAAAUGUCUCAAAAGAAAAUGUUACUUGACUUGUUUUAUAUACAUUUGUUUGCAAUUGAUUAAUUUGUACUAAUAAUUAAGUGUUAUUUCUUUAGAGCUCUUGUUUAUUUUUUAAAAAAUAAAAAAUAGUAGCAAUUUCUACAUAAAAUAAGAGAAAUAUUAAUAUAGUGUUUUUUUAAAAUUGAUUAAAUAAAUUAAAAUAUUAAAAAAUUAUUAUAUCAAAUUUUAAAAUUUUUGAAAAAGAUUUUUUAAGAAUAUAUAGUAAGUUUAUACCUUUUAUAUAAAAAUUUCUAUUUUUUACCAAAAAAAAAAGUUAUAUUUAAAAAAAAUAGGAAAUGUAUAGAAAUGAAACAUAAAUGCUUAAAUAAGAUUUAUCGAAUAAUGACAUUUUACUUAAACCAAUAAAAAAACAAUUCAAAUAUUAGUUGUCUAUUGAAACAAUUGUUUUCAUCAAACCCUUCACAACCCAAUUAGUAUAUGAAAUGGAAUAGGCACAUAUAACAAGAAUCUUCUCAAGAAAUUCAAUCUUUGUUAGAUUUAGAAACAAUAUCGCAAAUCCACUAAAAUGUUCCAUCAUGUAUCAUAGAACAAAUUUAAAAAAUAAAUAUAUUAAUAAUCCAUGAAAAAUCCACAUACAUGCUCAUAUGCACCUCGAAAAUGGAUAAAUUUAAUUCCCAAAAUAGGGAAAAUUAGGAUUAUGUGUAAAAGAUAAAAAAAAAUAUUUUUAAAAAUAUGACUAACUUUUCAUAUUUUUAAUCUAAAAGGAUAAAAACAUAUUUUAUUUCAUAUGAAGAAACUCUUCACUCAAAAUUACACUUACCAUUUUCACUACCUCUGACUCGACCUCUUCACCUUCCACCGUCUCUGUGGUAAAUUACAGGUGUAUGACAUUUGCUGUUGAAAAUGCUUUUAUCGCUACUUGUAAACAAAACCAUCAAUGUCUUAAGCUUAAGUUGAAUUUGCUCUUUCUCAUGCAAGGUGUUUUGCUGUUAGUUACCAUAUCAAGUUACAUAUGAUGUAUAGAGGUCGUUUAGAGAUAAGCAAGGCACUAAGAAAAAUGUACCUGGAGCGGUAUAACCAAAGGUUCCUGCAAAUGAAGUCCAAUUAGAUGAGUCUGACUUUAAAAGCCUAGCCUUGCUGAAGUCAGAUACAUGAGCUUCAUAUUCUAAAUCUAACAAAACAUUGUUGCUCGAUAUUCAUCUGCUCUUUGGAUCAUGUUCUCCUUGAGUUACUUGUUUCUUCUUAACAAAAAAAUAUGGUUUGUCACCCAUUUCAGAAGGGAAUAAAUAAGAAAAACUAAUAGCUCAUGCUAAUAAGCAUCCAAAAAAAGAAGUGAUUUCAACAGUUUGGGAAUUAUCACUCUCUCAAAAGCCUAUGAAAAAAAUGUAAAGAUACAUGUUAGGGUCCUAAAAAAGGUGCAGACACAUGAACGAAAAACCUAAUUGCAUCCAAAAAAAAGGAGUCGCAUCUGCCUUCUUGGAUCUCCCCAGCCCCAAGCACACGUCCAAAACGGUGACUGUCACAAGAAUGAAGGUUACAAGAAAUCCAUAGCCUGUCUUCCACCCCAAGCCUGCUUCUGCCAUGCAAAGUCCAAUCACAAAAUUCAGAGCUUCCAAGAAGAGAGCAAGUGUCCCUACCAAAUGAUGUUACCAGUUCCAGUAAUUGCGCUGUUCGGCUGUCUUGUCCGGCCUUAGAAUCAAUGCCAUUACCUGAGAAGAAGAAAACUUAGUUUUCAGCAUGCUUGAAGAAAUAUAUUUAGUUAAUGUCGAGUGAAGGCCCAGGCAGAGUGAAAACAAACCUGAAGAAUGCUAAGGAAAAACACCAAGGAUCCGAUGGGUCUGUGAAUCUUGGAUUUGGAAAUGCGAUGAGACUCCAGUCCAUUGUAGAGUGUCCUUCCUGCAACGACAGUAGCAAGACCCGGAAGAAAACCCACAAUCUGGAUCGAGAUAUGAAGAUAAAACCAUUGAGGAUCAUGAUGCUUGAAGUAUCUUGGGAUGAUUGCCCCAAAUGGAAGGAGCAUGCCCCAUGCAAUUAGGCCAAUGGCUCCAUGACGCGUUGUCAAACCUCUAGUGUUAUCGACACCAGAGGUAUAACCUGUGAGACACAGAACAGAAAGUUUGCAUAUCAGGCUUAAAAGAUUUUUAUUUGAAGCUCCCACUUUAUUUUCCUACAUAUAACUAUAUAAGCCCCCACGUCUAGAAUGUAAAAUCCUCUGUUCUCUGUUCAAAUUUCAGCUUUGCAAAUCUUGUAUUCAAUUCAAUCCUCGUCUUUUUAUGGCCUCAUAAAUUCUAAACCUUGUCUGGGUUUUCCAGUUUUGUGAAAAAUUACAUCGGGGAGCCAGCAGGAUGGGAUUAGACUCGAUGUUAGAGACAAAACUUUGGAAAAAUCUGCAAAACCCUCAACAGUUGUGGCCAUAUCUCAAGACCAAGAUGAGAAUUUACAAUAUAAUCGUGAUGAAUACUUCAUAGACUGCUCUACAAAACUAGAGUUCGUCCGAAUGCCUAUCCUUUCUUGAAAAGACAUGAAGGUCCUCACAUUCUCGAGCAGGAAGACCCUUGGCCGAAAGUAAUCAGCAAAGGAUAAAAACACCAGGAUCAUUUCACACUGAACACUUUAGUACUCCAGCUACUCUGGUUAAACGGAUUCAUCCCAGAGAAACCCUGUGAAGAUAGCAGCCUUGUUUUAGCUCUUAGAAUAGAGCAAAAAACAGAGCAUAAGCUGAUCAAACCUGGCAUGGAGUCCCCCCAAUUAAUAAAAUCAACUUGUCCAAGCAUCCAGUGACGUGGAUUAUUUGGCAGCCUCAGAAGUAGAGACACAGUCAUCGGCAUCCCCACACUUCUCCACGACAACCCUGCAUCACAACCAAUUUAUGGGUCAAUUACAAAUUGAGAGAGAGAAAAAGAGAUUUUCAUCUUAAUGAAAUCAUUCACCUCAGGCAUUGCAAUAGUUAAUAAACAUCAGUGAUUCUGGAUGAUAACAAAUAUCAUGGAGAAGUGGGGACCCUCAACUAGUUUCGCCUCCAAGACCAUGGCCAAGCAAUUCACCCAAGACAAUCAUGGAAAACGGUCUUGACAAUGGUGGCCAUUGUGUCGAAAGUGUUCAAGCAAUUUGUUGCAUAGUUGGCCGAGAUUGGGGUUUAACAUGCAAACAUGCAAACGUUAACUUCACUGCAAGUGCUACUUCCUCAGCCACUUGAUUCACAGGAGGUGAUGGGUGUUGGUCCAUCACAUCAUUCAGCAGUAUGUAGUCUACGGUUGAUAUUGAUGAGGAUGAGGAAGCUGAUGAUGACAACCAUGAGAUGAGUUCACCAGGAUGUCUUCCCAUAAUUACUUCCAAUGUUACCACUCCAAAGCUAUAGACAUCAGUUUUAUUAUCCACCUUCAUCGUGUAAGCAAGUUCUGUAAAGAAGAUUUGAUCAUGCUUUGUUCCGCUAAGCAAUUAUAACAGUUUUAUAUAUGAUGUAUAGAGGAAGUUUAGAGGUAAGCAAAGGCACUAAGCAAAUUGUACCUGGAGCAGUAUAACCAAAAGUUCCUGCAAAUGAAUUCCAAUUAGAUGAGUCCAACUUCAAAAGCCUAGCCGUGCCCAAGUCAGAUACAUGAGCUUCAUAUUCUGAAUCUAACAAAACAUUGUUGCUCGAUAUGUCUCAAUGAAUUAUAGGAGGUGAGCAAUCAUGGUGCAUAUAGGAUAAAGCUUUAGCCACACCUUUAACAACAUUCAGCCUCACAAUCCAAUCUAAUUUUUCUGCUUCUUGGUCGUUGCUUAGAAUGUUUCUCAAGCUCCCUUUUUCCAUAAACUCAUAAACCAAAAACGAGUUCUCUGCAAAUGAACUGAAGCCAUAAAGCUUGAUGAUAUUGUGAUGCCUUAUUUGUGUUAAAGCAUGAAUCUCGCUUUUGAAAGCUUUCAAAUGAGCCAUAUCUCCAUCUUCUGAUGAGUGAAGUUUUUUCACAGCAACAACAACCCGACCUGUUGGCAACUCAGCCUUGUAAACAGUACCAUAUCCUCCAGUGCCAAUACACCGUCUCGAACUGAAAUUGUCAGUCCCCUGUAUGAUGUGCUCAUACAACAAUUACCCAUCAUGGCCCCAUAUUGCACAUAAAUCUUCAACAUUUGCUUCUGGAAACUUGGUUUUUCUCUUCCUCAAUUUUUGGAAAAGAAAAUAAAUGCCAAUAAUAAAAGCAAAUAAGAACAAUAGAGUGCUCACAAGGAGGAGUAUUAUGAUCAAAACAGAAAACUUGUUGGCCUUCUUUCGACUAGCAAUGCAUAGCUUGAGAUGAGUGACAUUAUUACCACACAGACUCUUAUUAUUUUUGAAUGCCUCAAAUGGAGCGAAGGCUUUGACGUUGGGGAGAGGACCUUUCAACUGAUUGUAGGAUAUAUCAACAACUGUCAGGCUUAUCAGAUGGUCAAACGUGUGUGGGAUGGUGCCAGAGAGCCUGUUAUGGAAGAGAUUCAACGUUUCCAGGUACUGUAAUUCUCCAAGCAGCGGUGGUAUCUCUCCAGUCAACAUAUUUUGACUAAGAUCAAGACUCUCAAGAUGAUGCAUCUUUCCAAUUUCGUUGGGAAUGCUAUUCACAAAUCUAUUCUUGCUCAAGUUCAAGGACAAUAAUUUCUAGAAGUUUCCCAAUUGUUUGGGAAUUGGACCGCUUAAGUUGUUUGACGCCAAGUCAAGGAUUUCAAGAUUGGAUAAGUUUCCCAAUUCUAGAGGAAUACUUCCUGAAAGUUUGUUGUUGCCUAGCAAUAAUUUGAACAAUAAGGGAAACAUACCCAAUUCUUUUGGGAUCUUCCCAAUUAGAUGAUUUGAGGAGAGAUCAAGUUGUUGUAGUUGAAUUGUUUUCCCAAGUUGAGGCGGUAUAGUACUAGAAAUUUUGUUGUUGGAGAAGUUCAGGUUUGUGAGCAUGUGGUAUUGCCCCCAUUUCUCAGAAAGCUCACCAUAAAAAUUAUUACUGCUCAAAUCAAUAUAAUUUAAAUUAGGGUAUACACCAAAACUUUCGACUAUGUCUCUUGUAAGUUGGUUUCUUUCAAUCCUAACUUUGAACAGGCUAGUACGAUUUUUCAAGCUCUUUGGAAUAGGACCAGUGAAAUGGUUUCCAUGGGUGGAAAAGUAUUGAAGAACACCACCAUGACAUAUCUCGUUUGGUAGUUGGUCAAUGAAGUUAUUGUCACCUAAUUGCAAAUAUGUCAAAUGAGUGAUAUUAUUUAUUUCUUGAGGAAUGACACCACUCAAAUUGUUGUGAAAAAGGGUCAAAUUGAUUAAGCUAGACAAGUUUCCUAUGGAAGUUGGUAUUGAACCACUGAGAUUGUUAAAUGACAAGUCAAGAAUAUCAAGCAAUCUCAACAAUCCAAUUUCUUGAGGGAUAGAACUAGAAAGGUCAUUUUCAAAAAGAUACAAAAUGGUUAAGUUCCUCAAGUUUCCUAUAGAAGGAGGGAUUGGACCAGUGAGAUUGUUAGUUGACAAUUUAAGAUCAUUAAGAGAUCUUAACAAUCCAAUUUCUUGAGGGAUGGAACUAGAAAUCUCGUUCUCGAAAAGAUACGAAGUGGUUAAGUUUCUCAAGUUUCCUAUGGAUGAAGGGAUUGAACCAGUGAGACUAUUAUUUCCUAACUCAAGAUCAUUAAGUGAUGUCAACAAUCCAAUUUCUUGAGGAAUAGAACCGGAUAGUUUGCUUGUAUGAAGGUACAAAGUGGUUAAGUUCCUCAAGUCACCUAUGGAAAGAGGGAUUGGACCGAUGAGAUUGUUAGUUGACAAUUCAAGACUAUUAAGAGAUCUUAAUAAACUAAUUUCUUGUGGGAUGGAACCAGAAAGCUUGUUUUUAAAAAGAUACAAAGUGAUUAAGUUUCUCAAGUUUUCUAUGGAUGGAGGGAUCGGACCAGUGAGACUAUUAUUUCCCAACUCAGGAUCAUUAAGUGAUGUCAACAAUUCAAUUUCUUGAGGAAUAGAACCAGAUAGUUUGUUUGUAUGAAGGUACAAAGUGGUGAAGUUCCUCAAGUUACAAGAGGGAUUGGACCAGUGAGAUUGUUGGUUGACAAUUGAAUAUCAUUAAGAGAUCUUAACAAUCCAAUUUCUUGAGGGAUGAAACCAAAAAGCUUAUUCUUAAAAAGAUGUAAAGUGGUUAAGUUCCUCAAGUUUCCUAUGGAAGGAGGAAUUGGGCCUUUGAAAUUAUUAAAAGCCAAUGUUAGAGAGCUAAGAGAUGUUAGAAAUCCAAGUUGGUGAGGUAUUAUACUAGUGAAAUGAUUGAAACUAAAGUCAAGAACUGUGAUCAAUUUGGAAAGAUUACCAAUGUUGAUUGGAAUGGUUCCAUAAAGGGAGUUGUUAAAAAGAUUAAGAGUGAGGAGGUUGGGGAGUGAUGAGAAAUUAAGAUCGUGGAGUGUACCUCUUAAACCACAACUGUAAAGGUCUAAAUUGGAGACACUUCUUGACUUGUGAUAAGUUACUCUGAACCAAUGAUGACAAGAAUUGCGUCCAGACCAAGAAGAAAGGAAAGAUUGGGUUUGAUUAUCAAGGUUAGCCUUCCAUGUUAGAAGAGCGAGUGCUUCUUAAUCAAGUUCAACUUUCAAAAGAGAAGUGGUAGGUGUAGAGGCAGAUGUAAAAGUGGCAUGGAAUGAUGAUAUUGAGUACAAAAGGAAAAGUAGAAAUAUGAAGAAGCAAGGAGUGAUGUUGAGUUGGGGGAGUAAGGAGUAGGAUGAAAAAUAUUCAAGGGUCAUUGUUGAAUUGGUAGAAAUGAAGUUAUUAAGAGGUUUACUUGGAGGGAUGGAUGAAGGUGAAAUACUUAUUUAUAGACUUAAAUGUGAUACAUCCAACAUUUCCAUUAGUUGGCGUUGACAUCUAACCACCUCCUUAGUCUAUGAUUAAUGGAAUUGAAAAGGAUUAUAUGCAUGAGCUCAAUUCCACACUUAUUUUAUUUUAUUUUAUUUUUAUCAAAAUGCUCUUAAUUUUUUAAUUAAAAUUUACAUAUGCAAUUACAUAUGAAAUAAUGAAAAAUAUUCCUUUAUCUCUCCAGGCACUUUUAAAUAUAACUUGUUUAAAAUUAAUAAUUACAAUUCAUUUUAAGAUCGUGAGGACCAAAUAUGCCCACGUCAACAUCCUAGUUGAUACAAGAAGUCCACUUGACCAAGACUACCUAUACAUAUGCCUUUAUAUAAACCACUUAAUAUAUUUUUUUUCAGAAGCAAAGAGAAUUGGACACAUAUUUUAUUAUUAAACUAUAAUAAAUCUACCAUGAAUUUUUUGGUAGGCCUACAUUCUACGCAAGAUAUUUUUAUUAUUUUGCAUCAAGAAAUUGAAAAAAAAAUAAUUGAUUUAUUUGUUACUCAUCAAACAAUUGAGAUUCAUGUUAGAAUUAAUUGUUUCUCAUUAAUUCUUCAUGAAGAAUUGACCUAUAAGAGAUUGAUAUUUUUAAAUAUUUAAUUAGAAGCAUGUAAUGAAAUAUUUACUGAGUUUAUUAUAUACUUUUUUAAUUUAGUUUAGGUUUCUAAAAUUACUAGUUCUCAAAUAUCUUAUUUAUAUAAUUAUUAUUUUCAAAAUAUUGUUAAAUUACUAAUUUUUGGAAUUUUCAUUAUGGUAAUAAGUGUUAAUAUUUUGAAAUAUUUGCAAAUAUGUUAAUUAUCAUUUUUUUUGGUCAAACUAUUAGUCUUCAAAUAUUGUUAUUUUAAUUAUAUAAAAUCAAAAUAUAUAUAAUAAUUAUUUUAAUACAAAGAAAGAAAUUUAAUUACUAAUUUUUAGUCUUACCUUGUAAAAGGAAGUAGACUUAACACUUAAAGAGAACAUUUAGAGACCACUUUUCAACAAAUAUGUUAUUCAAAGUUAUACAUCUAGUUCUAUUACAUUUAAGUUGAUGUGAGCGGCAUUUAACUACCAAUGAAAAAUAAAUAAACACAUGUUAUUGACUAAGAACUCAUCUGGAAAGUAGGAUAAAAAAUGGUUAUAAAUGCCUUAAAAAGUGUAUUUUACUAAAAAAAAAAUAUCAUUUGAAAAAAAAUUAUAAUCGUUUUAAAGUUAGAAAACAUGAAUAAACACUUAUAAAUACUUCUUCUAAAAGUCAUUAAAAGAAAAACAUGAAAAAUCUUAAAAUUUCAAAUAAAUGUUUAUGUUUGAAAAACAUAUUUUUCUAGCAUUUUUAUUAAAAAAAUACUUUCAAACAUACCCUUACUUGAUCUACUCUAGUUCCUAAAAUAAUUACAAAUUCUAUUUAAUUUUUAUUUUUAAAAUUUUUUACUUAGGGGUGGAAAAUUGCUCCACAAAUCAUACAUGGAUAUGAAUUAUUUGGAUGAAAAUUGGAGCUAACGUCCAUAUCAUAAGAAUGACCUAUUUUAGUGGAAUAUACUUUACCUAUAAGACAAUGCUCAUUACCUUGCAUAAUGGGAUGCAAAAAUACAUAUGAGUGGACACUUUUGACUUAAAAACGUGUUUCACGAUCACAUUAAGACAAAACUCACUGCCUUAUAUAAUGGGAUGCAAAAAUACAUGAGUGGACACUUUUGACUUAAAACAUGUUUCACAAUCACAUUAAGACAAGCAUAGCCUUGUAUAAUGGGAUGCAAAAAUACAUAUGAGUGGACACCUUUUGACUUAAAACAUGUUUCACAAUCACAUUAAGACAAAACUCACUACAUUGUAUAAUGGGAUGCUAAAAUACCUAUGAGUGGGCACUUUUUACUUAAAAAUGUGUUUCAUGAUCACAUGUGUUAUAAAUUUAAGUUGAAAGAAAAUUACCACUUAAACCUCCAAAGAACACCCUUUGGAGAUGAAUAUAAAAAUUGAAAAUAAAGAUAAACUCCCUCAUAUUAUAAUAAAAUUUUAAUUUUCAAUUGUUAUAAAUUGUGAUUAUGUUACAAAUUGUGAUUAUGUUACAAAUUAAGUUAAAUAAGAAGUAAAAUGUAUUUUGUAAAAAGAAUAUUUUAAAUUUGAAGUAAAUUUUAAAUGUGCUAAAAAUUUUAGGUCCUCUUUGGGCAUGUUUUCUAAUACUUGUUGAAAAGUUUUUUUUUUUACGUUAAAGAAUGAAAGAUAGUUAUUUAGCAUUUUAUUAAAAUAAGGGUGUUUGACAAGUUGUUUUUGAAAAAAAAAAAUUAAAUAAAAAAUAAAAAACUUUUUUGAAUAAGUUGUUUAUAAAAAUAAUAUUUCUAUUUUGAUUUUAAAAAAACAUUAUAAAUUUAAUUUAUGUAAUAUUAAUUAAAUUUCAUUCAAGUCUUAUUAAAAAUGAAAAUAGUUUUUAGUUACAAAUAAAUUAAAAAAUAAGUAGUUUUUUUUUGUAAAAUAUGAAUAAUAAUAUUAUAAUAAAAUCAUAAUUUUUUUUAUAAAAAAAUACUAUUUUAUUAUAUUUUUCCUUCUAAAGCUCAUCUCAAAUUUUAGGUGGAUGCAGGCUUAAGUGCUACUUAUCUCAUUAACAAAUUACCUCUCUUUUAUUGGUAAGAAUUCUUUGUACUUUAAAUUGUUUUCGUUUACACAUCUUUGGUUCCCUGUGCUUUCCAUAUUUAAAAAUCUUAGCAUGCACAAAUUUCAAAAAAAAAAAAAGAAAAAAGAAAAAAGUUGUACCCUACGCUUUCUUAGGAUAUAGUCAUUUACAUAAAGGCUAUGGAUGUCUUCAUCUCAUAUCAAAUGAAGUCUCACUACUACAAAAAAUGUAAUUUAUGAUGCUUUUUUUCUUGACGCUUAUAUAAAGUGCCAUUAUUUAUUCUCAAAAAUGGGUAUUAAUGACGCUUGCAUUAUCUUGGCUCUUUAAUGGGAGAAAUAAUGACGUUUUUAAAUAAUGGCGCUUUUUUAAGCAUCAUUGUACAAUGAAUUUCAAAUAAUGACGCUUUUUUAAGUGCCAUUGUAGGAGAACCUCAACCUUGGCGCUUUUAAAAGCGUCAUUUUCUGUUCAUUUUAUAAUUACUCACAUUUUUCAAUUAAAAAAAAAGAGAUAAAUGUAAUAAAGCCUUUUCCAUACCCGAUGCCCACACUCAAGUUUCAUUACCAAAUCUGUCUCUAACUGAACCAGCAAGCUCCAACCAAUUUCGAUUGAGAAAAUGAAGUUCUUACUCCAAAUCAAGAAGAUAGCAUUCAUGGAUGUUCCACCGAUUUGACUAUUUGGGUGCUGGAUUAAGAGAAAGGAAAUGAAUGGAGAUAUGAGAGAAAGCUAGGGUUUUUUUAGAUCCGUAGGUUGGGAGAGGCAAGAGGCAGCAAAGGCAGGUGCCUUCGGUUGAAGAGGUAAGCAAGGAGGAAAGGUCGAAGAACCAGAGGAACAGAGGAAAGAAAAGAAGGGAGAAGAAAAAACCCAGAAGAGAGAGUUGUCGGGUACGAGCCCAUAUGUUCUCGUUUUCCCAUGGAUUCACAUUCUUCACUAUUGAUUUCUGGGAUUUGAGUGUGAAUGCUUGUAAAUCUAUUGUGGUUUUUGUUUAUUAUUAGUUAUUUUCUUGGUUUGCAUCUCCGAUAAAAAGAUACUAUACCUCUGUUUUUAGGCUCAGUUGUGUCUCUCCUCUGUUUUUGUUCUCUGGUUCUUAUGUUCUCUAGAAGAUUUGGAAAUGGUUCUGGUAUUGUUCCAUUUGUGUACAAUGGUUCAUGCCGAAAGGAGCUUGCUUUCCAUGGAGUUGUAGGUACUACCUAUAACUUGUUUGAUGAAAUGCCAUUUCGAGAUAUGGGCUCUUGGAAUGCAUAGAAAGUUUUUCAACAAUUUUUAUUAAGGGAUGUAGUGUCAUGGAACUCAAUAAUUGCUGCCUAUGAGCAGAAUCAUGUGGCUUUCGAAUUAAAUAAAAAAAAAUUCUUCAGGAGGCGCUGCCCUUUUCAACCCCCGCAAGCUGACCAGGCAGCUCGACCCCCGACAUCCCGAGCGAAGUGCAACAUUUACUACUAAUUUAAGCUUCACAAUCUGACAUAGGCUUCAUUGCUUAUGUUACAAAAGAUGCUAUUCAACUUCAUUUUUAAAUGGGUUACACAACAUGUUAUCUAAUUAAUAAUAACAUCAUGUUUGGUUCAUCUAUUCAAUAAACUAAUUGAGAUUUGACACCCCACUUAUGACCACAAACUAGAAUGGUCACCCCCAACAUAAGUAGAACACAUGUCAAGGUGCGGCUUAGCUCUACGUUAGCCUUACUUGGGAAAUCUACCCAAGUCUAAGCCUAAAAACAAAAUGAAAAAAAUAUCAUGAUAUUAUAUUAAUACAAAUUAUAUGUAUCUAUAUUGAUUAUCUAAUUAAUCAAGACUCUAAAAAAUGAGUAACUUUGAUAAAUCAUUUUGGGGGUUGGAGAUGAACCAAUUUUAACAUGAACUUUAUGUAGUGGGUCUUUAAUGGAUUUAGCCAAGUUUGUGAACUUAGGCCUAAAAUGUGAUGCUUACAAACAAUAUUUUCCUAUUCUCACCAUUGCAAUUGAUAUGAAUAAUUUAUAAUACAUAACUAGAUGUAAUAUUUUAAUAAGUAUUUAUGUUUUAGUUUUAAUCAACUAUGCAUGCAUGAAUCCUUAGAAUUCCCAUUCAAGUAUCAUUGUGAGACAGAAGUUUCUCUUAUUACAUACUAAGACAAUAAGUUGUCAAAAUGUGAAAUGUGGGUAUAUUUAAGCCAGUUUCAAGUUGACAACUACUAAAUUUGUCUUCCAUGUGAUAAAUAUCUUUUCUCUGCAAAUGAUGUUUGAAUUGUCCAGUUGGACAGCAUAGGAAAACAUGAUAUCUAUGAAGUUAAUUGCUUGUUCUUAAUUCAAUUUUUAGAAAAUUUGGUAGUCUUUCUUCUUGUUCUUUGGGUGCAUAUUUGGACAAGGUCACAUAUUGUGCCUUAUCCAUUUUGUGUACUUGGAGAACUAUAGGGAAAUGCUGUCGAAAUUUCUUUAAAAUGAAUUUAAGUAUAUUGGCAAUUGACACAUAGGGAUUAUGCAUUCCUAUAUGGGAUAGGAACCACCACCUAAUUAAGGAUGUUGGAGAUGUUAGAAUGCCUGAAUCAUGUAUAAAUCACUUGUUUCUAUUCAUUCGAAUCUUAGUUCCAUUCGUUAAUUGUUUUAGUUCAUGGUAUCAUUGUCUCAUGUGGUUAUGUGUUUUUAAAAUUUUCAAACUUGGUGUAUUCAAUAAUAUAAGAGAAGACUAAAAGUUAGAUCUUGCUUUUCAUUCCUAUUCAUGAAUAAAACAAACAUCAUGAAUGAACUAAGAUCCAUUUUUUAUGCUAAUAUUGAAUAACCUAAUAUACUAAUUAUGUUUCUUGUCAUAUUGCUUAUUGUUAGAUGACUUGCACAUUGUUGUUUUUUGGAUUGGUCUAAGUUUUGUGACAAUGUGGGAAAUUUUAAUUUGGUAGAUUAUAUAUUUUAAGCCUAUUAAUAGGAUUUUAUUAAUAACUUUAGUUGUUGGUGGUAUCUAGGAGUUGUGUUUAUCUCUUGUACAUCAAAUGGAUUGUUCUUGGAUGUCAAAGGAUAGGAGAUCAAAGGAUUAUGCAGAUGGGGUAGAAAGCUUUAUCGCAUUUGCAUUACAAUAUUCCACAUAUAAAAACUCCAUUAAAUGUCCAUGCCUUCAGUGUGGUAAUAUGAUAUUCCACACUCCUCAAAAAAUUAGAGAACAUUUAUUCUUCUAUGGAAUUGAUCAGAGUUACCAUACAUGGUAUUGGCAUGGAGACGCUGCUCCAAGUGGACCACCAACUAGUAGGGCAGAAUGGCAUCAUACAGUUGAAUUUAACGAUGUGGAUAGUACAAUAGAAAUGGUUCAAGUUGCAUAUGAUGAUCGUAAGAAUGACCCAAAAUUGUUUGAAACAUUACUUGAAGAUGCUCAAAAACCUUUAUAUCCUGGUUGUAGAAACUUUACAAAGUUAUCUGCAUUGGUCAAAUUAUACAACCUGAAAGCACGAUAUGGNNNNNNNNNNNNNNNNNNNNNNNNNNNNNNNNNNNNNNNNNNNNNNNNNNNNNNNNNNNNNNNNNNNNNNNNNNNNNNNNNNNNNNNNNNNNNNNNNNNNNNNNNNNNNNNNNNNNNNNNNNNNNNNNNNNNNNNNNNNNNNNNNNNNNNNNNNNNNNNNNNNNNNNNNNNNNNNNNNNNNNNNNNNNNNNNNNNNNNNNNNNNNNNNNNNNNNNNNNNNNNNNNNNNNNNNNNNNNNNNNNNNNNNNNNNNNNNNNNNNNNNNNNNNNNNNNNNNNNNNNNNNNNNNNNNNNNNNNNNNNNNNNNNNNNNNNNNNNNNNNNNNNNNNNNNNNNNNNNNNNNNNNNNNNNNNNNNNNNNNNNNNNNNNNNNNNNNNNNNNNNNNNNNNNNNNNNNNNNNNNNNNNNNNNNNNNNNNNNNNNNNNNNNNNNNNNNNNNNNNNNNNNNNNNNNNNNNNNNNNNNNNNNNNNNNNNNNNNNNNNNNNNNNNNNNNNNNNNNNNNNNNNNNNNNNNNNNNNNNNNNNNNNNNNNNNNNNNNNNNNNNNNNNNNNNNNNNNNNNNNNNNNNNNNNNNNNNNNNNNNNNNNNNNNNNNNNNNNNNNNNNNNNNNNNNNNNNNNNNNNNNNNNNNNNNNNNNNNNNNNNNNNNNNNNNNNNNNNNNNNNNNNNNNNNNNNNNNNNNNNNNNNNNNNNNNNNNNNNNNNNNNNNNNNNNNNNNNNNNNNNNNNNNNNNNNNNNNNNNNNNNNNNNNNNNNNNNNNNNNNNNNNNNNNNNNNNNNNNNNNNNNNNNNNNNNNNNNNNNNNNNNNNNNNNNNNNNNNNNNNNNNNNNNNNNNNNNNNNNNNNNNNNNNNNNNNNNNNNNNNNNNNNNNNNNNNNNNNNNNNNNNNNNNNNNNNNNNNNNNNNNNNNNNNNNNNNNNNNNNNNNNNNNNNNNNNNNNNNNNNNNNNNNNNNNNNNNNNNNNNNNNNNNNNNNNNNNNNNNNNNNNNNNNNNNNNNNNNNNNNNNNNNNNNNNNNNNNNNNNNNNNNNNNNNNNNNNNNNNNNNNNNNNNNNNNNNNNNNNNNNNNNNNNNNNNNNNNNNNNNNNNNNNNNNNNNNNNNNNNNNNNNNNNNNNNNNNNNNNNNNNNNNNNNNNNNNNNNNNNNNNNNNNNNNNNNNNNNNNNNNNNNNNNNNNNNNNNNNNNNNNNNNNNNNNNNNNNNNNNNNNNNNNNNNNNNNNNNNNNNNNNNNNNNNNNNNNNNNNNNNNNNNNNNNNNNNNNNNNNNNNNNNNNNNNNNNNNNNNNNNNNNNNNNNNNNNNNNNNNNNNNNNNNNNNNNNNNNNNNNNNNNNNNNNNNNNNNNNNNNNNNNNNNNNNNNNNNNNNNNNNNNNNNNNNNNNNNNNNNNNNNNNNNNNNNNNNNNNNNNNNNNNNNNNNNNNNNNNNNNNNNNNNNNNNNNNNNNNNNNNNNNNNNNNNNNNNNNNNNNNNNNNNNNNNNNNNNNNNNNNNNNNNNNNNNNNNNNNNNNNNNNNNNNNNNNNNNNNNNNNNNNNNNNNNNNNNNNNNNNNNNNNNNNNNNNNNNNNNNNNNNNNNNNNNNNNNNNNNNNNNNNNNNNNNNNNNNNNNNNNNNNNNNNNNNNNNNNNNNNNNNNNNNNNNNNNNNNNNNNNUAUGUUUGUGAGUAAAAAAAUUAUGAAAAUUUUUUAUUAUCAAAUAUGCAUGUUGUGUUUUCCAAACUUAAUGUAACACAAACCGAUAGUCCAAAAGCUUUCAUAAGUUCUUAUGGACUUGAUGAACUUGUUGAAACCACGUGCUCCUUCCAUGUUGAUUCUUAUAGGAAAUUCCUACUGCAAAUUUAGCUUUCUUAUACAAAGGCCCUUGGGUUGCUUAAAAUAAAUGAAAUGUUAAACAAAGCGGGACAAAAAAAAGUUUAAAUGAAGUGUUAUCCUUGUUAUAUGAUGAACAAUUCUAAAAAGAUCUAUUGAAUUCAUGAUCUAUUGCAUUUCAUUGUGCAAUGAUUAUGGAUUUGUUUCUUUGAAAAGUUAUGUUUUACAAUUAUUCUUUGACUAGGUUAUAUGCAAUAUAAUUUUAACUAAUCUUUAUCAUUUUUUAUUUUUUUUUGUUACAAGAAUGGAGACAAAGGAAGGAGAAAAACCCAUAAAAAGGAAGUACAGAGGGAUGACACGGAAGCAUAUGAUUAUAAAAAACAGAAGCAAGGGGGUUAAGUUGCCGGUUAAGUACAAUCUUGAUGGCAUUUUCAUAGGAGAAUCAGCAGUUCAUCUAACAAGCUACUUAGGCGUGUUAGCACGCACUAUGGUGCCAAUAAGAUAUAAAACUUGGCAUGUUGUACCUAAACAGUUGAAUGAUAAGUUAUGGGACAGCAUUGAGGUAACCAUUUCUUAUUUAAAUCACUUUGAUGCAAAAUGUCUAUCAUUCUUAACCUCUUGAAAUUACUAAAGUUUGGUAUUAAUGUGCAGACUGCUUUUUCCUUAAAUCAUAAAAGCAGGAGGAAUUGUAUGUUAACAAUGGGAAAAUGCUUUCGGUCCUUUAAGAACUUGCUAACAGUGAAGUACAUUCUUCCUUUCGAAGACCAACCGGAGCUCCUCAAAAGACCACCAAUUCAAUAUACUUUUAUUGAGGAUGAAGAUUGGACAAUAUUUGUCAAAGAUAGAUUGUCUGACAACUUUAAGGUAUAAUUAAGACUCUUUACAUACCUCUUAUUCACAUUCAUUAAUUAUAAAAUUUUAAUUUAUAGGAAUAUCGAGAAAUUCAAAAAGAAAGAAGAAAGAGAAACAUUUAUAAUCACCAUCUAAGUAGGAAAGGAUAUGCCGGUCUUGAGGAAGAGAUGGUAAGUGUAAGCCUAUUAAUUGUUUUUUAUUUAUUUUAUGCAUAAUACAUAAUAGGGUUAUAUGAUAAUUAUAUUAUACAUUGUCCUAUUUUGAAAGAUGGUUGCAAGUGGAUCAAUUGAAACUAUUGAUCGAAGCAUAUUGUGGAAGAAAGCAAGGGAAAAAAAGGACGGCACCUUUGAUGAAGUGGCCAUACCAGUAAUUGAGAAAAUAGUAAGUGAAUAUUUUUCAAUUUUAAUUACAUAUAUUUAUAAUAAGUUAUUUACAAUAACAAAUUUGCAAUUUAACUUUAUAAUUAAUAUUUUUUAAGGACAAGCUAUUGAAAGAGUCUCAAGAGAAUGGUAGAAGUGUUAGUGGAAGUAAUGAUAUACUUGUGGAAGCAUUGGGUACUCCUGAGUAUAGUGGUCGAGUUAGGGCCAAAGGGAAGCACUACACAUCUCGCCAAUAUUUCAAUAGUGUUGCAGAUCGUGCUGUCAGGGAUUUCAUAGCAGCAUCUAAAGAAGAACAAAGAAUAUUUCAGGCAGAAGUGCUAGCAAAACUGUCUCAAGUAGGAGCUGUUACUCCCCAAUCUGAUGUUAGCAGUUCAAACAUGAAGCAAAAACAACUUCUCCUACCAGAAGUAGUGGAUAAGCCAAUCCGUAAAGUUGAAGAUGUGACCCCACCAGAAGCAAUAGAACCACAGAAGAAGGUAUUUAUUCAGUUAAGCUAAUUUGAUGACAAAGUUUCCUCUAAUACGAGAAAUAAUUUAAUUUAAUUUUGUUGUUUGAAUUGACUUCAAAUGUUGGUGGCAACAUAUAUGGUCUUCUUUGAUGUGGCAACAUAUAAUAGGAUAUGUCUAAAUUAUGGGUUGAGUUAUAUGCAAUGGACUAAAAUGUUAUCAUGCAAGUUUGUUGCAAUUGAAUGUAAAUGAAAUUGCAUUUAUCAUUGUAAUAGGAGCUAUAAGGUGAUUGAUGAUGAUAAUGCAUUUACGUUAGUUUUGUAUAAACCCACUAAUAUUGAAGUGAUUAUUGUGAAUUGAGUUUUGUAGGUUAGAAAAUGUGAGCUGGCCAUAGGCACCAAGGAAAAUAUAGUGGCAGGUGGAACAAUUAUACUUGAAUGUGGUCUCAACUAUUUAGUAGUUGUUGAUGCUCCUUAUGAUUCAAGUGCACCCCUUCCCAUUCCUAUUCUUGGACAAACUACUACUGUUGGGGCUGCAAUUGGUUACCAAGUUUUGUGGCCAACUGAUUUGGUCAUCAUCCGUACUUCCAUCUUAGUAAGUAAAUUUAAUUACCAAACUUUAUAGUGACUUUAUAUAUAUAUAUAUAUAUAUAUAUAUAUAAACUAGUUAAUUUGAUUUGUACCAUGGUUCUUAAUUGUACAGGCAUCUAAGAAAGCAAAGAAACAAAAAGUAAAUGAAGUUGAAGUCAAAUCCAAGGGUGAAAAACCACAAGAUAUGAAAAUUUUUGAGACAUUGGUUGGCCUCAUGCUGAGUACAUCAAGAACACACCCUAUAAACUUCCCAGAUGAUGUUUUUGGUGAGAGUUUCGAGACCUUCAUGAUGAAAGAAGAUAUGGAAAUGAUAAUAUCAUCAAAAGAAGUGUCAUCCAAUUGUAUUUUAUACUACAUCUGGUAAGGGAUUUUAUAAUUUUUGAAUGACUUUUCACAAGAUUAUGAGAUAGAAGGUUAUUUUCUAAUGACCUAUAAUGAUUGUUGAUAACUUGUCAUGUGGGUUAUAAUCAGGCAUUUGCAUAGAAAGUUGAUUGAUGCAAAGCAGGCUGAACGAUAUGUUUUUGCCAAUCCAGCAUUGGUCUCAAAAGCUGGAAUGGGAGAGGGAAGCAAGGAAAACAGGUCAAGGGUUAUUGCAGAUCGACUAAAGAAUACAAAGCAUGCUGAAUAUAUGCUUAUUCCAUAUAACCCAGAGUAACCUUUUAUCCUAAAUAUCAAUAUGGUGUUUGUAAGUUAGUUUGUGAUGUUUGAAUUUGUGGAUACUAUAUUACAAUUUUCAUUUCUUUUCUUUAGUUUCCAUUGGGUGUUAGUGGCAUUGGAGAUGAAGAAAAUGAUUGCAUAUUACCUUGAUCCAAUGGCCUGUCAACCAUGUGAUGAUCUUAAGGACAUAGUUAACAUGUAAGUAUAUAUUUUCUCCUAUUUUAAUACAAUUGAUAGUGUCUAAAUAACAUCUUUUUAAUUCUUUUUGUAGGGCAAUGAGAAUCAACCCACUGGAAAAACAGAAAACAUCAAAGAGGGAGCCAACUUGGGUGAAAGCGGUUGUAAGUACUUAUUUGUUUAGAUUAAAAUAUAUUGCUUCACCACUUAAUUUAUGACAAAAAUUAGAAAAUGGAUGGUUAUUAAUAUGAUCAUCAAUAAGAUGCUAAAGAAGUAAGAACAUCAUUCUAGUGUUUAUUGCAAUUGUUGAUACUUUUCCCAUAGUGCCCAAGACAACCAGGUAGUGUGGAAUGUGGGUAUUACGUGAUGAGAUAUAUGAAGGAAAUCAUUGCUAAUCCAAACCAACUAACAUCAAAGGUUUGCACUUGAUUCAAUUCAUAUGGUUGGUCAUUUUACUAUAGCAUUUUUUUUUUCGGUCAAUUGAACUUAGUGAAUUGUAUAUGUCACUCCAAUUCAGUUUUGCGGGAAGAAAUCAUAUAGUGAAAUGGAAAUUAAUGAAGUUCGAUCACAUUGGGUUAUGUUAGUGACUCAGUUAAUCAUUACUCAUGUUUGAAGGUACCUCUUAUAACUUAUAGUCUAAUACAACUUCAUAUUCUUUUAAAGAUGUAGUCAAUCUUUUGUUAAUGUUAAUUUUAUAAUGGAUUUAUUCACAAUGAUAAUUUGUUAAUGUAUAUCUUUGUACUCCUAGUUGGCAGUGUUUUCAAUAUGGAUCAUUUUGGGGGUUGCUCUAUUAUGAUUGAUGUAUAGUUGGCAUAUUGAGAGGUGAAGCCAAGUAGACAUGGUAGGUGUAACAACUUUUGUAUAUUUCCUCUACAAAUUAUUAUCAGUUAGAUUCGAAGAAAUCCUAUAAUAGCAUAGCUACAAAAAUUCCUGCAUGUCCAAGCUCAUUUUCGUGGAGCCUUUAGUUUCAUUACAUGUGCAUGAAUUAGGAAUUUGUCUAUUCUCUACAAAAGCAUUUUUGGUCUUUAAGAUUACUAGCUUUAUAAACUUCUUUAAUCUAAAUUUAUAAAGGUCUCCUACUAUACUAAUGGGUUUAAAGUAUAUAAUAUCUUGUACUUCCAUUUUCUUUUACAUAAAAAAUAGGAAGUUAGUUUAAGACUUCUUACAAAUAAGCCUAUGGAAGGAAAUAGCACCUCUUACUAAUUGGUUGUUAAAUUGUUUAUUAUAUAUUGUUCAGGUUGUACAAAAAGGCAUAGGUCAUUCUAUUAACAACGUCACUACUGCUCUUGAUGAAGGACACCCACAAACAAUUCAAAAUAUAUCAUCAAAAGAAUUUUGAGGUAACAUGUUGUGGUUAUUGUAAGUUUUAUGAAUCAAUUCCAUGUUUAGAGAUCAUUUCAUGCAAGUUCCAUAUUUAGAUAAUAGAUAUCCUCAUAUUAUUAAAUGUUGAUAUACUAAUACAAUAAGAAGAACAUAGAUAUUUUAACACAAUUUUAUAAUUUUACAUAAAUAUGUUAAUUUACAAUUUUAUAAUUUUUCGGACUUCUAGUUUUUUUUGUUUUUUUUUUCAUUCCUUAGUUCCUUCUCAUGCAAAACAUCUAAUGUCUUGUACAACCUAUAAGAAGAAUGAGAAGAUGUUAAUGGUUGAAGUUUCAUAAAUAAGAUAAAAAUCAUACCAAAAUAGUCAAUGAGAUAAAAACUUUUUUUUUUUUUCUGUUUUUUUUAAAAAAUAGAAUAAGAGUUCUAAAAUAUUUAGAAAUUUGGUGUAAUAAAAUUAUUGGAGUUUGUUGAGUUCUUUUGAUAUUUUGAAAUUUAUUGCAAUGGAAGAAAGAUAUUUUGGAAAUUUAAAAAUUGGCAUAUACACAUUUCAUUUACAAAGUUGCUUCUUAACUAUUUGUUAAUACUAAUAAAUAUGUAACCCUCUCAAUUAUUUUGCAGAUUGAGCAUCUAGAAAGUGAGUUACAACCAUCCUUUUGCACUUGGAAGAAAAAUGAUGUAAAACUAGAUGUAGUGAAGGUUAUGAACAAUUCAAAGUUGAAGAAGAAGUUGUAAAAUUGUUGGUUUUAGUUGUUGAUUAUGUAUGAUGUUUAUGGAUAAAUUGUAAUAGUGAAAAAGGAAGACCAUAUUUGAUACUUUUUGUCAAUGGAGAUUCUUAAAUUAAGUUUUCAUUAUUAAUUUAAUUGUUGAUAGAAAAUUAUAAAUAGGGCAUAAUUAGGACAUUUUAAUUUCUGGGCUAUUAAAAUUUUAUAUGAGAUAAGAUGACGCUUUUUUAAAGCGUCAUGCUUUACUUGAAUAAACAGAAGAUGACACUACUCAAAAGCGUCAAGUUUGAUGUUAAAAAAAUAUGGCAUUUUUUUUAGUGUCAAGGUAUAAAAUGCUAUACGAUGACACUUAUUAUGAGUGUCAAUAUUGCUCCUACAAAUAAAAAGCUAUAAGAUGACACUUAUAUUGAGUGUCAAUGUUGCUUCUACUUAUAAAAUGACGCUUUAUUAAGUGUCAACGUUGCUCCUACAAAUAAAAAGUUAUAAGAUGACACUUAUAUUGAGUGUCAAUGUUGCUUCUGCCUAUACAAUGACGCUUCAUUGAGUGUCAAUAUUGACAUGAAUGAAAUUAUUAACAUAUGAUGACACUUAUAAAGCGUCAAUGUUUCAAAUAAUGACACUUACUAUGAGCGUCAUGGUUGACGUGCAAAGAAGAUGACGCUUCUAAAAAGUGUCAACGUAUGCGAUUUAAAAAGAUGACAGUCUAAUAUAUGACGCUUUUAAAAGCGUCAUCUUAUAUCUAUCUUGACACUUAAAAAGCGUCAUCUUUUGACAUUUUCCUUAUAGUAAUCUACAUUUCUCAACAUGUAGUUUUUAAUGAGACAUGUUUUCUUUUUAUCAAAAAUGAAUCUACCUCCCUCUCUCUCUCUCAUAAUCUCUCAAUUACAAGUUUUUCUAAUAUUGAUGAAUGGUAUUCAAGAACAUCAAGUAGAUAAUUACAGUCUUUUCAACUUGGAGAUCCUUCACGACAUAACUCACCAAGACCAACCAUUCCUUCUACAAAAUCUUGUCAAAUUUACCUUGAGGAUAUUCCUCAAGAUCCUAUUCCUCUUCAUCUCAAACAUCCUCUCCCUUUAUCUCCUCCUCCUUUACAUGAGCCCACUCUCUUUUGAACACCACUCCCCUCUACCUCAACCUCCCACUCUCACAUCUCAUGGCCUUGGUGCUAUAGUCACUAAAUACAUCUUGUAUUCAAUUCAAUCCUCAUAUUUUUUUGGCCUCCUAACUUCUAAACCCUAUCUAGGUUUUUUGAUUUUAUGAAAAAUUACAUCAUAGGGACCUAAUAGGGUGGGAUUAUAUUCAAUGUUAGAAACAAAAUUUUGAACAAAUAUGCAAAAACGCUCAACAAUUGUGGUCAUAGCUCAUGACCAAGAUGAGAAUUUACAAUGUGAUAAUGCUGAUGAAUGCUUCAUAGACUGCACUAACUAGAGUGUGAAAAUUUUCUAUUUUCCAACAUUUUCAUAUCAAGCUAUUAUCAUCUAAAUGGAUUAAAAUCAAUUUUUUAAAAAGUUUGUAUAAAAAUAAGAGGACUUUUCAUAAAUAAAAAAAUAAAAAAUUCAAGGUGUUUUUUUAGAGUAAAACAUUUGUCUCCUAAUAGAAUUUUAUUACUCCAAACAUUUAGGAGCUAUUCUUAAAAAUUGAUUUGUAAAAACUAUUUUUCAAAACAUUAUCAAGCAGACCCACAAUCUGUUGAAGUAACAAAUGGAAAACUUACCAUUUGACCUUGUUCCAAUUACAAUUUAAAAAAAGAAAACAAACAAACACAUAAAUCCUUAGACUGGACUGAGCAACAAGCAAUGUAGUUUUGUUGUUCAUGGGUGGUCAAAUUUAUCAGUAACCCAAGAGUCCCAUGCUCACAAAAGCUCCAUUUUAAUCAAAGGUUGCUGAGAAAAUUACUAACAGGCUCAAGUCUCAUCUUAAAUAGAAGGAGACCACUCAUCACCAGAUCUAGAAUUAGCAUCAAAUAAUAACACUACCCAGAAAAAAAGAAACAUUGGUUACAUGCUUCACUAAUGAAACAUUCAAGUUAUUCAUUGAUAACCAUAACUUCUGGGGAUAUAUCGCUGUUAAACAAGAUAAUGCAUUUGUGAAGCUCAGGCGAAUCACAGAAAUCAUAGAGGAAAUCUCUUAAGCAUUACCACAUAAAAGGUACAUGAAAGAAAAAGUUGCUGAAUGUGAUCUAGCUUGGAACUGAGUGGAUCAGUGUUGAAUAUUUUCCUAGAACUUUAACAUCAAAAUUCAGAAUUAAUUAGCAGAAGCUGAAAAUGNNNNNNNNNNNNNNNNNNNNNNNNNNNNNNNNNNNNNNNNNNNNNNNNNNNNNNNNNNNNNNNNNNNNNNNNNNNNNNNNNNNNNNNNNNNNNNNNNNNNNNNNNNNNNNNNNNNNNNNNNNNNNNNNNNNNNNNNNNNNNNNNNNNNNNNNNNNNNNNNNNNNNNNNNNNNNNNNNNNNNNNNNNNNNNNNNNNNNNNNNNNNNNNNNNNNNNNNNNNNNNNNNNNNNNNNNNNNNNNNNNNNNNNNNNNNNNNNNNNNNNNNNNNNNNNNNNNNNNNNNNNNNNNNNNNNNNNNNNNNNNNNNNNNNNNNNNNNNNNNNNNNNNNNNNNNNNNNNNNNNNNNNNNNNNNNNNNNNNNNNNNNNNNNNNNNNNNNNNNNNNNNNNNNNNNNNNNNNNNNNNNNNNNNNNNNNNNNNNNNNNNNNNNNNNNNNNNNNNNNNNNNNNNNNNNNNNNNNNNNNNNNNNNNNNNNNNNNNNNNNNNNNNNNNNNNNNNNNNNNNNNNNNNNNNNNNNNNNNNNNNNNNNNNNNNNNNNNNNNNNNNNNNNNNNNNNNNNNNNNNNNNNNNNNNNNNNNNNNNNNNNNNNNNNNNNNNNNNNNNNNNNNNNNNNNNNNNNNNNNNNNNNNNNNNNNNNNNNNNNNNNNNNNNNNNNNNNNNNNNNNNNNNNNNNNNNNNNNNNNNNNNNNNNNNNNNNNNNNNNNNNNNNNNNNNNNNNNNNNNNNNNNNNNNNNNNNNNNNNNNNNNNNNNNNNNNNNNNNNNNNNNNNNNNNNNNNNNNNNNNNNNNNNNNNNNNNNNNNNNNNNNNNNNNNNNNNNNNNNNNNNNNNNNNNNNNNNNNNNNNNNNNNNNNNNNNNNNNNNNNNNNNNNNNNNNNNNNNNNNNNNNNNNNNNNNNNNNNNNNNNNNNNNNNNNNNNNNNNNNNNNNNNNNNNNNNNNNNNNNNNNNNNNNNNNNNNNNNNNNNNNNNNNNNNNNNNNNNNNNNNNNNNNNNNNNNNNNNNNNNNNNNNNNNNNNNNNNNNNNNNNNNNNNNNNNNNNNNNNNNNNNNNNNNNNNNNNNNNNNNNNNNNNNNNNNNNNNNNNNNNNNNNNNNNNNNNNNNNNNNNNNNNNNNNNNNNNNNNNNNNNNNNNNNNNNNNNNNNNNNNNNNNNNNNNNNNNNNNNNNNNNNNNNNNNNNNNNNNNNNNNNNNNNNNNNNNNNNNNNNNNNNNNNNNNNNNNNNNNNNNNNNNNNNNNNNNNNNNNNNNNNNNNNNNNNNNNNNNNNNNNNNNNNNNNNNNNNNNNNNNNNNNNNNNNNNNNNNNNNNNNNNNNNNNNNNNNNNNNNNNNNNNNNNNNNNNNNNNNNNNNNNNNNNNNNNNNNNNNNNNNNNNNNNNNNNNNNNNNNNNNNNNNNNNNNNNNNNNNNNNNNNNNNNNNNNNNNNNNNNNNNNNNNNNNNNNNNNNNNNNNNNNNNNNNNNNNNNNNNNNNNNNNNNNNNNNNNNNNNNNNNNNNNNNNNNNNNNNNNNNNNNNNNNNNNNNNNNNNNNNNNNNNNNNNNNNNNNNNNNNNNNNNNNNNNNNNNNNNNNNNNNNNNNNNNNNNNNNNNNNNNNNNNNNNNNNNNNNNNNNNNNNNNNNNNNNNNNNNNNNNNNNNNNNNNNNNNNNNNNNNNNNNNNNNNNNNNNNNNNNNNNNNNNNNNNNNNNNNNNNNNNNNNNNNNNNNNNNNNNNNNNNNNNNNNNNNNNNNNNNNNNNNNNNNNNNNNNNNNNNNNNNNNNNNNNNNNNNNNNNNNNNNNNNNNNNNNNNNNNNNNNNNNNNNNNNNNNNNNNNNNNNNNNNNNNNNNNNNNNNNNNNNNNNNNNNNNNNNNNNNNNNNNNNNNNNNNNNNNNNNNNNNNNNNNNNNNNNNNNNNNNNNNNNNNNNNNNNNNNNNNNNNNNNNNNNNNNNNNNNNNNNNNNNNNNNNNNNNNNNNNNNNNNNNNNNNNNNNNNNNNNNNNNNNNNNNNNNNNNNNNNNNNNNNNNNNNNNNNNNNNNNNNNNNNNNNNNNNNNNNNNNNNNNNNNNNNNNNNNNNNNNNNNNNNNNNNNNNNNNNNNNNNNNNNNNNNNNNNNNNNNNNNNNNNNNNNNNNNNNNNNNNNNNNNNNNNNNNNNNNNNNNNNNNNNNNNNNNNNNNNNNNNNNNNNNNNNNNNNNNNNNNNNNNNNNNNNNNNNNNNNNNNNNNNNNNNNNNNNNNNNNNNNNNNNNNNNNNNNNNNNNNNNNNNNNNNNNNNNNNNNNNNNNNNNNNNNNNNNNNNNNNNNNNNNNNNNNNNNNNNNNNNNNNNNNNNNNNNNNNNNNNNNNNNNNNNNNNNNNNNNNNNNNNNNNNNNNNNNNNNNNNNNNNNNNNNNNNNNNNNNNNNNNNNNNNNNNNNNNNNNNNNNNNNNNNNNNNNNNNNNNNNNNNNNNNNNNNNNNNNNNNNNNNNNNNNNNNNNNNNNNNNNNNNNNNNNNNNNNNNNNNNNNNNNNNNNNNNNNNNNNNNNNNNNNNNNNNNNNNNNNNNNNNNNNNNNNNNNNNNNNNNNNNNNNNNNNNNNNNNNNNNNNNNNNNNNNNNNNNNNNNNNNNNNNNNNNNNNNNNNNNNNNNNNNNNNNNNNNNNNNNNNNNNNNNNNNNNNNNNNNNNNNNNNNNNNNNNNNNNNNNNNNNNNNNNNNNNNNNNNNNNNNNNNNNNNNNNNNNNNNNNNNNNNNNNNNNNNNNNNNNNNNNNNNNNNNNNNNNNNNUAUGUAAGAGGCUAAGGGGAUUAUUCAUGUAAGCAAAGUUGAUAACGUUAAUUAAUUUUGUGAAGGUUAUAAUUUCAUUUAUGUUUAUUAUUUAUUGUACGUAUAUAUAAUUUAGAUGUUUUCUACUCUUCCUUAUUUUUAUUUACAGGUUGCAAAGGAAACUUGUUUUCUAAAAGAAGAGAAACCAUUGUGUUAAAGAAGACGAAGUCAAAAACCAUGAAGAUUACAUCAGUGAAGAACUCAUUAGGAGGUGGAACUAUGCUUUUAAAGAUUAUGGUUUAUUUUAGUAGUCUUGGUACCAAUGUUUGUUCUUAUGUUAGAAUUAGAAAUUCUUAUUGAAAUAUUUUGAUAUAAUUAACAAGUUUAUGUGUAAUUAAUAUAUAUAUAUAUAUAUAUAUAUAUAUAUAUAUAUAUAUAUAUAUAUAUAUAUAUAUAUAUAUAUAUAUAUAUAUAUAUGUGGAUAUAUUAACUGUUUAAACUAUGUUCAUGUAUAUCAAUAUAUAUAUAUAUUUUAAAUAAAUAAAUUCAAUUUUAUUUUAUUGGGUGUAAUUGUUUUUUUAAUUUAAUUAUAUAAGAAAUCUAUUAUUUUAAUAACGGAAUCAAAAGAUUAUUUUUUUAUAGAAAUUGUUCAAAGAUGACGUUUUUAUAAACAUCUUUGUAAACAUAAAAUAAAAAAGACAUUUUAAAAAGUGUCAUUAAUAAGAAAAAAUCAAAGAUGGCGCUCGCACAAGUGUCAAGAGUGAUAAUUUUAUAAAAUUUUUUUCAANNNNNNNNNNNNNNNNNNNNNNNNNNNNNNNNNNNNNNNNNNNNNNNNNNNNNNNNNNNNNNNNNNNNNNNNNNNNNNNNNNNNNNNNNNNNNNNNNNNNAGGUUCAUGUAUAUCAAUAUUUAGAUAUAUUUUAAUUAAUUAAAUUCCAUUUUAUUUUAUUGGUUGUAAUUGUUUUUUUAAUUUAAUUAUAUAAGAAAUCAAUUAUUUUAAUAACGGAAUCAAAAGAUUAUUUUUUAAUAGAAAUUGUUCAAAGAUGACGUUUUUAUAAGCAUCAUUGUUAACAUGAAAUAAAGAAGACAUUUUUAAAAGUGUCAUUAAUAAGAUUAAAUCAAAGAUGGCGUUCGCACAAGUGUCAAGAGUGAUAAUUUUAUAAAAUUUAUUUCAAUAAAAAUGUUCAAAGAUGACGCUUUCACAAGUGUCAUUGUUGACAUUAUUCAAGGAUGACACUUCUUAAAGCGCCAUUGAAAGCAUUAAUAAAAUAUGGCGCUUCUUGAAAGUGUCAUUGUUAAUUGUAACAUUUAAUGACAGGGGCGGAUAUGACGCUUCGAGGAAGCGUCAUCUUUUACCUUUCUUGACGCUUAAAAAACGUCAUUAUUUCACUUUUUUCUUGUAGUGACGAAUUCUUUCUUUGUUAGUUUUAUUCGCCAAUAUCUCCUUAUGCCCAGAACUGAAGGCAAAACCCAUCUGUUCUCAUAGAAAGUGAAGUACAAAAAGUCCAUAGAUGUGAUAGAGUCCUAAAACAGCAGUAUCUAUGCUCCGGCAGAAUCUCCGAUUCGGGUAUGAAUGUCUAGGAUAGAAGAAUAAAACUUAAGGAUGGCUUCAUUCAACUGGACUCAAUAUUACUAACAAACCUUCUUCGUUAGGGUAUAUUAGACAACUGAUAAGGAACUAUAGAAUCCGAUUUCUCUUUUUAACUAAGAACAGUUUCCAGAUGAGAUCUUAUAUGAGUUUUGAGAAAACAAGUUCACAAAAAAUUAUAAAUAAGAGGACAUAUCCUGACAAUGUCAAAGGCAUAAAAGACAGCAGCAAAUAGCAUUCACAUAGUUUAUGAGAGACAAAAAUAUUCCACAUGAAAGAGCAAAACUAGUAGCAUUGUAGGAAAGCAGUCCACAACAUAAAAAAAAAAAAGUAGGAAAAUACUAUAUAUAAAAACUAAGAUUAGAAUUUAUUAAUAAUUUUUUAUUAAUUUAUACAAUUUACAAUACAUUGUAAAAGAGAAUAAAAUGAUAAUACCUUUCUAAUGUCUCUUUAAUGUUUAUCGUUUUUUGACUUUUUCAACAACCACACCAAUACCACUACCAUCAAUAUCAUUAUAGAUCAACUCAUCUUCUAUGAAAUGUGAGACUAUGGACCCCGUAUUUCGGCUCAUGCGUUCCCCACUAGAUGGCAAGCUCGAUUUUUAUUUGAAAAAUGGUUUUUAUUUAUUCAAAAAUGACUUGGAGUCGCCAUUUAUUUUUAUUUUAUUUUAAAAGGGUAAACAAAAUAAGAAAGAAAACUCUAAGUGUGACUCCUUAUUUUGGAAAAGGUGAUCUACGAAAAACCGGAUCGGGUUCGGGGGUCAGGUUACUUAUCGGGAAGAUACGGUAAAGACCGUAGCACCCCUCUAAGUCCCCAAAGUUGGGUCUCUACUAAUAAAAUGAAGCUAGCAUGGUAAUCUAUAAGAAAAUCAAUGAAUACCCACAGCGAAUCAUGCACAUAUGAGGGUCAGAAAAUGCAUAUAGACUAACUAGAGUGAGAGUGAGUGCAUACCUGGGCAAUGAACCGUUAUGCGCUAUCAAGAGAGGGGGUUAGUGCAUAAUUAAAGAAUAAUCUCAUGCAUGUCAUAGAGCAAAACAAAUCAAUCAUGUAUGAUAAUCAAAUCAAACAAUCAAUCAAUCAAUCAUAAAGUCACCCAUGUAAGGCCCCCACCACAGCCCAUUUGUUUUGCAUGAAUUAAUAUCACAGAUUCUAUUAUUUCGGAAUUAUGAAAAAUUCAUUUGUGCUUAUUGAAUUCAAGAGGAACAGAAGAUUGUUUGAAGACCAGAAUGGAAUUAAAAUUAUUUGAGAGAAAAUCGGAUUUUUGAAAUUUAUUUGAAAAAUUGGAAUCUCGAAGGUUAUUUAAAAAUUGAAAUUUUAGAGUUUAUUUGGAGGUCAGACUUUUAGAAACUAAAUGUGAGAACGAGAAUUUUAGAAAUUGAAUUUGAACGAGGUUGGAAAUUUGAAAAAUGAUUUGAGAGUUCGGGGUUUAAAAUGAGUGGAUAAGCGGAUGAGCGAAUAAGUAAAUGAAUGGGAUGACGUUAAUAAUGAAAACAAUCAUUAAAAGGCGGUAUAUGAACGAUGGAGCUUUUGAGAUUGGAAAUCAAACUUGAAAAGUCGGGUUCUUAAGAAUUAAACUUUAACGAUUAGAAUAAGUAAAUAAAUAGGGAAUGAUAACGCUAGUUAAAGGAAAUAACAUUUUAAACGGAUGAAAAAAUGAAUAGUGGAAUUUUUAAAGUUUGAAAACUAAAUUAGGGCAUUGAAUUUUUGAGGAAUUGGACUUUAAAAUAAAUAGAUGAGUAUGAGAGAAUGACUCUAAUUGAUAAAAAUAAGAUUUAAACGAAUUGUAAAAACGAUUAAAUUAAGACAUGAGAUUUUUGAAGGAUUAGACUAGAUAAAUAUAGGAUAAUGACUCUAUUUGAUGAAAAUAAGAUUUAAACGGAUUAUUGAAAGAUUAAAUUACUAAAUAAAUAUGGGAUAAUGAUUCUAAUUAAUGAAAAUAAAAUUUAAACAAAUUAUUGAGAGAUUAAAUUAAGACAGGGGAUUUUUGAAGGAUUAGACUUUGAAUAGCUAAAUAAAUACGAGAUAAUGAUUCUAAUUGAUGAAAAUAAGAUUUAAACGAAUAUUUGAAUGAUUAAGUUAAGACAGGGGAUUUUUGAAGGUUUAGGCUAGAUAAAUAUGGAAUAUUGAUUCUAUUUGAUGGAAAUGAGAUUUAAACGAAUAUUUGAAGAAUUAAAUUAAAACAUAGGAUUUUAGAAAGAUUAGACCUUAAAUAACUAGAUAACUACGGGAUAAUAAUUCUAAUUGAUGAAAAUAAGAUUUAAAUGAAUAAGUAAGAGAUUAAAUUAAGAUAGGGGAUUUUUGAAGGAUUAGACUAGAUAAAUAUAGGAUAAUGACUUUAUUUGAUGAAAAUAAGAUUUAAACGAAUUAGUGAGAGAUUAAAUUAAGAUAGGGGAUUUUUGAAGGAUUAAACUUUAAAUAACUAGAUAACUACGGGAUAAUAAUUCUAAUUGAUGAAAAUAAGAUUUAAACGAAUCAUAGAAUUUUUAGGAUUGAAAAAUUAAAUUAAAAUAUGGAAUGUUUGAAGGAUUGGACUUUAAAUAACUAGAUAAAUGUAGGAUUAUAAUUCUAAUUAAUGAAAAUAAGAUUUAGUUGCAUUGUAGAGUUUUUAGGAUUUGAAAGAUUAAAUUAAAACAUGGAAUUUUUGAAGGAUUAAACUUUAAAUAACUAGAUAAAUACGAGAUUAUAAUUCUAAUUGAUGAAAAUAAGAUUUAAACGGAUUAUUUGAAGAAUUAAAUUAAGAUAGGGGAUUUUUGAAGGAUUAGACUUUGAAUAGCUAAAUAAAUACGGGAUAAUGGUUCUAAUUGAUGAAAAUAAGAUUUAAAUGAAUGUUUGAGUGAUUAAAUUAAGACAGGGGAUUUUUAGACUAGAUAAAUAUGGGAUAUUGAUUCUAUUUAAUGAAAAUGAGAUUUAAAUGAAUAUUUGAAGAAUUAAGUUAAAACAUGGGAUUUUUGAAAGACUAGACUAGAUAAAUACGGGAUAUUGAUUCUAUUUAAUGAAAAUGAGAUUUAAACGAAUAUUUGAAGAAUUAAAUUAAAACAUGGGAUUUUUGAAAGAACUAGAUUUUAACUAUUGGAAUUUUUGAAAGAAUUAAACACACAAAUGCGGACUAAUAAUAAUUAUAACAAGAAUAAUAUUUAAACGGAUGAAAGUAAAUAGUCGAAUAUUUGAAAUUGAAAAACGAUUUAGGAAGUCGGAUUUUUGAAGAAUGGUUUUAAAAGACAUAAGUUGUGAAGAUGGGACUUAAAAUUUGGAUGGUAGAAAAUUCAUUGAAGCCAACAUAAAUUAAUUAUAUAAAAUUUUUCAUAUAUGAUGAUUAGACAUGACUAAAGCAAAGAAGAUGAAAUGUAAAUUAUUUUGGGUUUUAAAAAAACAAUAUUCCAUCCUAAUAAUUUAUCUUUUAGUGGUGUUUGAGUUGAGUUAACAUGUUAGGUAAAAAUAGAGGGCCUUUCAUUAGCAACCUUUUGGGCCUGGGCUCCAGCUUAAGCCCAAAGUCCUUGCCAUGGGCAAGCCCAAGGCAUCCAUCCUCAACAUCAACUUGGGCCGGAGAGUCCUCAGACUGGGACACCUACCCACCAGGCGCUCCAGGGCAGAGAAACUCACCCCGGAGGCCAAGCAGGAAAUGUUGAGGGACACCAGUGAUAUGCAAGAAUCAGGGAAAUGGGUGAGCCAAUGUCCACUGAAGUCAUCCACUUCACUCUCUCGCAAGUCCAGCUCUGUCAGAUUCCUGCAAUUUGCGGCAAUGGCAGCGAGUCCAUCCGUACUGAACCCUUCGCACGACGAGAGCACCAAAACCUUGAAAUUCUUGAACGAGCGCGAGAUCAGCUCCAAGCUCUCGUCUGUCAUCACCAUCCUCUUCAACCUCAACUCUUCCAACAUCGGGUAAGCCAUAGCCAUGGCAGCGAUCCACGGAUAAACGUUACCUCCCCACCCAUCCGGCACCAGAUUAAAGUCUGCAAAAUGCGGCUCCCCUUCAGCGCCACUGACCGGAGCUCCGGGAAGCGCCUGAUCACUAUCCCAGGGCUCGCAGCGUAACAGUUCCCGAUGAAGAUCCGUCGCCGGCUCCACCGCUCCACCUCAUACCACGAUUUGCACACCACGGAUAUCGCGUUUCGGUCCUUAUCGGUAUGAAUGAAAGAAAACACAUGCCCCAAAACCUCUUCCGGAAACGAGUACGCCAUUGAAACUUCUUUCUCGGAGUUCCGAAUUCAUAAACAAACCCUAAACCGGACUUUUCGAAGUCUCAGAUCUGAGAUGCCAUUAACAAGCUCAGUUGCAGAGGAGAGAGAGAGAGAGAGAGAGAGAGUGAGAUGCGGCGUGGGUGUGGGCACGUAUGCAUGAGGUUGGAAGGUUGGGUUGCCAGCAGCAGGUUUCGAAGAGAGAAACGUGGGCAUGGUGGUGAAUACGACUGUGGGUAUGGUGAGGUAUGAGCAUGGAAGGUGGCAUGAUGGAGGUGGCUACAUGCAUGAUGAUGAAAGCAAGGAUUACUAGUGGUGAGAUAUUUGCAUGGGAAGAAGGAUAGGAAUCAUGGGUGAUGAGGUGGGUGUUAGAAAAUGGAAACGUGGUGUAGAGAGAGAAAAGGUGAUGGGGAAAUGAAGAUAUGAAUGGGGAUGAAACGAGAUGCUGCAGUGAGUGAGAUAAAUAAAGAAAUGAGUAUGAUGAAGGGUAUGGCAGAGUAUGAAGGUUGAAAGGUUUUAUAAAGGUUUGAUGGGCCAUGCAUUUGCUACUCUGGACUUUGACGUGUGUGCAGGAGAGGAUACUUUGAUUAAAGCCUCCAGUUGGGAGCAAGGAAUCUGACUUGUUGACUGCUAUAGCUUCCUCAUGCUCAAACAUGGAGGUCGGUGGUGAGGAACCUUGUUCAGAAACAUCCUUAAAGACAUUUCUGAAGACUCUCCUUGGACUGAAACUGCAUUUCAAUAGCUGUAACUGUGAUAGCCUCUACUGAAUUUGUAUGUCUUCUUGUUAGUGUUGGCUCUCAAGAAGAUUGAAACAGCAAUAAGAUCGUUGGCUGAGUCACACCUCUCUCAUUAGAUACCGCUGAUGGCCCUUCCGAAACCCACAGUAGUAGCUGAAUAUAUAGGGUAACCAAACUGAAAAUGUGCUUGAAAGGGGUUGCAUAUGGAUUUCAGUGACAAACGUAUCCCAUGAGAAGAAUCUUGGGGUGCCAUCCAACGGGUUUCUAAAAAAACUGUUUGUACUCCCAAAUGGUUUUCAAGAAUAAUGACCAAAGAUUUUCAAGAGCUGGAAAGGGUUCCAAAGAAAACCAAAUAUGUUUUAAACAAACAACCUGUUAGAAUCGACUCUAUUUUAUGCUAUAUUAAAUGGAUCCACAGGUGGGAUGAACGGUAAGCUUUUGCAUAUUUAAUCAAACGCGAAGCUCAAAGAAAGCAAACCACACCUCAGUCAUUUACAAGAGAAAACAGAGAGACUGGAGAGAGAAUAAAGUAAAGUAGAUGUAAUGCGAGCUUAGGUUCAACAAAACUCAACAAACAAUGCUUAAAAUCAACGAUGUCAAGGGAGUAAAACCAGUAAAUCCAAAGUGAAAGUACUCAUGGUAGCCAUACCUGUUCCACUCAAGCGAAGAUGAUUCAGCUUCUCUUCUGCUCGAGCUCUUCCAGGAAAUCCAGCUUGUCUUCUCCCUUUUUCCCCUCUGUUAGCUUUCUUUUUCUCCUCUCUUUAUGUCUUCCUCAGCAAGCCAUCACCAACCCUACUGUUCCUCNNNNNNNNNNNNNNNNNNNNNNNNNNNNNNNNNNNNNNNNNNNNNNNNNNNNNNNNNNNNNNNNNNNNNNNNNNNNNNNNNNNNNNNNNNNNNNNNNNNNNNNNNNNNNNNNNNNNNNNNNNNNNNNNNNNNNNNNNNNNNNNNNNNNNNNNNNNNNNNNNNNNNNNNNNNNNNNNNNNNNNNNNNNNNNNNNNNNNNNNNNNNNNNNNNNNNNNNNNNNNNNNNNNNNNNNNNNNNNNNNNNNNNNNNNNNNNNNNNNNNNNNNNNNNNNNNNNNNNNNNNNNNNNNNNNNNNNNNNNNNNNNNNNNNNNNNNNNNNNNNNNNNNNNNNNNNNNNNNNNNNNNNNNNNNNNNNNNNNNNNNNNNNNNNNNNNNNNNNNNNNNNNNNNNNNNNNNNNNNNNNNNNNNNNNNNNNNNNNNNNNNNNNNNNNNNNNNNNNNNNNNNNNNNNNNNNNNNNNNNNNNNNNNNNNNNNNNNNNNNNNNNNNNNNNNNNNNNNNNNNNNNNNNNNNNNNNNNNNNNNNNNNNNNNNNNNNNNNNAAUUAUUUCAUACAAAAUUCAAGAAAGAUGCAAUGCCCCCCAAAAAGGAUGGGUUUGGACAUCGAAGAUUGAUCAAAUCCUUGUUCAUAAAUUGAUUAAAAAAAAUAAAAUAAUAGAAGUAUCCAAUUUUAAUUGUUCAACAACAAAUUCCACAAUAGGUGUUUCGGAAGAAGACUGAAAAUAAGAAGAAAUAAACUAAGAUUUCUUAAGACUUAAUUUCUAGGAAUUUGAUUGAAAAUAAAUAAAGAUAUAAUAUUAAAUAUAUUCACAUCCUAUGUUCUUUAGGUUCCUAAACAGUGAAAACACAAUCCCUAAGUAAACGAACUUAUGGUUCUACAAGUAGAGGGAUUCAAUCCCAAAUAAAAUAAUAAUAAGCUAAAGUCAAAUAUCUUAAUUCUUUUGUUGUCCUUCAUUUUCCCAUAAACCAAACAUAAUUUCACAAUUCCACUAAAAAAACAAAACUCAACUAAUGCAAACAAUUGUGAUAAUCUCAUUUGAGUAGAAACCUUUAAUCAACUGAUUCCCAAGUAAUAAAAAUAAAUAAAUAAAUAAAUAAAACUAAGAUAAUUGUAUUUCUUUCUUUAUUUUCUUUUCCUAAACCUCCUCACUAGAAAACAUAUUUUUUUUCUUAAUUUUAUUUUAUUUAAAGAGUCUUAAUUGAGUCUAAGUUGCUGAUAAGAAUUUUAACCCAAAAUCCUUAAAUAAAUCAUUACUACAUAGGCAAGAACAAACAUGCAUUCUAACCAACCAAUGUUUUGAGCAACACUUAAUAAGAAAAACAAUUAAUUCUAAUAUUAAUUGUCCAUUGCAACAACUAUUUUGAGCAAACCCUUCAAGCCAAGUAGUAUACAAAUAGAAUGAGCACAUAUAACAAGAAUCUUCCUAACAAAUCUAAUCUUUCUUAGAUCAAGAAAAAAUAUAAAUAAUAUGAUAAAUCCACUAACAUGUUCCAUCAUGUAUCAUAGAACAAAUUAAAAACAUAAAUAUAUUAACGAUCCAUGAAAAAUAAAAUAUACAUGCUCAUAUGCUCUAAAAAUGGAUAAAUUUCCUAAACUAGAUAAAAAUAAAUGGGGAAAAUUAGGAUUAUGUGGAAAAGAUAAAAAAAAAUAUUUUCUAAAAUAUGAUAACUUUUCAUUUUUUUAAUCUAAAAUGGAGAAAAUACGACAACAACAAUUAAGAUUCUUGAUUCUGUAAAAUUGAUUCCUGACUUCAUUGGAUAUGAGACCAUAAUUUAGAUUCUUGAUUCUGCUGCUCUUUUUUCUCUAGCACUCUGUAUUUUCUAAAUCAUCGGGGUAAGAAAUGUUGAAGAAGGAUUCUAAACCAACAUUUAAUUAUUAUGCUCCUUCUAAUUGGUUAGGCAAAUGACUUGGAUUUCAGCCCAUGAAUCUAGAAAUAUACCAUAUGAAAGGUCUGUUCUUUUUUGAAAAACACGAUACAAGCUUUUACAAUAAUAAUCAAUUGGCAAUCCUUUCCUUUUUCUCUCUUCUGAAUUUGCUCUAUCAGUUUUUUCAAAUUAGCAUUUUGUUUCCUGUGCUGAACAAUACUUUGAAGCGAUUGUCCAAAUUAAUAAAACGGAAUGCCAAGUCAAAAUAAAAAAUAAAAUCCAACACAUAUACAUGGAGAAGAGAGAACCCUCAGCUACUUUCACCCCCAUGACCCUCCGCUACUUUUGAUGAAUGCUUCAUAGACUGCUCUACAAAAUUAGAGUUUGUCGGAAUGCCCCUGUUCUUUGUUGAAAGACAUAAAGGUCCUCACAUUCUCGAGCAGGAAGAACCUAGGCUGAAAGUAAUCAGCAAAUGAUAAGAAGGCCAGGAUCAUUUCACACUGAACUUUAGUCCAGCUACUUAGGUUAAACGGAUUCAUCCCAGAGAAACCCUGUGAAGAUGGCAGCUUGGUUUUAGCUCUUAGAAUAGAGUAAAAAAACAGAGCAGAAGCUGAUCAAACCUGGCUUGGAGGCCGCCCCAACCCCCCCAGUUAAUAAAAUCAACUUGUCCAAGGAUAUCCGGUGAUGCAGAUUAUUUGGUAGCCUCAGAAGUAGAGACACAGCCAUCGGCAUUCCCGCACUCCUCCACGACAGCCCUGCAUCACAACCAAUUUACAGGUCUAUUACAAAUUGAGAGAUAGAGAAAAAGAGAUUUUCAUGUUAAUGAAAUCAUUCACCUUAGGAUCGAACUGCAAUAGUUAAUAAACAUCGAUGAUUCUACAUGAUUGAAUUUGAGUGCAUCCCCAGCAUGCUCUUCAUAUUCAAUAGCCCACUUGGUUAUUGAUACACCUGCAAAUUUGGAAGCAACAUGGGGUAAAAUAAUCACGUCCUUUAACAUAGAGACAAAUGAACUACCUGCUUGAGGGGCCCUUCAAAGAAAAAUAUGUUCCAAAGGUUUCAAGGACGUCACAUGAUGGCAGAUCAUGCUUCAGAAGAACCUCACAUUUCCCCUCUGUCAUCUCAACAGGAACAGAAUGGGUCUCUUCGCGGUAGCACACCUAUACAUUCGACCCUUUCACAUAAAAUAUAAUUGUAGCUUUAUAUUAUAAUAAAAAUCUUCUUACUCUACCCAAUAUAAGCUUUUACAGUAAUACUCAAUUGAUAACAAAAUUUACAUGGAGAAGUGAAUACCCUCAGCUAGUUUCACCCCCAUGACCAUGACCCAGCAGCUCACCCAACAUAAUCAUGGAAAACGAUUUUGACAAUGGUGGGCACUGUGUUGAGAGUGCUCGAGCAACUUGUUGCAUAGUUGGCCGAAAUUGGGGAUUAACAUGCAAGCAUUCAAAUGCUAACUUCGUUGCAACCACUACUUCCUCUGCCAGUUGAUUCACAGGAGGUGAUGGGCGCUGGUCCAUCGCAUCAUUCAGUGGUAAGUGGUGGAUGGUUGAUGGUGAUGAGGAUGAUGAGGACGCAGAUGAUAACAGGGAUGAGAUGAGUUCUCCAGGAUGCCUUCCCAUAAUUACUUCCAAUGUCACAACACCGAAGCUAUAAACAUCAGUUUUAUUAUCCACCUUCAUCGUGUAAGCAAGUUCUGCAAAGAAGAUUAGAUCAUGCUUUGCUCUGCUAAGCAAUUAUAAAAGUUACAUAUGAUGUAUAGAGGCUGUUUAGAGAUAAGCAAGGCACUAAGAAAAAUGUACCUGGAGCAGUAUAACCAAAAGUUCCUGCAAAUGAAGUCCAAUUAGAUGAGUCUGACUUUAAAAGCCUAGCCGUGCCGAAGUCAGAUACAUGAGCUUCAUAUUCUGAAUCUAACAAAACAUUAUUGCUCGAUAUGUCUCGAUGAAUUACAGGAGGUGAGCAAUCAUGGUGCAUAUAGGAUAAAGCUUUAGCCACGCCUUUAAUAACGUUUAGCCUCACAAUCCAAUCUAAUCUUUCUGCUUCUUCGUUGUUGCAUAGAAUGUUUUGCAAACUCCCCUUUUCCAUAAACUCAUAAACCAAAAACGAGUUCUCUGCAAAUGAACUGAAGCCAUAAAGCUUGACGAUAUUGCGAUGCCUUAUUUGUGUUAAAGCAUGAAUCUCGCUUUUGAAAGCUUUUAAAUCAGCCAUAUCUCCAUCUUCUGAUGAGUGAAGCUUUUUAACAGCAACAAUCCGACCUGUUGGCAACUCAGCCUUGUAAACAGUACCAUAUCCUCCAGUGCCAAUACACUGUCUCGAACUGAAAUUGUCAGUCCCUUGUAUGAUUUGCUCAUACAACAAUUCCCCAUCAUGGCCCCAUAUUGCAAAUAGAUCUUCAACAUUUACUUCUGGAAACUUGGUUUUUCUCUUCCUCAAUUUUUGGAAAAGAAAAUAAAUGCCAAUAAUUAAAGCAAAUAAGAACAAUAGAGUGCUCACAGUGAGGAGUAUUAUGAUCAAAACAGAAAACUUUGUUUGGCCAUCUUUCAACUAACACUGCAUGGCUUGAGAUGAGUGACAUUAAUUAUCGCAUAGACCUUUAUUAUUUUUGAAUGCGGCAAAAGGAGCAUAGGCUUUGAUGUUGGGAAGACGACCUUUCCAAUUGAUUGAGGAAUAUAUCAUCAGUUAUCACGCUUAUCAGAUCCUCAAACNNNNNNCAGAUCCUCAAACGUGUGUGGGAUGGUGCCAAAGAGCUCGUUAUGGGAGAGAUUCAACGUUUCUAGGUACUGUAAUUCACCUAGCAGCGGUGGUAUCUCUCCUGUCAACAUAUUUUGACUAAGAUCGAGACUUUCAAGAUGAUGCAUCUUUCCAAUUUCGUCGGGAAUGAUGUCCACAAAUCUAUUCUCGCUCAAGUUCAAGGAUGAUAAUUUCCAGAAGUUCCCUAGUUGUUUGGGAAUUGGACCGCUUAAGCUGUUUGAUGCCAAGUCAAGGAUUUCAAGAUUGGAUAAGUUUCCCAAUUCCAAAGGAAUAUUUCCUGAAAGAAUGUUGUUGCCUAGCAACAAUUUGAACAAUAAGGGAAACAUACCCAAUUCUUUUGGGAUUGUCCCACUCAAACGAUUGGCGGAGAGAUCAAGUUGUUGCAGUUGAAUUGCUUUCCCAAGUUGAGGCGGUAUAACACCAGAAAUAUUGUUGUUGGAGAUGUUCAGGUGUGUCAGCAUGUGGCACUGCCCCCAUUUCUCAGAAAACUCACCAUAAAAAUUGUUGUUGCUUAGAUCAAUAUAAUUUAGGUUCGGGUAGACACCAAAACUUUCAGCUAUGUUUCCUGUAAGUUGGUUUCUUUCAAGCCGAACUCUAAAUAAGCUAGUGCAAUUUUUCAAGCUCUUUGGAAUAGGACCAGUGAAUUGGUUUCCAAAGGCGAAAAAGUUUUCAAGAACACUACCAUGGCAUAUCUCUUGUGGUAGUUGGCCAAUGAAGUUAUUCUCACCUAACUGCAAAGAUUUCAAAUGAGUGAUAUUAUUCAUUUCUGGAGGAAUGGCACCACUGAGUCUAUUGUAAUGAAGGGACAAAAAGGUUAAGCCAGACAAGUUUCCUAUGGAAGCUGGUAUUGAACCGUUGAGAUUGUUAAAUGCCAAGUAAAGAUCAUCAAGCAAUCUCAACCAUCCAAUUUCUUGAGGGAUGGAACCAGAAAGCUGGUUCUUAAAAAGAUACAAAGUGGUUAAAUUUCUCAAGUUUCCAAUGACAGAAGGGAUUGAACCAGUAAGAUUGUUAUUUGACAAUUGAAGAUCAUUAAGAGAUCUUAACAAUCCAAUUUCUUGAGGGAUAGAACCAGAAAGCUCAUUCUUAAAAAGAGACAAAGUGGUUAAGUUCCUCAAGUUUCCUAUGGAAGAAGGGAUCGAACCAAUAAGAUUGUUAGUUGACAAUCGAAGAUCAUUCAGAGAUCUUAGCAAUCCAAUUUCUUGAGGGAUAGAACCAAAUAGUUUGUUUCUUUGAAGGUACAAAGUGGUUAAGUUCCUCAAGUUACCUAUGGAAGGAGGAAUUGGACCAGUGAGAUUGUUAGUUGACAAAUCAAGAAAAUUAAGAGAUUUUAACAAUCCAAUUUCUUGAGGGAUGGAACUAGAAAGUUUGUUCUUAAAAAGAGACAAAAUGGUUAAGUUCCUUAAGUUUCCUAUAGAUGGAGGGAUCAAACCAGUGAGAUUAUUAGCUGACAAAUCAAUAACACUAAGAGAUCUCAACAAUCCAAUUUUUUUAGGGAUGGAACUAGAAAUUUUGUUAGUAUGAAGGUACAAUGUGGUUAAAUUCCUCAAGUUCCCUAUGGAAGGAGGAAUUGGGCCUUCGAAAUUAUUAGAAGACAAUGCUAGAAAGUUAAGAGAUGUUAGAAAUCCAAGUUGGUGAGGUAUUACACCAAUGAAAUGAUUGAAACCAAAGUCAAGAACUAUGAUCAAUUUGGAAAGAUUACCAAUGUUGAUUGGAAUGGUUCCAUAGAGGGAGUUGUUAUGAAGAUUAAGAAUGAGGAGGUUAGGAAGUGAUGAGAAAUUGAGAUUAUGGAGUGUACCUCUCAAACCGCAACUAUCAAGGUCUAAAUUGGAGACACUUCCUGACUUGUGACAAGUCACUCCAAACCAAUGAUGACAAGAAUUGCGUCCAGACCAAGAAGAAAGGAAAGAUCGGGUUUGAUUAUCAAGACUAGCCUUCCAUGUUAGAAGAGUAAGUGCUUCCUGAUCUUGUUGAACAUUCGAAAGAGAAGUGGCAGGUGUAGAGGCAGAUGUAAAGGUGACAUGGAAUGAUAAUAUUGAAUACAGAGGGAAAAUGAAAAAUAUGAAGAAAAAAGGAGUGAUGANNNNNNNNNNNNNNNNNNNNNNNNNNNNNNNNNNNNNNNNNNNNNNNNNNNNNNNNNNNNNNNNNNNNNNNNNNNNNNNNNNNNNNNNNNNNNNNNNNNNNNNNNNNNNNNNNNNNNNNNNNNNNNNNNNNNNNNNNNNNNNNNNNNNNNNNNNNNNNNNNNNNNNNNNNNNNNNNNNNNNNNNNNNNNNNNNNNNNNNNNNNNNNNNNNNNNNNNNNNNNNNNNNNNNNNNNNNNNNNNNNNNNNNNNNNNNNNACUUAUUUAUAGACUUAAAUGUGAUACAUCCAACAUUUCCAUUAGUUGGUGUUGACAUCCAACUACCUCCUUCAUCUACAAUUAAUGGAAUUGAAAAGGAGUACAUACAUGAGCUCAAUUCCACACUAAAUUUAUUUUAUUUUAUCAAAAUGCUCUUAAUUUUUUAAUUAAAAUGAAAUAAUUAAAAAUAUUCCUUUUCACUCCAUGCACUUUUAAAUAUAACCUAUUUAAAAUUAAUAAUUACAAUUUUUUUUUAGAAGUAAGGACCAAAUAUGUUGACAUCAACAACCUAGUUGAUACAGGAAGUCCACUUGAGUUAGUAUUACCUGUACAUAUAUCUUUAUAUAAACUACUUAACAUAUUUUUUCAAAAAUUAAUAAAUAUAAAUAUCAAUGGGAGGAGAAUCAGACACAUAGUUUAUUAUUAAACUAUAAAAAAAUCUGUCAUGAAUUUGUUUUUCGUAGGCUUAUGUUCUGUAUAAGAUUUUUUUUUUUUUUUUCAUUUUGCAUCAAGAAAUUGAAAAACAAAAAUUGAUUCAUUUGUUACUCAUCAAACAAUUGAGAUCAUGCAUGGAAUUGCAUGUCAUCAAUUCUUCUUGAAGAAUUGGCUUAUAAGAGAUUGAUUUUUUUAAAUAUUUAAUUAGAAAUAUGUAAUAUUUUCUAUAUUGAUUACAUUUUUUUUCUUUAAUUUGGUUUAGGUUUCUAAAAUUAUUAGUUCUCAAAUAUCUUAUUUUAAUUAUAUUAGAUACGAAUAUAUAUAAUUAUUAUUUUCACAAUAUUUUUAAAUUACUAAUUUCUAGAAUUUUUAUUAUGUUAACAAAUGUUAAUAGUUUGAAAUAUUUGAAAAUAUGUUAUUGACCAUUUUUUUGUCAAAUUAUUAGUCUUAAAAUAUUUUUAUCUUAAUUAUAUAAAAUAAAAGCAAAUAUAAUAAUUAUUUUAAUACAUACAAAGAUAUUUUAUUCCUAAUUUUUAGUCUUAGCUUUUAAAAAGAAGUAGACUUAAUGCUUAAGAACAUUUAGAUACUAUUUUAAAUAAAUAUGUUAUUCAAAGUUAUACAUCUAGCUAUUACGUAAAUGAAGUUAUAGUUAACGUUCAUAUUGAAAAAAUAAAUUUUACCUAAGAGUACGUAAUAAUUAUGACAUUGUAGCAGAACUCAAAUUUUUUUUUCUCGUCUAAGUAGAAUUUAUAUAAAAACUUCACUUAUUUUUAGAUUGCAUUCAAAUAAGGAUGUGUUGUGAAUUAAUUAACAACUAAAAAAAUUUGUCUAUACUAUUUAUUAUUAUUAAAAAAGAUUUUUUACUAAUCAAUUAGAAUUACUAAUGUAGAUAUGAACAUAAAAUUCCCAUUUCAAUUGCACAUGUUUUUAAUCAAGACUUUUGUUGUCUUCAAUAGAGUGGAAAAGUCAUUGUUUUACUGGUUCUUAUCAAUAAUUGUUUUCAAGAAAUACCCAAUAUUCAUAUCAAUAGUUGAUGUGAGUGGUCUAAUCAAAGUGAAAAAAUAUAUGAGAUUCAUGUAUGAAAUCUUAAUAUUUUUAAAUUACUGAUUUCUAGAAUUUUUAUUAUGUUAACAAAUGUUAAUAGUUUGAAAUAUUUGAAAAUAUGUUAUUGACCAUUUUUUUUGUCAAAUUAUUAGUCUUAAAAUAUUUUUAUCUUAAUUAUAUAAAAUAAAAGCAAAUAUAAUAAUUAUUUUAAUACAUACAAAGAUAUUUUAUUCCUAAUUUUUAGUCUUAGCUUUUAAAAAGAAGUAGACUUAAUGCUUAAGAACAUUUAGAUACUAUUUUAAAUAAAUAUGUUAUUCAAAGUUAUACAUCUAGCUAUUACGUAAAUGAAGUUAUAGUUAACAUUCAUAUUGAAAAAAUAAAUUUUACCUAAGAGUACGUAAUAAUUAUGACAUUGUAGCAGAACUCAAAUUUUUUUUUCUCGUCUAAGUAGAAUUUAUAUAAAAACUUCACUUAUUUUUAGAUUGCAUUCAAAUAAGGAUGUGUUGUGAAUUAAUUAACAACUAAAAAAAUUUGUCUAUACUAUUUAUUAUUAUUAAAAAAGAUUUUUUACUAAUCAAUUAGAAUUACUAAUGUAGAUAUGAACAUAAAAUUCCCAUUUCAAUUACACAUGUUUUUAAUCAAGACUUUUGUUGUCUUCAAUAGAGUGGAAAAGUCAUUGUUUUACUGGUUCUUAUCAAUAAUUGUUUUCAAGAAGUACCCAAUAUUCAUAUCCAUAGUUGAUGUGAGUGGUCUAAUCAAAGUGAAAAAAUAUAUGAGAUUCAUGUAUGAAAUCUUAAUAUUUUUAAAUUACUGAUUUCUAGAAUUUUUAUUAUGUUAACAAAUGUUAAUAGUUUGAAAUAUUUGAAAAUAUGUUAUUGACCAUUUUUUUUGUCAAAUUAUUAGUCUUAAAGUAUUUUUAUCUUAAUUAUAUAAAAUAAAAGCAAAUAUAAUAAUUAUUUUAAUACAUACAAAGAUAUUUUAUUCCUAAUUUUUAGUCUUAGCUUUUAAAAAGAAGUAGACUUAAUGCUUAAGAACAUUUAGAUACUUUUUUAAAUAAAUAUGUUAUUCAAAGUUAUACAUCUAGCUAUUACGUAAAUGAAGUUAUAGUUAACAUUCAUAUUGAAAAAAUAAAUUUUACCUAAGAGUACGUAAUAAUUAUGACAUUGUAGCAGAACUCAAAUUUUUUUUUCUCGUCUAAGUAGAAUUUAUAUAAAAACUUCACUUAUUUUUAGAUUGCAUUCAAAUAAGGAUGUGUUGUGAAUUAAUUAACAACUAAAAAAAUUUGUCUAUACUAUUUAUUAUUAUUAAAAAAGAUUUUUUACUAAUCAAUUAGAAUUACUAAUGUAGAUAUGAACAUAAAAUUCCCAUUUCAAUUGCACAUGUUUUUAAUCAAGACUUUUGUUGUCUUCAAUAGAGUGGAAAAGUCAUUGUUUUUCUGGUUCUUAUCAAUAAUUUGUUUUCAAGAAAUACCCAAUAUUCAUAUCAAUAGUUGAUGUGAGUGGUCUAAUCAAAGUGAAAAAAUNNNNNNNNNNNNNNNNNNNNNNNNNNNNNNNNNNNNNNNNNNNNNNNNNNNNNNNNNNNNNNNNNNNNNNNNNNNNNNNNNNNNNNNNNNNNNNNNNNNNUCAAGACUUUUGUUGUCUUCAAUAGAGUGGAAAAGUCAUUGUUUUUCUGGUUCUUAUCAAUAAUUGUUUUCAAGAAAUACCCAAUAUUCAUAUCAAUAGUUGAUGUGAGUGGUCUAAUCAAAGUGAAAAAAUAUAUGAGAUUCAUGUAUGAAAUCUUAAUAUUUUUAAAUUACUGAUUUCUAGAAUUUUUAUUAUGUUAACAAAUGUUAAUAGUUUGAAAUAUUUGAAAAUAUGUUACUGACCAUUUUUUUGUCAAAUUAUUAGUCUUAAAAUAUUUUUAUCUUAAUUAUAUAAAAUAAAAGCAAAUAUAAUAAUUAUUUUAAUACAUACAAAGAUAUUUUAUUCCUAAUUUUUAGUCUUAGCUUUUAAAAAGAAGUAGACUUAAAUGCUUAAGAACAUUUAGAUACUAUUUUAAAUAAAUAUGUUAUUCAAAGUUAUACAUCUAGCUAUUACGUAAAUGAAGUUAUAGUUAACAUUCAUAUUGAAAAAAUAAAUUUUAUCUAAGAGUACGUAAUAAUUAUGACAUUGUAGUAGAACUCAAAUUUUUUUUUCUCGUCUAAGUAGAAUUUAUCUAAAAACUUCACUUAUUUUUAGAUUGCAUUCAAAUAAGGAUGUGUUGUGAAUUAAUUAACAACUAAAAAAAUUUGUCUCUAAUAUUUAUUAUUAUUAAAAAAGAUUUUUUACUUAUCAAUUAAAAUUACUGAUGUAGAUAUGAACAUAAAAUUCCCAUUUCAAUUGCACAUGUUUUUAAUCAAGACUUUUGUUGUCUUCAAUAGAGUGAAAAAGUCAUUGUUUUACUGGUUCUUAUCAAUAAUUGUUUUCAAGAAAUACCCAAUAUUCAUAUCAAUAGUUGAUGUGAGUGGUCUAAUCAAAGUGAAAAAAUAUAUGAGAUUCAUGUAUGAAAUCUUAAUAUAUUUAAAUUACUGAUUUCUAGAAUUUUAUGUUAACAAAUGUUAAUAGUUUGAAAUAUUUGAAAAUAUGUUGCUGACCAUUUUUUUGUCAAAUUAUUAGUCUUAAAAUAUUUUUAUCUUAAUUAUAUAAAAUAAAAGCAAAUAUAAUUAUUUUAAUACAUACAAAGAUAUUUUAUUCCUAAUUUUUAGUCUUAGCUUUUAAAAAGAAGUAGACUUAAUGCUUAAGAACAUUUAGAUACUAUUUUAAAUAAAUAUGUUAUUCAAAGUCAUACAUCUAGCUAUUACAUAAAUGAAGUUAUAGUUAACAUUCAUAUUGAAAAAAUAAAUUUUACUACGUAAUAAUUAUGACAUUGUAGCAGAACUCAAAUUUUUUUUUUCUCGUCUAAGUAGAAUUUAUAUAAAAACUUUACUUAUUUUUAGAUUGCAUUCAAAUAAGUAUGUGUUAUGAAUUAAUUAACAACUAAAAAAAUUUGUCUAUACUAUUUAUUAUUGUUAAAAAAGAUUUUUUACUUGUUGCCCAAUAUUCAUAUCAAUAGUUGAUGUGAGUGGUCUAAUUAAAGUGAAAAAUAUAUGAGAUUCAUGAAUGAAAUCUUACUAUUAAAAUAAAAAGUGACAAUUGAAUCCAUUGUAUUAAGGCUAAGUAAUAGCUAUAACAAUGGUGAAACCUAGAUUUUUUUUUUUCCAUUUUCUAAAUAGGGUAUUUUACCAUUAUUGUAAAAAAAUUCUUCUACUUCUUCGUUUCCAAGAGUCAAGAACUCAAAGAUACUUACUUCACAAUAUUUCCCAUCAAUUCUUCAUAAAGAAAAUGCUUGUAAGAGACUGUUUUUUUUUUUUUUUAACUAUUAAAUUAAAAAACAUGCAAUAAGAUGAUCAUACUUUUUCUUUAAUUCUGUUGAGGUUUUAAAAUCAUUAUUUCUCAAAUAUCUAAUUUUAAUCAUAUCAAAUAAAAAUAUAUAAUUAUUAUUUAUUAAGAUAGUAUUGUUAAAUUACAAAUCUUUAAAAAAUUUAUUAUGUUACAAAAAUUAUUACUAUUUUUUUUUCCAAACUAUUAGUCUUGAAAUAUUUUGUUUUAAUUAUAUAAAAAGAACAAAUAUGAUAAUUAUUUUUGUACAGACCAUGAUAUUUAAUUAGUAAUUCUUAUAUAUUCUUAGCAUGUAAAAAAAAAGUGGACUUGAUAUUUAAGAACAUUUAGAUAUCACUUUAUGCAAAUAUAUUAUUCAAAGUUAUACAUCUAGCUGGACUAUAUUUAAGUUAAAUGAAGUUAUAGUUUGAAAUUCAUAUUAAAAAACAAAUUUUACCUAAAAGUAAUUCCUAUGAUAUUGUAGCAUAACACAAUUUUUUUUUCCUUUAAGUAGAAUUAUAUGAAAACUUCAUUUAUUUUUAGCUUGUAUUAAAACAAUGAUUUGUCUUGAAUUAAUUUAAAAACUAAAAAAAUUUAUUUGUACUGUUUAUUAUUAUUAAAAAAGAUUUAUUACUUGUCAAUUAAAAUUACAUAUUUACAUAUGAAUAAAAAGUUCCUUUUCCAAUUACAUGUUUUUAGACAAGACUUUUGUUGUCUUUGAUAGGGUGGAAAAUUCAUUGCAUUCCUAAUUUUUAUCAACAAUUGUGUGAAAAAGUUGUUGCAUUCCUAAUUCUUGUCAACAGUUGUGUGCAAAAGUCAUUUCAUUCUUAAUCUUAUCAACAAUUUUUUUUCAAGGAAUCUAUACCUAAUAUUCACAUUAUCAAUUGUAUAUGUCAAUGAUCCUAAUUGAUGUGAAUGGUCUAAUUAGAAUGAAGUAUAUAACUACUUCAUUUAUUAAAAUAAAAAUAAAAGGUAGCAAUUGAAUACAUUGUAUCAAGGCUUUAGGAACCACAUUAUCAAUGAUGGGAAUCUAAAUCAAUUGAAAAGAUUUCUUACUUUUCAAUUUAAAUUACAUAUUUAGAUUUGAAUAUAAAGUUUUCUUUGCAAUUGCAUGUUUUUAGUCAAGACUUUUGUUGUCCUUAAUAGGGUGGAAAAGUUGUUGCAUUCCUAAUUCAUAUCAACAAUUGUGUGGAAAAGUCAUUGCAUUCCUAAUUUAUCAACAAUUGUGUGGAAAAAUCAUUGCAAUUGAAUUCAUUGUAUCAAGGCUUGAGGAACAACAUGAUUAUUGCUAGGAAUCUAAAUCAAUUGAAAAGAUUUCUUAUUUGUCAAUUAAAAUUACGUAUUUAGAUAUGAAUAUGAAGUUUCCUUUCCAAUUGCAUGUUUUUAGUCAAGACUUUUGUUGUCUUUGAUAGGGUGGAAAAGUCAUUGCAUUCAUAAUUCAUAUCAACAAUUGUGUGGAAAAGUGGUUACAUUCCCAAUUCUUGUCAACAAUUGUGUGCAAAAGUCAUUGCAUUCUUAAUCUUAUCAACAAUUGUUUUCAAGGAAUCUAUACCUAAUAUUCACAUUAUCAAUUGUAUAUGUCAAUGAUCCUAAUUGAUGUGAAUGGUCUAAUUAGAAUGAAGUAUAUAACUACUUCAUUUAUUAAAAUUAAAAUAGAAGGUAGCAAUUGAAUACAUUGUAUCAAGGCUUUAGGAACCACAUUAUCAAUGAUGGGAAUCUAAAUCAAUUGAAAAUAUUUCUUUCUUUUCAAUUUAAAUUACAUAUUUAGAUUUGAAUAUAAAGUUUUCUUUGCAAUUGCAUGUUUUUAGUUAAGACUUUUGUUGUCCUUAAUAGGGUGGAAAAGUUGUUGCAUUCCUAAUUCAUAUCAACAAUUGUGUGGAAAAGUCAUUGCAUUCCUAAUUUAUCAACAAUUGUGUGGAAAAAUCAUUGCAAUUGAAUUCAUUGUAUCAAGGCUUGAGGAACAACAUGAUUAUUGCUAGGAAUCUAAAUCAAUUGAAAAGAUUUCUUAUUUGUCAAUUAAAAUUACGUAUUUAGAUAUGAAUAUGAAGUUUCCUUUCCAAUUGCAUGUUUUUAGUCAAGACUUUUGUUGUCUUUGAUAGGGUGGAAAAGUCAUUGCAUUCAUAAUUCAUAUCAACAAUUGUGUGGAAAAGUGGUUACAUUCCCAAUUCUUGUCAACAAUUGUGUGCAAAAGUCAUUGCAUUCCUAACUCUUAUCAACAAUUUUUUUCAAGGAAUCUAUACCUAAUCUUCAAAUUAUCAGUGGUAGAUGUCAAUUGCAAAUAAUUUCUUUUGCAUCUUGAUUUGUAAGACUCAAGAAAUUGAAGAUUCUUGCUUCAUAAUNNNNNNNNNNNNNNNNNNNNNNNNNNNNNNNNNNNNNNNNNNNNNNNNNNNNNNNNNNNNNNNNNNNNNNNNNNNNNNNNNNNNNNNNNNNNNNNNNNNNNNNNNNNNNNNNNNNNNNNNNNNNNNNNNNNNNNNNNNNNNNNNNNNNNNNNNNNNNNNNNNNNNNNNNNNNNNNNNNNNNNNNNNNNNNNNNNNNNNNNNNNNNNNNNNNNNNNNNNNNNNNNNNNNNNNNNNNNNAAAAUAAUAUUGCAUUAUUUUAAUUCAAUUUUGUAGUUAAUUAAAAGUGAAACUUACAUCAUGGAUUGGACAUAAUGAUAACAUUUCCUAUUAAUAGAUUUAAUAAUAAAAAAGAUGAGUUUUUUUUUUUUUUCAAAUACAUAUACAUAAAAGAGCAUUUAUGUCAUGCUUUUCUUAUAGAUAUGAAGGAAAUAACAAAAAGAAAAGUUUCAUGACUGAAUAUACCACUCAAUUCAAUUCAGAAAACUUAUUUUUGAAUAUUUGUGGUUUAGUUCAAUUCUAUGACUAAAUUAUUGGCCAUGUUUAAUGGAUUUUAAAGUCUUGGUCAAACUUGAUGUAAUAUUUUAACUACCAAUGAAAAAGAAAUAAAGUGAUAAAUUGACAAAGAGCUCAUUUGGAAAGUAGGGCCAAAAAUGGCUUCAAAUUCUUAAAGAGUAUAUUUUACUAAAAAUUAAUUAUUUGAAAAAAAAAAUCUGUAAUCAUUUUGAAGUUAGAAAACAAUCAAGGGUGCUUCUUAAAUAAACACUUGAUAGAUACUUCUUCUAAAAGAUAUUAUAGAAAACUCAUGAAAAAACAUUAGAAUUUCAAAUAAAUGUUCAUGUUAGAAAAAUACAAUUUUCAAGCAUUUUUAUUAAAAACACUUUCAAAUAUCUUUUUACUUGAUCUCCUUGAAUUGUUAAUACAAUUGUGAACUCCAUUUAAUUUUUAUCAUUAAAAAAUUGGGAAAACAGUCAGAAAUGGUAGGUCAUGGGUGAUAAUUUUUUUUAAGGGUCACCAUGUUUACAAGUUCAUGUUAGUCCUUUUAUCUUUUCCUAAUAAAAAAUGUGUAAUGAUUUGAAAAGUUGACAAUUUCAUAAUUCUAGUUAUACCCUCUUUUUAUCUUUUCCUCUUAUUCCCAUCUAACUUUUGCUUCUUCUUUUUUUUUUUUUUCAAUUAUAAUUUUUUUACUCCUUUUUAUUAUUAGGUAUUAAUAUUAUUAUUUAUAUAUUAGUAUUUUGAAUUAUUCAUGUUAUUAUUAAUAUCAUUCUUAUUAAUAUUAUCUAUUAUUUUUAUAAUUAUUAUGGACUUUAUUAUUCAUAUUUUUAAUAUUAUAUUAAAAAUAAUAUUAUUAUUUUUUAUAUUAGUACUACAAAGAAACCCUAGAAGAUAAUUUAUAUUUUUUAAUUCUUAAGGCUUGUAAGUUUCAUUAAAAAAUUAUUAUUAUUGUUAUUAUUAUUAUUUGCCUUUUAUGCUUUAUAUGCUACAUUAAGACUAAUUAAAUUAUUUUGGACGCCUCAUUAAUAUUAUUAUUUAUGAUAUUAGUUUUAUAUGGUUAAUAAAACUAAUAUUAUAUCCAAGUUAUAGAUAUGACAAAAAUGCAUUGAUCUUACAACAUUAAUAUUUAAAAUAUACAAUAUAUUAAGACAUAACCUGAUUUCAUUUUAAUUCUUUUUUUUUUAAACAAACAAUUGUGAAUACUUGCUCCAUACUCUUUAAAAUUCUCUUUACUAUAAACUAUCCUUAGAUAACAUUAUUUUUUAAAAGUUUAUGAUUUUUGUUAUAAAAAUUAUUACUAAUAAAAAUUCAUCUAGUAUAUAAUGUUAAUUCAUUGAAAUGAUGUAUUAACAUUGACACUACUAUGGUAGGAUAAAAUAAUGUUUUUAACGCUAUUAGAUUUAUUGCAAAAUGUAAGCACAACAUUUAUAUAUUGAACUUAAAACAUAAAUAUGCUAAAAGUAUAAUGCAUUAUGACAAGCCUUAAUUUUACUUUUUAACAAUUAUAAAAACAAAUAUUUUUAUUGUACUAUUUUCUUAAUAGUUAUAUUACAAAAUUAAACAUUUUAAAUUUAUGAAAUCUAUAUAAUAAAAAUUAUAAUAGCUUUAUAUUUUUAAUUAUCAAAAUGAAACAAUAAGUUGUAAAUUUAAUAUAUUAUAUAUUAUAUUAUUAUUAUUAUUAUUUUGGAUAAGUUAUUGAUAAUAUUUUAAAAAUAAUAAUUAAUAAAAUUAUAAUUUAUAAUUAAUUUUUAUAUUAUAUAUAUGGAUUAGUGUCAGCCCCUUAGCCACUUGAUUCAGACCCGGAGAAAUAGGCCUCAUGGGUAGGCCUUACACCCAUGAGAGCCUAGGCGGAAAGCAAGGAAAGCCUGGAGGUUUGGUGGUUCAAACCCCAGGAGCUAAGUGUGGGGAUCGCAGACAAGUCAAGCGCGCACUCCGGAUAGGCGUUACCGAAGGAUCCAGACAUGUCUGCCCGAGGAAGUUGAAUCGUCCUCCUCUCCCAUCCGGCAACAAGGGUGUCGGAUGUGAGAUAUCCGGAGAAGGUGGAACGUCGGCCGGAUAGAAUUCCGGAUAUGAGAUAUCCGGGUGGAAUGAGGGAGAAUUUUCGUUCGGGUGGAAUGAGCGAUGCCACGUGUCGCAAGGGGCCGUCUGCGUGUCCAAGGGAGAGGGAGCCACGCGGCACUUUUAGGGAGGAUCCUACAGUGGGUGGUUGUGCAAGCAGUUCAGGGCGGUUCUGGGCGGUUGCAUAACCACCAAGGGAAAAACUGUAGGGUGAGUCUUUUAAAAGGGCUCCUGCAGCCCUGAGAGGAAAAAAGAAGGGAGAGACAAGAGGGAAAGUAGUCUCUGAAUGCUUGGGAUGUAAGCAUUGCUCUCUGACUCAGGGAAACAAUUUUGUAUCUUGUAGUUGAGAUUAAUACAAGUUGAGAAGGAUUUCUUGUAACCUCGUUGUGUCCCUAUUUCCUUUGGUUUGCUAUUGUUUGUGUGCGUUUUGAGAAGGCUGGGAGAGAAGGUUGGCUAAGGAAGCGUUCUUAGCACUGCGUACCAGGUGAAAAUUUUAGGGUGAUUUUCGAGGGUGUGAUAGUUGGUAUCAGAGCAAGCACCAGAGAUGGCUGGUGGUAGUGCAAUGGAGGCCUUACGGGAGAGGAUGACUCAAAUAGAAGAGGCAUUGGGAGAAUGGCCACGUGAGGAUGGCACAGUGGCUUCGUGGGCAGAGCACACCAAGGGAGAAGUCCAAGUGCAGAGGAGUAUGUUGGAGUCCCAUGACAAUUUCUUUGAGGAGAAAUUGGCUGAGUUCAAAACCGAGAUGCAAUCACGGAUUGAUGACUUCAAGGAGACCCUACAGUCCUAUGGAGAAGACAUCGCCAUCCUUAAGAAGGCGGUGUUGCAGGGAUCUGCCUCAGGCCCUGAAGCCCCUUCCAAAGUUCGAGUCCUAGAGCCUAAAGGCUUCAAUGGCAAUAGAAACGCGAAGGAACUAGAGAACUUCUUGUGGGACAUCGAGCAGUUCUUUAAGGCUUCUCAUGUUCCUGAUGGCGAGAAGGUUUCCAUCAUCAGUAUGUAUCUGACUAGUGAUGCCAAACUAUGGUGGUGAACCAGGAUGGAGGACGAUGCAGAGUCUGGAAGGCCCCAAAUCUCCACUUGGGAGACUCUGAAGAAGGAAUUGAAGGAUCAGUUCCUUCCCACCAACACGGCUUGGGUGGCCAGGGAGGCACUAAAAAGGCUCAGACACACCGGAUCUGUGAGGGAAUACGUCAAGGAAUUCAGUUCCUUGAUGCUGGACAUUAAGAACAUGUCCGAGGAGGACAAACUGUUCAACUUCAUGUCUGGGUUGCAAGGAUGGGCUCAGACAGAACUUAGGAGGCAAGGGGUUCGUGAUCUCCCUAUUGCCAUGCCUGCAGCAGACUGCUUGGUGGACUACAAGAUGGGUGGUGCCAUCUCUACCACACAGAGACCCAGGUCAGAAGGGGGCAAAAAGGCUAAGAUUGAGGGCAAGACUAAGGAGUCUAGGUGGAAGAAGCAGAACAAAAAGCCUGCUGUAGGAGGAAAACCAGUGGAGAAAACCACAAAGGUUGUGCAGCAGACCACUCGGAUGACAGGAUGCUUCAUCUGCAAUGGCCCACAUCGAGCCAAAGACUGCCCCAAAAGAGAGAAGCUCUCAGCCCUGGUGACUGCAGAUGACAAGGGAGACUCUGACCUAGACACUCCUCCUAGAGUCAAUCCCUUGCAACUUCUGAACGUGAUUCAUGGUGAGACUCCAGUCCAGAAGUCUCUAAUGCAUAUUCAUGCAAUAGUGAAUGGUGUGCAGGUGAAGGCCUUGGUGGAUAGUGGUGCCACUCAUAAUUUCAUGGCCACCAAAGAAGUAGCCAGGUUGGGACUAAAGUUGGAAGAGGACACUAGUAGGAUCAAGGCAAUAAACAGCAAAGCUUAGAAAAUCCAAGGGGUAGCAAAGAAUGUCCCCAUGCAAAUUGGUGAUUGGAAAGGUAUGUGUAGCUUACUCUGUGUACCUUUGGACGAUUUUGACUUGAUCCUUGGGGUGGACUUCCUAUUGAGGGCUAAGGUGGCCCUGAUCCCACACCUUGGUGGGUUGAUGGUGUUGGAAGAGAAGCAACCUUGCUUCGUGCAAGCUUUGAGGGCAAAAGAUGGUGGCAAGGGCCAACCCGAGAUGCUGUCUGCUAUCCAGUUGAAGAAAGGAUUGAAGAGGGGCCAGGAGACCUAUGUUGCAGCCUUGAUCGAGAUCAAGGAGAGACAGUCUAUGGAAGUCCCUGAUUCAGUCGUCAGUAUCCUUAAGGAGUUCAAGGAUGUCAUGCCUGCAGAACUCCCCAAGGAACUGCCACCACGGCGACCUAUUGACCACAAGAUAGAGUUGAUGCCUGGAACUAAGGCUCUGGCACAAGCCCCUUACAGAAUGUCCCCUGCAGAGCUGUUGGAAUUACGUAAGUAAUUGAAGGAGUUGCUAGAUGCAGGCUUGAUCCAGCCCUCAAGGUCCCCAUAUGGUGCACUAGUGCUCUUCCAAAAGAAGCAUGAUGGCUCUCUCCGCAUGUACGUGGACUAUAGAGCACUCAACAAGACCAUCAAAAACAAGUACCCGAUCCCCUUGGCUGUUGAGCUAUUUGACAGAUUGUCAAAAACUUCUUACUUCACCAAGUUGGACCUGAGAUCAGGUUAUUGGCAAGUGCGGAUUGCAGCAGGAGAUGAGGGGAAAACGACAUGUGUAACUCGGUAUGGCUCAUACGAGUUCCUGGUAAUGCCUUUUGGAUUGACCAAUGCCCCUGCUACUUUCUAUAAUUUAAUGAAUGAUGUUCUGUUUGACUAUUUGGAUGCAUUUGUGGUAGUGUAUCUAGAUGACAUUGUUGUUUAUAGCAAGACACUAACAAAACAUGAGAAACACUUGAGAUUGGUGUUCUAGAGAUUGAGGGAGAAUAGGCUUUAUGUGAAGCCAGAGAAAUGUGAGUUUGCUCAGGAGGAGAUCACAUUUCUAGGACAUAAGAUCAGUGCAGGACUGAUCAGGAUNNNNNNNNNNNNNNNNNNNNNNNNNNNNNNNNNNNNNNNNNNNNNNNNNNNNNNNNNNNNNNNNNNNNNNNNNNNNNNNNNNNNNNNNNNNNNNNNNNNNAAGGGCAAGGUGCAGGCUAUUAUGGAGUGGUCAGUCCCUACCAAAGUGACAGAGCUACGGUCCUUCCUUGGCUUGGCCAACUACUACAGAAGGUUCAUUAAGGGGUAUUCAAAGAUGGUGUCUCCCCUUACUGACCUAUUGAAGAAGGACAAUCAGUAGGAUUGAAGCAUGUAGUGUCAGAUGGCUUUUGAAAGCCUGAAGGAAGCCAUCUCCACUGAGCCUGUGCUGCGGUUGCCAGAUUUGGACUUACCCUUUCAAGUGCAAACUGAUGCCUUUGAUAGAGCUUUAGGUGGAGUCUUGGUGCAGGAAGGGCACCCUAUGGCGUUUGAGAGCAAGAAGCUGAACAAUGCUGAGCAGAGGUACUCUACUCAUGAGAAGGAGAUGACUGUUGUGGUUCACUACUUACAGCAGUGGAGGCACUACUUGCUGGGGAGUAUCUUUACGGUGGUCACAGACAAUGUGGCCAAUACCUUCUUCAAAACCCAGAAGAAGCUGAGCCCCAGACAAGCAUGGUGGCAAGAGUUCCUGGCCGACUUCAGAUUUGAGUGGUUGCAUCGACCAGGGAGACAUAACACUGUAGCUGAUGCCUUGAGCAGGAGAGAAGUGAUUGCCUACAUCACAGCCCUCUCAGAAGUCAUCUCUGAUUUCAAUGAGAAAAUCAAACAAGCUGCGGAGCAGGAUGCUGCAUAUGGCAGGCUGAAGCAGCAAGUGAAGGAGGGUGUGAUUAGGAGGUAUUGGCUAGAAGGUGACCUCCUUGUGGCAAAAGGAGGAAGAUGGUAUGUUCCUACAGGCGGCCUCAGAAAGGAACUGUUGCGGGAAACUCACGAUGCGAAAUGGGCAGGCCAUCCCGGAGAAGAAAGGACUCUGGCCCUAUUAGCCAGAUCCUAUUACUGGCCUAAGAUGGGUGAGGACGUGCAGGCCUAUGUGAAGUCCUGCUUGAUUUGUCAAAUGGACAAGAUUGAAAGGAAGAAGACUGUAGCCCCUCCCCAUUCCAGAGAAACCUUGGGAAAACAUCUCCAUGGACUUCAUCACUGGAUUUCCAAAAGUUCGUGAUUUUAAAUCUGUCUUUGUUGUUGUGGAUAGAUUUUCAAAAUAUGUUGUUUUUAUACCUACCCCUGAUGCUUGCCCUGCGGAGGAAGUGGCUAAACUGUUCUUUAGCAACGUUGUUGAUUACUACUCAAAAAGUGCUAUUUUGUAGCUUAUAAUUAAUCCUUUUAAACACUUUUGAGUAGUAGUUAUUGCCUUUUAACUCAAUUCACAUGUUAAGGACCCUUGCAAUCAUUUCUAAUCAAAUUGUGUAAGUUUUGGUGUUUUUGUUAGUAAUUUGAUCACCAAAACAAUCCAAGAAUGAGGGAGAAUUGUAUAUAGUUCAUGGAAAAGCAAUGAAGAGCUCAAAUUCAUGAAGAACCAAGCUUUGGAGCUCCAUAGCCCUUUGCCAAAGUCGUUCAAAGUAUGCAAGGAGAGAAGCAAGGAGAGAGGAAAAACAGAGUGAAGAAAACAGAGGAAAGCUAGCUGCAGUCUUAUUUUUCACUUUUGGAGCACUUCCUGAAGUCCAUUUUCUACAUUCUAUAUACCAUUUCAAAGCUCAGGAAGUCAAGAAUCCAAUGCUUCAAACGGUGUGCAAUUUGGAGUUGAACCGAAGGAGUUACAGCCAUUGCAAGCAGAUCACUCCAAAGUGUUGCGAAAUCAGCCUUUUGUUGCGAGAAUUUCGCAGCCUUUUUGUACAGUGCUAUGGAAUUCCUCCUGAAGCCACCCGAUACAUGCCGCAAGCUGGAACGCUGAGAACCUCAAGGUGGAAGCCAAUUUCGUAGCCCUGCGAGUUUAACUUGUUGUUGCGAAAAUAUUUCGCAGCCCUCUUGAGUGUCUGCGAAAUCUCGCAGACACCAUUUUUCACCUGCGAAAUGUUCCUGGAGCUUCCCGAUAUUUUUGCACCGACUCUUUUAGAUCUUUUCUUCAGAUAUUUUUGUAUAAAUUUCCAUUUUCUCCUUGUAUUCAGCCACUCAUGUAAUUCCUUAGCUAAGAAGUAUCUAAGGAAGGGUAAAUUACCUUCCUAUAUAAACUCUCUUGCAUCCACUGUAAAAGGGGGAUGUGAGAUAUAUCAUGUAUGUAAUAUAGAUAUCAUAUAUAGAAUCAGAGAACAGAGCACUUGCUUUGUUUUUCAUAUAUAUUCUUGUCUUCUCUUUUAUUUUUCAUUUCUUUUUCUUUCUAGCCAACCAAACUCUAAGGAUUUUUCCUCAGAGGAUGAGAGGCUAAGCUUUUUGUCUCUUGGAGUGAAGAAAGCUGGGUAAGUUUCCGAAUGCAAAAUUGGAAGUUUUGUUGUUUUAGUUUUUAAUGAAGAGAAAGCUUGACCCGUUAAUGGUUUUUAUCUUUUUAGUUAACUUAAAAUGCCUUUAAAUCACCUGGGCCAACACUUGGUAAGGCAAGUGAUCUCCAUCCAUGGAGAUGCACUAGUUUACCCCUUGCGAGCCUUUGGGAGGUGACUUGAAGGUAGGAUUUUCUAGAAUAGCCAACACUUGGUAAGCUUUUGGACUCCAAGGAGACAUCCAUUAGUUAUCUCUUGCGAGCUUUUGACGGGUAAUCCAAGGUUAAAGAUCACCUUGAAUGGCAAGUGCUAGGUGAGAGGUAUGAGCCAUUGCAAGGUGCAUCAGUGAGAGGGAUUUAGUGUUUGAACCCAUUAAUGGGAAGCAUCUGUACAAAACCGGUUGGAGAAGGGACUAUAUGUUAAUUCUCUAAUGCGAGGAAAAGAAACAAGUGACCGGAACUCCCUUUUUGUAUGAGGAACCGGAGCCUAGUGAUCUGAACUCCAAGAAACACUUUUCUUUAUAAGUAAAAUCAGUUACUAUUUGUGGUUAGUUUAAAUCUAAACCUUUUUCAUUAAAGCAUCUUUAUGUUUUCUUUUAAAGCUAACCUUGAAAUGAAAAGGCACCAAUUCAGCUUUGAAUUAAUAUCAUUUGCAAAGUGAAAACCCAUCCCAGUGAACAAUCCUAGAGCCAGUAUGCUAUAGUAGCUUUGUCUUUGCUACCCUAGUAUAUGGUGUAAUAGGUUAUAAAUUUUGUUGAUUAAUCCCUCAAUCAAGGAGCACCAGCUGGACACGAAUCAGCUGAGACACCAAUUGGGCACGAAUCAAAUGGCGCCGUUGCCAGGGAUCGAACCCCGAAUCAGAUGGUGCCAUUGCCACUGCCGCUGCUAGGGACGAAUCAAAUGGCGCCGUUGCCGGGGAUGGUGCCACUUUGCAGUGAUAUGAUCUUUUGAGAGUACUUGUGAUCUUCAUCACAAGUUUGGUGACUUUUCUUUUCCUUUUACUAACUCUUUUUAUUUCUUUAUUGUUCAUAUUUUAGUAUACCUUUUAUUUAGUUUUUAGUUUACCUUAAUUUUCUUUCUUUGAAUUGUUUUUCUUUUGUUUUCUUUUGUGUUCUCUGUUUUUAAUUCACAAAUUGCUAGUUGUGCAUGCCAUAUUGAAUACCAUAGCAGAGGAAGCCAUGAACUUCAUGAGUUAUGUGGCUGAAUUUUCAAGAGAAUGGGGUGAACCAAAUGCUAGAGAUAUGGGAAGAAUGACGUCUCAACCUAAAGCUAAGGGUGAGAUGUAUAUUUUGAAUGAUGGCAUGGACAUGAAGGCAGAGAUUGCAGCUAUGGAAAGGAGAUUGGAAGAGCUAGAAAUGACAAAUAUGCAACCAGUGCAAGCCAUCUCUCAGACAUCAUUGCAAGCUAUGCCUUGUGCCAUUUGUCUAUCUUAUGAGCACUUGGUGGAUGAGUGUCCUACCAUUCCAGCCGAGAGGGAAAUGUUUGGUGAUUGCAACACCUACAAUUCCAAUUGGAGGGACCAUCCAAAUUUCUCUUGGAAACCAUAGCCGCCUCAGUACAAGCAACAUGUUCAAGCACUUCCGCAAGCCUCAAGCCUUGAACAAGCUAUGGUGAAUCUUUGCAAGGUAAUGAGAGAUUUUAUUGGAAAGCAAGAAGCCACCAAUGCUCGACUUGAUUAAAGGAUGGAUGGAAUGCAAAAUAAUAUGAAUCAAAAAUUUGAUAACAUCCAGUAUUCAAUCUCCAAGCUCAUAAAUUUGAACACAAUGCAAGAGAAAGAAAACUCUCCUUCUCAACCUUAUCAAAAUUCCAUGAGUAUCCAUGAAGUGGAGGCUCAAGAGGGAGAAUCUUCAAUGGUGAAGGAAAUUGAAGAAGUGAUCACUCUGAGGAGUGGUAAAGAGGUUGAUCUGCCCACAUGCAAGCUAGAGCAUAAGGUAGAAAAUGAAACAGAGAAAGAAAAGAGGGAGGAAAUCAAAGGAAAGAAAAAGGGGAAAAGCAUAGAGAAAGAUGACUAUGAUUUUGAUAUAGAUGAAGAACCACAGAGGAUAGUCAUCAAGGAAUUGAUGAAGAAACACAUGCCUCCACCUUUUCUCCAAGCUUUGUAUGGGAAAAUCAUACAAACCAAGUCUCAAGUGAGGGAUGCAAGCUUCAUAUGGGAUCCGGGCAAGCUAAAUCAGGAGCAAAUUUUUUGAUGGACUUAGUCUUUUUAAAGACUAGCUAGUCCAUAUCUUUUUGUUUUGUUAAUUUCAUGUUUUAAUUUUGAUUUCAAUGCUUUAAUUUUGAUUUCAAUGCUUUAAUUCUAGUUUGUUUUGAUGUAAUAUAGGUUUUUGGAUGAUCAAAAUCAAGAGGAAUUGCAAAGAAAUUGAAGAAAAAAAAAUCGGAGCAAAAUCGGAGUCAAACGGAGCGAAAACAGGGGAAAAACAGGGGUCUGCGAGAUUUUGCAGCCUCUGCGAAAUCGGCAUUUUGUUGCCAAACCAUUCCGCAACACUGUAGAAGUCUCUGCGAAAAUUUUCGCAGCUGCGAAACCCAUUUUGGCACACGAGUGCCACUUCGCAGCACAGGGCCAUCUGUUUCGCAGCUGCGAAACGCAUUGCGAAGAGGAAAAGCCUGAUUUCGCACCAAAAGUCCCAUUCCGCAGGGUAUUUGCAGGCGAAGCACAUUUUGGCACACGAGUGCCAUUUCGCAGCACAGUGAACCUCAUUUCGCAACUGCGAAACGGCUGCGAAAUCCCAAAGCGUAAAAACUUCCAAUUUCGCAGCCAAAGCUCCAUUCCGCAGGGUAUUUCGCAAUUGCGAAGCCGGUUUUGGCACACGAGUGCCAUUUCGCAGCACAGUGACUUCCAUUUCGCAGCUGCGAAACGGCUGCGAAGUUCCAAAACGUGAAAAAUCCCAAUUUCACAGCCGUACCCCCAUUUCGGCAAUUGUUGGACACAUAUCGAUCACUUCCCGAAGUUCAAAUUAUGCAUACAAUAUCUCAUUUGAAAGCUUGGGAAGUCACGAGUCCAUAGCUUCAAACGAUGCUUGAUUUGGAUUUGAAACGGAAAAGUUAUGGCUGUUUGAAGAUGACUGUGCAAACCAUGAAUGGAAAUGUCGCACCUCCAUUUCGCUACUAUUGGACACAUUUUUGAAGCACUUACUGGAGCUCAAAUUAUGCAUACGAUAUCUUGUUUCAAAUCUUGGGAAGUCAGGAGUCCAGCGCUUUAAACGGUAUGUGAUUUGGAGGUGAAAUGAAGAAGUUAUGGUCGUUUGAAGACAAGCGCGCAAAGCUGAGCGAGAAUUUCGCAACUGAGACACCAUUUGGAAGGGUGUUUCGCAGCUGCGAAACCACUUUUUGGCACACGAGAGCCAUUUUGCAGCACAGUUCUCCUCAUUUUGAAGUUGCGAUACACCUGCGAAAUCACUUUUGAGCUGCGAAAUGAGCUGCGAAAUCAAUUUUGAGCUUUGAAAUGGAUGCGAAAUGAUCUCCAAGCUUCAGAAUGGCUGCGAAAAUGCUCCAAGCUUCAAAAAUGGUCUGUGAACAUGCCACUUUUCUACGAAAUGAUCUCCAAGCUUUGAAAUGGUUACGAAAUCACCUCCAAGCUUAGAAAUGGCCUUCAAAUUGUGAAAUUGACCUGUGAAAUGGAGGGUGAUUUGCAAAAACACUUUGCAAAGCCAAGGGAAGUUGUUAAAAUGCCAUCAGAGCCCUGCAACCAUGCAUCUGAAGAGGAGAGCCCUGCACACCCUGGGAUCACACACACUAAGCCUCUCAUUCCAUUUCUGACCUCCUAAAACCAUCAGAGCCCAUAGCUCCAGCUGAGAAGACUAUGCCACCUAAGGAGACUACCAGAAUAGAGGCCAAAGUCCUGAUCCAACCCAUUCAAGAGGCCACCACAGACACAUCAGCUCCACAGGACCUUACCAUUACUUGAUCAUCUCUUUAAUUUUUGUCUUUACAUAUUAUAUUAGUGUAAAUGAUUUCAUAUUUUGAUGUCUUAUAUUCUGAAAUUGGAUGUAUUACUGAUGAUACAUCAUACAUAGACAUCAUUUUUUGUUUAAACUUAGCAUUUUUCUAUUUCCUCUACUCACUAACUCUUAUGUUUUCUUUGAAACAUGUGGUUUCUCCUAUACGACUCAAACUCCAUGUCACUCAAGAGGUACCACUUCCUCCCUAUUUUUCAAUCGCUUUUGUCACAUUGAGGACAAUGUUCAUCUCGGUUGGGGGGAGAGUUGAGGAAGUAAGUAUUGUUAAUAAUGAUAAGUUAUUUUGGUAAUUUAGCUACUUUUUGCUUAAUUUUUAAAAUUUUUGCUUUAAACUCCAUGGAUAUUAAGGAUUAACUCUCAAAAUUAAAUGAGAGAAGUCGAGUUUCAACUUGAUUACAUGAGUCUUAGAGUUUGUAUUAUGCUCUUCUAAAAGUUGAUGAAUUGUUGAAACUCCCAUUGUAUGAAAACUUAUCUCUUCCACCUUAAGCUAUUCGCACACACAUACAUUAGAUUCCGGUUAUAAGAUGUGAAACUAUCUCACCCUCUAAGCUUGAGAAAUCAUAAUUUGACACCUUUAACCUCUCUUUAAUAGUGUUGGGAUACCUCAUAAUGACCAAUGAGUCUUUGAAAAAAAAAGAAAAAAAAAAAAGAAAAAAAAAAAAAAUAAUAGAAUAAACUUCUUUGCUUGCCUUGAAACCUGAGCAUGGUCCGAAGGGGUGGCGAAAGCCUUUAAAGCCUAGUGCCCUAAGCCUUUAUUGGUUGGGAGUCACCGAUCCUCUGCUUGUUACAUGGGUGAAUUGGUUAAGUUUAGUAAGUGAAAAGAAUUGUGAAUAAGAGGUGCGUUCCUAGCCUAUCAAGAGAUNNNNNNNNNNNNNNNNNNNNNNNNNNNNNNNNNNNNNNNNNNNNNNNNNNNNNNNNNNNNNNNNNNNNNNNNNNNNNNNNNNNNNNNNNNNNNNNNNNNNUAGGUUGGGGGAAGAUGAUAGUUAUUCCAUACUAUACUUGGAAGCUAAUCACAUAACACUUAGCUUUUAGUGGAAGAAUUGAUUUGGAUCUUUUGAGAGUGGAAAUUCUUUUGAUGCUUAAACUUGCAUAAUAUCCAUUCUUUGUACUCUAUGAUCAAGUGAAUGCUUUGACAAAUCUUAUUAUAGGUUGAGUUUCACAUCUUUAUUGAUCCAUGGAUGUCCAUCAUGCCACUCAUAUCAUUUUUUGGAGUGAUUUGCAUGAUCCCUUUUAUGUAUAUUAUUAUAGUUUACUUAGUUUUUAUCUCCUUCAUUGCUAAGGGACUAGCAAUAUGUCGGUUGGGGGGGAGUGAUUAGUACUCAAAAAGUGCUAUUUUGUAGCUUAUAAUUAAUCCUUUUAAACACUUUUGAGUAGUAGUUAUUGCCUUUUAACUCAAUUAACAUGUUAAGGACCCUUGCAAUCAUUUCUAAUCAAAUUGUGUAAGUUUUGGUGUUUUUGUUAGUAAUUUGAUCACCAAAACAAUCCAAGAAUGAGGGAGAAUUGUAUAUAGUUCAUGGAAAAGCAAUGAAGAGCUCAAAUUCAUGAAGAACCAAGCUUUGGAGCUCCAUAGCCCUUUGCCAAAGUCGUUCAAAGUAUGCAAGGAGAGAAGCAAGGAGAGAGGAAAAACAGAGUGAAGAAAAUAGAGGAAAGCUAGCUGCAGUCUUAUUUUGCACUUUUGGAGCACUUCCUGAAGUCCAUUUUCUACAUUAUAUAUACCAUUUCAAAGCUCAGGAAGUCAAGAAUCCAAUGCUUUAAACAGUGUGCAAUUUGGAGUUGAAACGAAGGAGUUACAGCCAUUGCAAGCAGAUCACUCCAAAGUGUUGCGAAAUCAGCCUUUUGUUGCGAGAAUUUCGCAGCCUUUUUGUACAGUGCUAUGGAAUUCCUCCUGAAGCCACCCGAUACAUGCCGCAAGCUGGAACGCUGAGAACCUCAAGGUGGAAGCCAAUUUCGCAGGCCUGCGAGUUUAACUUGUUGUUGCGAAAAUAUUUCGCAGCCCUCUUGAGUGUCUGCGAAAUCUCGCAGACACCAUUUUUCACCUGCGAAAUGUUCCUGGAGCUUCCAAAUAUUUUUGCACCGACUCUUUUAGAUCUUUUCUUCAGAUAUUUUUGUAUAAAUUUCCAUUUUCUCCUUGUAUUCAGCCACUCAUGUAAUUCCUUAGCUAAGAAGUAUCCAAGGAAGGGUAAAUUACCUUCCUAUAUAAACUCUCUUGCAUCCACUGUAAAAGGGGGAUGUGAGAUAUAUCAUGUAUGUAAUAUAGAUAUCAUAUAUAGAAUCAGAGAACAGAGCACUUGCUUUGUUUUUCAUAUAUAUUCUUGUCUUCUCUUUCAUUUUUCAUUUCUUUUUCUUUCUAGCCAACCAAACUCUAAGGAUUUUUCCUCAAAGGAUGAGAGGCUAAGCUUUUUGUCUCUUGGAGUGAAGAAAGCUGGGUAAGUUUCCGAAUGCAAAAUUGGAAGUUUUGUUGUUUUAGUUUUUAAUGAAGAGAAAGCGUGACCCGUUAAUGGUUUUUAUCUUUUUAGUUAACUUAAAAUGCCUUUAAAUCACCUGGGCCAACACUUGGUAAGGCAAGUGAUCUCCAUCCAUGGAGAUGCACUAGUUUACCCCUUGCGAGCCUUUGGGAGGUGACUUGAAGGUAGGAUUUUCUAGAAUAGCCAACACUUGGUAAGCUUUUGGACUCCAAGGAGACAUCCAUUAGUUAUCUCUUGCGAGCUUUUGACGGGUAAUCCAAGGUUAAAGAUCACCUUGAAUGGCAAGUGCUAGGUGAGAGGUAUGAGCCAUUGCAAGGUGCAUCAGUGAGAGGGAUUUAGUGUUUGAACCCAUUAAUGGGAAGCAUCUGUACAAAACCGGUUGGAGAAGGGACUAUAUGUUAAUUCUCUAAUGCGAGGAAAAGAAACAAGUGACCGGAACUCCCUUUUUGUAUGAGGAACCGGAGCCUAGUGAUCUGAACUCCAAGAAACACUUUUCUUUAUAAGUAAAAUCAGUUACUAUUUGUGGUUAGUUUAAAUCUAAACCUUUUUCAUUAAAGCAUCUUUAUGUUUUCUUUUAAAGCUAACCUUGAAAUGAAAAGGCACCAAUUCAGCUUUGAAUUAAUAUCAUUUGCAAAGUGAAAACCCAUCCUAGUGAACGAUCCUAGAGCCAGUAUGCUAUAGUAGCUUUGUCUUUGCUACCCUAGUAUAUGGUGUAAUAGGUUAUAAAUUUUGUUGAUUAAUCCCUCAAUCAAGGAGCACCAGCUGGACACGAAUCAGCUGAGACACCAAUUGGGCACGAAUCAAAUGGCGCCGUUGCCGGGGAUCGAACCCCGAAUCAGAUGGUGCCAUUGCCACUGCCGCUGCUAGGGACGAAUCAGUUGUCAAGCACUUUGGGUUGCCACGGGACAUAGUCAGUGAUCGGGAUACAAGAUUUAUAGGCAAGUUUUGGGUUAAGCUGUUCAAACUCUUGGGUUCAGAGUUGAAGUUCUCUACAGCCAACCAUCCUCAGACUGAUGGGCAGACAGAGAGGAUCAAUGCCUUACUGGAGGAAUACCUCAGGCACUAUGUGACGGCAACACAGAAGAAUUGGGUGGACUUGAUGGACACUGCACAGUUGUGUUACAACUUGCAAAGAAGCUCAGCAACAGGGAUGAGUCCCUUUGAGUUAGCCAUUGGGGUACAGCCUCGGAUGCCUCUAGAGGUGGCAAAGCAGAAGGCAGGAGGUAACAGCCCUACAGCUUAUAAAAUGGUGCAGUCCCGGCAAGAAAUGCUUGAUGAAGCCCGGGACAGUCUGGAGAAGGCAGCCAGACGCAUGAAGAAGUAUGCAGACCGGGAUAGAAGACCCUUAGAAUUUCAGGUUGGGGACAGGGUCCUCCUAAAAUUGACUCCUCAAAUAUGGAAGAAGAUCAGCAGCAAGACAAGGCAGAGGGGACUUAUUUCCAAGUAUGAUGGACCCUUUGAGGUAAUAAAGCGGGUUGGGCAGGUGGCAUACAUGUUGAAGCUGCCUCAGAGGCUUAAGCUUCACCCGACCUUCCAUGUAAGUUUUCUGAAACCUUACCAUGAGAGUCUGGAUGCAGAGAGGGUGCAGACAAAGUGAGCCCCUCAUUUGGUCAUGAAACAAUUUGAUCGGGAGAUAGAGAAGAUCUUGGAUCACAGGACCAUGGGACAGAGCAGAAAGAACCGGCGAACUGAUUUCUUGGUUCAGUGGAAGGGGAUUUUAGAAACCGAAGCUUCGUGGAAAAGAGAUGUUACUUUAUGGCAAUUUGAGAAGGAGGUCCAGGCAUACUGGCAGUCUAAGUCGACGAGGGCGUUGACUUCAGCAGGCGGGGGUGGGUUUGUCAGCCCCUUAGCCACUUGAUUCAGACCCGGAGAAAUAGGCCUCAUGGGUAGGCCUUGCACCCAUGAGAGCCUAGGUGGAAAGCAAGGAAAGCCUGGAGGUUUGGUGGUUCAAACCCCAGGAGCUAAGUGUGGGGAUCGCGGACAAGUCAAGCGCGCACUCCGGAUAGGCGUUACCGAAGGAUCCGGACAUGUCUGCCCGGGGAAGUUGAAUCGCCCUCCUCUCCCAUCCGGCUACAGGGGCGCCGGAUGUGAGAUAUCCGGAGAAGAUGGAACGUCGGCCGGAUAGGCGCCGGAUGUGAGAUAUCCGGAGAAGGUGGAACGUCGGCCGAACAGAAUUCCGGAUAUGAGAUAUCCGGGUGGAAUGAGGGAGAAUUUCCAUCCGGGUGGAAUGAGCGAUGCCACGUGUCGCAAGAGGCCGUCUGUGUGUCCAAGGGAGAGGGAGCCACGUGGCACUUUUAGGGAGGAUCCCACAAUGGGUGGUUGUGCAAGCAGUUCAGGGCGGUUGCAUAACCACCAAGGGAAAAAGUGCAGGGUGAGUCUUUUAAAAGGGCUCCUGCAGCCUUGAGAGGAAAAAAGAAGGGAGAGACAAGAGGGAAAGUAGUCUCUGAAUGCUUGGGAUGUAAGCAUUGCUCUCUGACUCGGGGAAACAAUUUUGUAUCUUGUAGUUGAGAUUAAUACAAGUUGGGAAGGAUUUCCUGUAACCUCAUUGUGUCCCUGUUUCCUUUGGUUUGCUAUUGUUUGUGUGUGUUUUGAGAAGGCUGGGAGAGAAGGUUGGCUAAGGAAGGGUUUUUAGCACCGCGCACCAGGUGAAAAUUUUAGGGUGAUUUUCGAGGGUGUGACAAUUAGUAUUAAUGUUAUUCUUAUUUGCUACGUUAAUAAUAAUUAGACAAGAAAAAAGAAAAUAGAGAAAAGACAAGGUAGGGAUAUGCUUGAUUUUAAAGUGGAAAGUAUGAGGGUAUACUUAACUUUUUGUAUUUUGAGUCAUGAAGAAGACUUAUUAAAGUUGAUGACCCAUUUGGGACAUUAUCACCUAUAACUCAUCCUAUAUGGAAAUUUUCCCUAAAAUGUUUUACUAAUGGGCAGAAAAUCCCUCCUCAAAACACACGAGGAUAUUUAUGAACUAUUUGAAUGGAAAUUGGAACUAAAAUCAACCAUAAGAGUGACUUAGUUUAGUGGGAUAUACAGUUAGAAGAUAAAUCUCGCUCAACUAUCACUUUACCUAUAAGACAAAACUCAUUGCCUUGGAUAGUGGGAUGAAAAAAGCAAAUAAAUGGGCUCUUUUUAGUAAAAAAUGUGUUCCAUGAUCAUAUCACAAAUUAAAGUUAAAUAACAAGUAAAAAUUUCUAAAUAAAUUUUUUAUAGCAUUUUUUUUAUUAAAAUCAUUUCUCAAUUGUGAAGUAAAUUAAUCUUACAUAUUUUUGUACCCAAAUUUUUAUUUAUUUAUUUUUUCUAUUAAAAUAGGUGGAGGUGCUUAACAAUUCUCCUUAUCAAAUCCUAGUCCUAACCCUAAUUCUAAUCAUAAUUAUUUCUCGUUUCUUUUCUUUCCUUUCCUUCCAUUCUAUUAUAUUUAAGUACUUAAAUUAAAUCAUUAACUCAAUUUAUCAAAUUCAUCAUAAGGAUCAUGUAAAAAUCUUUCAAACCACUUAGUGGAUCCACCCGUUCAUUAUUCAUGAUUGAUUGAUCAAUAUAAAGAUUACAAUACCGUUUAUAUGUAAUUUAGAGACUCUCCCCCUAGAUUUAUACAUAUGAAUUUCUAUUAGAAAAAAAAAAAAUUCUGCACAAAAACUAGGACAAGGGGUAAUAGAAACUCAACAAUGCUUAUAGCUAGUGCAUAAUUAGAAUGAAGAAGACACUAUUAAAUAGAGCAGGUUGCCCUUUUGUUCAAUUAAUGACUAUUCUAGUUGGGAAAUAUACCAUACGUGGGUUCUCAAAUUAAAUUAUUGUACAAAAUGUCUCAAAAGAAAAUGUCACUUAACUUGUUGUAUAUACAUUUGUUUGCAAUUGAUUAAUUUGUACUAAUAAUUAAGUGUAUAUUUGUGUAGAUCUCUUGUUUACUUUUUAAAAAAUAAAAAAUAGUAGCAAUUUCUAUAUAAAAUAAGAGAAAUAUUAAUGUAGUGUUUUUUUUUUAAAUUCAUUAAAUAAAUUAAAAUAUUAAAAAAAUUAUUAUAUCAAAUUUUAAAAUUUUUGAAAAAUAUUUUUUAAGAAUAUAUAGUAAGUUUAUACCUUUUAUAUAUAUAUAUAUAUAUAUAUAUAUAUAUCUAUUUAAAAAAAAUAGGAAAUGUCUACAAAUGAAACAUAAAUGCUUAAAUAAGAUUUAUCAAAUAAUGACAUUUAACUUGAACCAAUAAUUAAAAAUAAUAACAAAAAAACUCAUAAGCAAAAGAAAUCUAGUUAUUAAAGAGAAUUAAGACACAUUAAUUUCAAAGAAAUUGUGAAAUAAAUAACUAAGUCAUUCAUAGGCUAAUCCAACACAUAUUUUGUUCAUGCCCCAAGUUCGUCCAAGUACUAUCAAAUAUUAAAGUUAUUAUCAACUUAACAACUCUUGAGAGUCAAAGGCAACUGAAAAAUUUGUCAUAAACUCAUUUUAUAGUCUUUAUCCGUCCUGAAGUUAACUUGAAAAUUGUGUGAUCAUGUUUUUUUAUUUCCAUUAUAUUUAAUUUUGAAAAGCAUUAAGAAAAAAAAAAUCUAAGGAAAUGAUUUUCUCAUAUUUAAUUGUACUAUAAAAAAUAAUUUGUCACCAAUUAAUCUAACUAUGCAUCUAAAAUUUUUUUGUUUGUUUUAGUAAAAAAAAAAAAGAAAAAAAAAUGGGAAAGGGGGAAUUUUGAAGAAGAUGAUUUAGGAGAAAAGAAGGAAAUGGAUAAAGAAAAGAAAAGAAGAGAAAAAAAUAAAUAAAAUAGGAUUAAGGUUUUGGACGAGGUAGUACCUAAGGUACAAUCACCAAAAUACCAAAGUUGAACCAACUAAUCACACUAAUUAAUCACAAAAUGGCAUGCUCUAAAGGUCACAAAUGAAUAAAGUAAUAUCCAUAAAUGAAGUUUUGAGGUUUCAUACAGGUAAUACCUAAGUUUGACUAAGGUACGUAGUACCUAAGGUCAGUUAAGGUAGUACCUAAGGUAGAUUAAGGUCGUACCUAAAGACUAUUAAGGUAAUACCUAAGGUACAGUCACUAAUCAACCGGUUUAAGGACUAUUAAGGUUUCGUCGAGGACCAAUCAACCGGUUUGUCGGGACCCAAUACUUUAAGAGUCUCCUAUGCUUCAUUUUAUGUAUCAUUUCCUCUAAUUCUUCAAGGGCUUCACCGAUUUAAUGAUCUAUGAGAGAUGUUUGAUGCUAUUUUUUUUUUAAUAGAGCUAUCUUGGACACAAAUUUGUGAGUCUAGGAUACAUUUGGAGGUUAGGGCUCCGGUUUUUGGGUACCCACUCUCUCCACUCGAGCUUCAUUUCAUUUUUUCCAGAUUCUCUUGGACUCUCAUGGCUCCUAGAUGAGCCGAAAGGCACAUUUUGACAUCAUCUUGGAGUUUUGGAUUUGGGUUUUUGAACUGAAAUGAGAGAUUUUGGGUUUUCGGAAGUAAAGAAAAAUGAGAAAAAGCUUCCAAAUGAGAGAGGGUGGUAUGGAGGUUGGGAUGCUGCUGAGGAUGCUGAGCUAGAGAAACGAAUGGGCAAUUUGGACAUAGAAGAUGGAGCUGGCUCAGAGUGCACAAAAAUGAUAUAACUUUUCAUAUUAAAAGUUGAUUAUCAUAUUUCCCAUUGUUGGGUUUUGAAAAUACUAUUAUGUUGGGAUGGGAAGCCCAAAGCCCAACUUUUCCCUUUUUCAUUUUAUUUUCUUCCAUUUCCUUUCUUUUUUACUAUUUUUGUUUUUCUGGGUAAAUCACAAAAGUACAUAAAUAUUAAAUAGGUUGUUCUAUUAAUAUUUUGAUCCAAUUAGCUACAUUUCAGCAUAUAACAAACAAAUAAAUUCUACAUGAACGAAAAAUCUACAUACAAUAACAUUAUUUCUAUACUAGCUAAAUCAUAAAGUUCAAUAUAUAUAUAUAUGGAGUUAGACUUGUAAGUAGGUUCAUGGAGUCUCCACAUUAAUUUCACUUACAAAUAGCAAAACAAUAUCCUAUGAUAUAUUAAAAGUACACGAAAUAAUUAUAUUUUUUAUGUAUAUGUUAACAACAUGCAUUGACUUUAUUAGAUACACAAAUAAAGUUGAGUAGGUGAUGUAAAGAAGUGAAAAAAUACUUUAGGUAAUGCAUAACACAUUAGUUCUUUCUUUGUCAACAAAAGAAGUUGAGUAUAUUAGAACUACAAAGGGUAUGAUUGUAUUAAAUCUUAUUUAAAGCAUACUCAAGAAGUUUUCACAAAGAUUUUUUUUAUUAUUAUUAUUAUAGUAAAUCAACUAUCACAUUAACCAAGAAUCCAAUUUUUCAUGGCAGAAGCAAAAUCAUGUUUCGCUAUAUUCAAAAGUUGAGGAAUAUAAAAUAAAAUUAUGCUUAAAGUCUUGUUCUUCAAAAUAUCAAGUUAUGAACAUUUUUUCGAAACCAAUCAAGAUGAAAACAUUGUUCAAGAUGAAGAACAUGAUGAGCAUCAUGAAAUUUGAAGACCUUGGUUUAAGGGAGAUAGUGUAGGAGUCCUAAUUAAACCAAGAUCAUGUUUCCUUAAUAUAUUAAAAUUAUUUUAUUAGUAUUAGGAGCCUGUAUGUGCACGUGCAGGGGACAUGAUAAAUUUUUUUUUUUUUCAUAUACUUGCUUUCUUCUUCAUAGUUUUCUGUCUUUUUUUUUUUUUAACAAGAAAAUUGUUCUUGUGGUUGAAAGGUUUUAUUUUAUUUAAUUUUAUUUUUAACUCACACCAUAAAAUUAAAGGUUAUUUGAUUAAAAGUGACAUUAAAAAGGCAAAUACGAAAGAAUGACCUCCAUUUUUUAAAAACCUCUAUUGGACAAAAUUAGUCUUCAAUAAUAUUUUAAUCACUAUCUCACAUCAAGCAUUUUUUGAAUAAAAAGUUAGAUUAAAAAUGUCAAAAUAAGGCUAUAUGUGUAAUUUUCAAUGCACAGAAGCUAUUUUUUUUCCAAAUAUAGGUAUUAUCUCACCCCUUUGAAUAAAAUAUUUAUUUCUAAAAUUAAAUGUUUAGUAAAACUUGAAAGAAUGUAGUAUUAAUUUCUACUUAAUUACUUCACUAACCUUAAAAUUCAAUAACACAAAAUUACUAGAACUUUGAUUAAUCAAUUAAUUUUGUAUACUACUUAUCAAUGGUAAUUCAUGUAGGAAUAAAUAUACAUCAAGGCAAAAACAUUUAAACCGACUUCAUUUUUCAUCCUUGUAUUCAUUAUUAUAAAAAAAAUAUUAACGUUUUCAUAAAUUGUACAAUAUCAAUGAAAAUAGCAUAAUAAAAACAAAUUGAUGCGUAACAUAGGGCCAAUAAUUGGCAUACACCGAAAUAGGAAUUAAUAAAUAGAAAUUUGGUAAAAAUGAAGAAAAAUCACACAAUAACUAAAUGAAUGAACAUAGACGUAAACAUAAACGUAAAAGUAAACCCCAUGUUUUAAUUUAUCAUUGCAUUUGCUUCACAUUAAUCCUUAAAUAAUGUUUUAGUAUCUAAAAUUCAAGUGCAUUAUAUGAGUUGUAAACUUUCUUUGAGCUAUAUAAGUAAAGGGGUGUUGUAGAGAAAAUUACAUAGAAAUAAUUAAUCAAAUCCAAGCAUGGGUGGCAAAUCCAAUCCAAGCAUGACCAAUGUGGUAUUGCUCAUAUUAUUUGUGAUGACUCUCUCACAUAUUCCAAUCCUCUUCGCAAACUCCCUACAAGGCUACAAAGAGCAGGGAUUCGUCAAUUGGAUUAAUCUGAAACGUACAUAUAGAAUUAUAAACGAGAUGGAUGGACGAGAGAGUCUGAAAAUUCAUUUUUGGUCUUUCGACGAUGAUCUUGGGACUCAUGUUUUGUGACUUGACCAAUAUUUUGAGUGGAGAUUUAGAAUUACUAUGUUGGAUGUAAUCACUAAUCCUACAAAGUUCACUUGCACAUUUGAAUGGCGCCAAUUCAGGAAGAAGUUUGCAGUUUUUUAUAGUAGAAGGGAUAUUUAUAAUAAUAGGGCUUGCGUAUUUUGUCUUCUCAUGGUAGAUAUUGACAAUCUUUAUGGGCCAAAUUUUGUGACCCACUGGAUAAAGCCUAUUGAAGCCUAAUUUAAAGUUUAUAUGGAAUAACCAACCACACAACUGGUUGAUUGUUAAGGCAUUUUCAUCGCAUCAAUAUGUUUGGUUGAAAAUGCAAUUGUAAUUGUCCACUUAUACCUUGGCCUUUAAGCAUUUUUAACGCAUUGAUCUUCAUUAGGUAGUUCAAAAAAGGAUUUAGAAGAUCGAAGUUAAGAGACACUUAGGAGUUUUUAUUCAAAAUUGUCCACUUAUCUAAAACACUCACAAAUAUAAUGUUUUAGGUUUAGAUAGGUACUAGUAUAUAUGUUUCAAUUAAAAUUGUAAUUGGCUUAAUGGCCAAAAGGCCACUCCAUGCACACGAAAAACCCAUGUUUGAGCCUUGGCCUUCCAUGCAUGUCAUUCACCUAGUAAUAUAAGAACUAGACUAACAACGAAAUGUCCCACUAAUAUUUAUAACCUAUGAAAUUCAAAAUUCAAAUGGCUUUAAUUGAGGCAAUUGUUUGAUAAUUAUCAAACCGACUCUAGCCAUGUAGCUCUAUUUUUAGGAAUAAUUUUCAAUAUUUUGAAUUAAUAACCAUUAUCGUUAUCUUAACAAAUUCCAAUUUUUAGCAAGCUCUUUAAUCACUCUUUCUGUCACCAUAUUCUAAAAAAAUUACCAUAAUUAGAACUCAACAUAGGUAACCUUUUUCCCCUAGAUAAUUCUAUCAUCAACUCGAUUACUUUUCUUUCAAUUUCUAAGGAAAUUCUAUUUUUCUUUUCAAUUUCUACUAAUAUGGUAACCCACUUAACUAAUACCACCCAAACUUCCUAUCCCACCAUACUACUAUUGGCUUCCUUAAACCUAAUUUUUAGAAAUAGAAACUUAACCUUAUUAGUCUAUUAUGAAAUUGCAUCUUUUUUCUUUUAGAAAAAAACAUUUCUUCAAUUUCACAAAUGAAUAUUACUAGUAUUCUACCAAAGAGAAAAACUUGUAAAAACAACCACCUAGUAUCCUCACAAAGGAGGAAAGAAAAAUCACUCCUUUCUCCAUUAAUUUUGUGUUCUUAAGAAAUUAUAUCAUCUCUUAAUUUCUUCAACAUCAUCCCCACAACACAAAAAAAAACUAUUAUCUCUUAAUAGCAAAUGCACAACUUGCAUUUAUAUGCCCAUAACUGCGCUUAAAGAGUCUUAACCCUCAUGGAAUGGACAAAGGGUCUUGCCUAACAUCUUUAUUACUGCACUCACCCCAAACCUUGGUCCUAGCUCUCCUUCUCUCUUUUUUUUUUUUUUUUUUUUCAUCGGAAAAGUUGUGUUUUAGGCUUCCCAUCCCAGCAUAAUAGUAUUUUCAAAACUGAACAAUGGGAAAUAUGAUAAUCAACUUUUAAUAUGAAAAGUUUUAUCAUUUUUGUGCACUCUGAGUCGACUCCAUCUUCUGUGUCCAAAUUGCCCCUCCGUUUCUCCAGCUCAACAUCCUUAGCAGCAUCCCAACCUCCAUAUCACCCUCUCUCAUUUGGAAGCUUUUUCUCAUCUUUCUUCACUCCCGAAAACCCAAAAUCUCUCAUUUCAGUUCAAAAACCCAAAUCCAAAACUCUAAGACGAUGUCAAAAUGCGCCUUUCGGCUCGUCUAGGAGCCAUGGGAGUCCAAGAGAAUUCGAAAAAAUGAAAUAGAGUUCGGGUGAAGAGAGUGGGCACCCAAAAACCGAAACCCUAACCUCUAAAUAUGUCUUACACUCGUAAAUUCGUGUCCAAGAUAGCUAUAUUAACAAGAAAUAACAUCAAAUAUCUCUCCUAGACCAUUAAAUCAGCAAAGCCCUUGAAGAAUAAGAGGAAAUGAUGUAGAAAAUGAAGCAUAGGAGACUCUUAAAGUAUUGGGUCCCGACGAACCGGUUAACUGGUCCUCGACCAAACCUCGACUAGUGACUGUACCUUAGGUAUUACCUUAAUAGCCUUUAGGUACGACCUUAAUCUACCUUAGGUACUACCUUAACUAACCUUAGGUACUACCUUGGUCAAACUUAGGUAUUGCCUGUGUGAAACCUCAAAACUUCAUUUAUGGAUAUUACUUACUUCAUUUGUGACCUUUAAAACAUGUCAUUUUGUGAUUAAUUAGUGUGAUUAGUUGGUUCAANNNNNNNNNNNNNNNNNNNNNNNNNNNNNNNNNNNNNNNNNNNNNNNNNNNNNNNNNNNNNNNNNNNNNNNNNNNNNNNNNNNNNNNNNNNNNNNNNNNNNNNNNNNNNNNNNNNNNNNNNNNNNNNNNNNNNNNNNNNNNNNNNNNNNNNNNNNNNNNNNNNNNNNNNNNNNNNNNNNNNNNNNNNNNNNNNNNNNNNNNNNNNNNNNNNNNNNNNNNNNNNNNNNNNNNNNNNNNNNNNNNNNNNNNNNNNNNNNNNNNNNNNNNNNNNNNNNNNNNNNNNNNNNNNNNNNNNNNNNNNNNNNNNNNNNNNNNNNNNNNNNNNNNNNNNNNNNNNNNNNNNNNNNNNNNNNNNNNNNNNNNNNNNNNNNNNNNNNNNNNNNNNNNNNNNNNNNNNNNNNNNNNNNNNNNNNNNNNNNNNNNNNNNNNNNNNNNNNNNNNNNNNNNNNNNNNNNNNNNNNNNNNNNNNNNNNNNNNNNNNNNNNNNNNNNNNNNNNNNNNNNNNNNNNNNNNNNNNNNNNNNNNNNNNNNNNNNNNNNNNNNNNNNNNNNNNNNNNNNNNNNNNNNNNNNNNNNNNNNNNNNNNNNNNNNNNNNNNNNNNNNNNNNNNNNNNNNNNNNNNNNNNNNNNNNNNNNNNNNNNNNNNNNNNNNNNNNNNNNNNNNNNNNNNNNNNNNNNNNNNNNNNNNNNNNNNNNNNNNNNNNNNNNNNNNNNNNNNNNNNNUUAAGGUAGUACCUAAGGUACAAUCACCAAAAUACCAAAGAUGAACCAAUUGACCACACUAAUUAAUCACAUAAUGAUGUGCUCUAAGGGUCAUAAAUGACGUAAGUAAUAUCCACAAAUAAAGUUCUGAGACUUCAGAUAGGUAGUACCCAAGUUUUACUUAGGUAGUACCUAAAGUCGGUUAAAGUAGUACCUAAGGUAGAUUAAGGUAGUACCUUAAGGCUAUUAAGAUAGUACCUAAGGUACAAUCACGAAAAUACUAAAGAUGAACCAAUUGACCACACUAAUUAAUUACAUAAUGACAUGCUCUAAGGGUCACAAAUGAAGUAAGUAAUAUCCACAAAUAAAGUUCCGAGACUUCAGAUAAGUAGUACCCAAGUUUUACUUAGGUAGUACCUAAGGUCGGUUAAGGUAGUACCUAAGGUAGAUUAAGGUAGUACCUUAGGGCUAUUAAGGCAAUACCUAAGGUACAGUCACCAAAAUACCAAAGUUGAACCAACUAAUCACACUAAUUAAUCACAAAAUGGUAUGCUCUAAAGGUCACAAAUUAAGUAAGUAAUAUCCAUAAAUGAAGUUUUGGGGCUUCACACAGGUAAUACCUAAGUUUAACUAAGGUAGUACCUAAGGUUAGUUAAAGUAUUACGUAAGGUAAAUUAAGGUCGUAUCUAAGGGCUAUUAAGGUAGUACCUAAGGUACAGUCACCGAUCGAGGUCCGGUCGAUCGGUUUGUCAGGACCUAAUACUUUAAGAGUCUCUUGUGCUUCAUUUUCUGUACCAUUUCCUCUUAUUCUUCAAGGGCUUCUCCGAUUUAAUGGUCUAGGAGGGAUGUUUGAUGCCACUUCUUGUUAAUAGAGCUAUCUUGGGCACGAAUUUGCGAGUCUAAGACACAUUUGGAGGUUAGGGUUUCGGUUUUUGGGUACCCACUCUCUCCACCCGAGCUCCAUUUCAUUUUUUUUUUUUUCAGAUUCUCUUGGACUCUCAUGGCUCCUAGACGAGCAGAAAGACACAUUGUUACAUUGUCUUGGAGUUUUGGAUUUGGGUUUCUAAAUUGAAAUAAGAGAUUUUGGGUUUUUGGGAGUGAAGAAAGAUGAGAAAAGGCUUCCAAAUGAGAGAGGGUGAUAUGGAGGUUGGGAUGCUGCUAAGGAUGUUGAGCUGGAGAAACGGAGGGGAAAUUUGGACACAGAAGAUGGAGCCGGCUCAGAGUGCACAAAAAUGAUAAAACUUUUCACAUUAAAAGUUGAUUAUCAUAUUUCUCAUUGUUCAGUUUUGAAAAUACUAUUAUGUUGGGAUGGGAAGCCCAAAGCCCAACUUUCUCCUUAAAAAAUAAAUAGUUUUUAGUAAAAUAUGAACAAUAAUAUUAUAAUAAAAUCAUAAAAAAAUUUAUAUAAAAAAAAAAUACUAUUUUAGUAUAUUUUUCAUGCUAAAGCUCCUCUCAAAUUUUAGGUGGAUGCAUGCUUAAGUGCUACUUAUUUCAUUAACAAAUUACCUCUCUUUUAUUGGUAAGAAUUCUCUAUACUUUAAAUUGUUCUUGUUUACACAUCUUUGCUUCCCUGUGCUUUCCAUAUUUGAAAAUCCUAGCAUGCACAAAUUUCAAAAAUAAAAAAUAAAAAAGCUAUACCCUAUGCUUUCUUAGGAUAUGGUCAUUUACAUAAAAGCUAUGGAAGUCUUCAUCUCAUAUGAAAUGAAGUCUACAUUUCUCAACAUGUAGCUUUUAAUGAGACAUGUUUUCCUUUUAUCAAAAAUGAAUCUCCCUUCCUCUCUCUCUCUCUCUCUCAAUACAAGUUUUUCUAAUCUUGAUGAAUGGGAUUCAAGAACGUCAAGUAGAUAAUUAGAGUCUUUUCAACUUGGAGAUCCUUCAUGACAUGACUCACCAACCAUUCCUUCUACAAAAUCUCGUCAAAUUGACCUUGAGGAUAUUCUCCAAGAUCCUAUUCCUCUUCAUCUCAAACGUCCUCUCCCUUUAUCUCCUCCUCCUUUACAUGAGCCCACCUCUCUCUUGAACACCACUCCCAUCUGCCUCAAUCUCCCACCCUCACAUCUCAUGGCCUUGGUGCUAUAGUCACUAAAUACAUCUUGUAUUCAAUUCAAUCCUUAUAUUUUUCUGGCCUCCUAACCAUAACUUCUGGGGAUAUAUCGCUGUUAAACAAGAUAAUGCAUUUGUGAAGCUCAGAUGAAUCACAGAAAUCAUAGAGGAAAUCUCUUAAGCAUUACCACAUAAAACGUACAUGAAAGAAAAAGUUGCUGUAUGUGAUCUAGCUUGGAACUGAGGUGGAUCAGUGUUGAAUAUUUUCCUUGAACUUUAACAUCAAAAUUCAGAAUUAAUUAGCAAGAGGCUGAAAAUACACAGAAAACCUGAGGGAAGGAACUGAGACACAGAUAGAGGGAUUGACUUCACCAGUUUCCCAUUCUCUCCAAACAGAUGGUAAGACCAAUACUCAUCAAGGACAAGGAGUUCUUGGGCACGACCUAGAGCAAAUGCAGGGAUUAGGACACAGCCCCCUUGAGAAAUGGUUGAGUGGAUGACAUCAGUGAAGCACUUUUCUCACACAUGCUGAGGCUGAUCCAAGUUGGACGCCAUAAGUGGAUUCAAUUAUGCAAAUAUCAGGGGAGAACUGUGGGAUCUCUGUGGAAUCUCUGUGGCACAGAGAUGACGAUCUUCUUCAAUAGUCUCGAGUGUAAAGUACUCCGACAAAUAUCAACCAUGAACAUGGCAGCACCAAGGACGUGGCCAGCUGUGUAACACCGAAAUAUAUUGGAUGCCAUUUACUUCUAAAGUCUGAUGGAAAUCAAUAACCUGCAGAAGGGAGAUUUGAUUACAGUUUCAGGAAGAUCAAAUGAGAUAAUAAAAUUAAGCUACAUAUCUAAAAGUCGAUUGUUGUAAAUGGCCAAACAUUCUGCAAUUGAUCAGGACUAUAUGCAAUCAAUAUUUUGGCAUAUGAGAUACACACAGCAUAUCGCAACUAAAUUCAGAAAAAUAUUAGAUAAAAUACUGUUGUGGAACACAAAACUAGACUUAUAAUCAUUUAAAUCUUAAUAGACUAAUUCCUACUUUGUGAGUUUUAUUUGCCAAUAUCUCCUUAUGUCCAGAACUGAAGGCAAAACCCAUCUGUUCUCAUAGAAGGUGAAGUACAGAAAGUCCAUAGAUGUUAUAGAGUCCUAAAACAGUAGUAUUUAUGCUCUGGCAGAAUCUCCGAUUCAGAUAUGAAUGUCUAGGAGAGAAGAAUAAAAACUUAAGGACGGCUUCAUUCAACAGGACUCAAUAGUACUAACAAUCCAUCUCCCUUUGGGUACUAGAUAACUGAUAAGGAACUAUAGAAUCCUAUUUCACUUUUUAACUAAGAACAGUUUCCAGAUGAGAUCUUAUAUGAGUUUUGAGAAAACAAGUUCACAAAAAAUUAUAAAUAAGAGGAUAUAUCCUGACAAUGUCAAAGGCAUAAAAGACCGCAGCAAAUAGCAUUGACAUAGUUUAUGAGAGAAAAAUAUUCCACAUGAAAGAGAAAAACAAGUAGCAUUGGAGUAUUUGAUUAGUGGUAGUGUAGGAGAGCAGUCCACAGCAUAAAAUAAAAUAAAAAUAAAUAAAAGUAGGAAAAUACUAUAUAUAAAAACUAAGAUUAGACAAUCACAAGAAUCAUUUUUUAUUAAUUUAUACAAUUUACAAUAUAUUGUAAAAGAGAAUAAAAUGGUAUACCUUUCUAAUGACUGACGUUUUUUCAUUUUUUGACUUUUUCAACAACCACACCAACACCACUACCAUCGAUAUUAUUAUAGAUCAACUCAUCUUCUAUGAAAUGUGCGACACUACUAGAUCCUAAAUUUGGAUUAGUAACAUCUCUUGGCUAUACUAACAAUUAUGCAAGUACCAAACUGUAUAUGUUGAGCGCAACCCAUAUUUGAUCGAAUCAUGCUUAACAUCAUUAUAGGUUGAUGCAAGGUGUUGAUUUUCACAUUUGUUAUAUGGACAUAAAAUAGUUUGUCUUUAUAGAAAAUUAUUUCAUACAAAAUUCAAGAAAGAUGCAAUGCCUCCCAAAGAGGAUGGGCUUGGACAUUGAAGAUUGAUCAAAUCCUUGUUCAUAAAUUGAUUAAAAAAAUAAAAUAAAUAAAAUAAUAGAAGUAUCUGAUUUUAAUAGUUCAACAACAAAUUCCACAAUAGGUGUUUCGGAAGAAGACUAAAAAUAAAAAGAAAUAAACUAAGAUUUCUUAAGACUUAAUUUCUAGGAAUUUGAUUGAAAAUAAAUAAAGAUAUAAUAUUAAAUAUAUUCACAUCCUAUGUUCUUUAGGUUCCUAAACAGUGAAAACACAAUCCCUAAGUAAACGAACUUAUGGUUCGACAAGUAGAGGGAUUCAAUCCCAAAUAAAAUAAUAAUAAUAAUAAUAAUAAUAAUAAGCUAAAGUCAAAUAUAUUAAUUCUUUUGUUGUCCAUUUUCCCAUAAACCAAACAUAAUUUCACAAUUCCACUAAAAAAACAAAACUCAACUAAUGUAAACAACCGUGAUAAUCUCAUUUGAGUAGAAACCUGUAAUCAACUUAUUCCCAAGUAAUAAAAAUAAAUAAAUAAAUAUGUAAAUAAAUAAAUAAAACUAAGAUCAUUGUUUUUCUUUAUCUAUUUUCUUUUCCUAAACCCCCUCACUAGAAAACAUAUUUUUUUCUCAAUUUUAUUUUAUUUAAAGAGUCAUAAUUGAGUUUAAGUUGCUCAUAAGAAUUUUAACCCAAAAUCCUUAAAUAAAUCAUUACUACAUAGGCAAGAACAAACAUGCAUUCCAAUCAACCAAUGUCCCCCCUUGCCAACACUUAAUCAGAAAAACAAUUCUAAUAUUAGUUGUCCAUUGAAACAACUAUUUCGAGCAAACCCUUCAACCCAAGUAGUAUACAAAUAGAGUGAGCACAUAUAACAAGAAUCUUCCCAACAAAUCCAAUCUUUCUUAGAUCAAGAAAAAAUAUAAAUAAUAUGAUAAAUCCACUAACAUGUUUCAUCAUGUAUCAUAGAACAAAUUAAAAACAUAAAAAAUAAAAAUAAAAUAAAAAAAACAUACAUGCUCAUAUGCCCCAAAAAUGGAUAAAUUUCCUAAACUAGGUAAAAAUAAAUGGGGAAAAUUAGGAUUAUGUGGGGGAAUACAUGUUGCGGGAAAAAAAGUAAGUGCAAAUUCAACAAAUGAGAUUUAUUUUGAUCUAUGUAUCAUGUUCUGAGAAUUUUGAGAAGUUUGUUGAAAUAUCUGAAUGAAUAAAAUUACAUUAAUCUUUUAUUUUGUUUUAAGUGUGAAAUUGAUUCCUUGACUUCUUUGGAUAUGAGACCAUAAUUUAGAUUCUUGAUUCUGCUUCAAUUUUCUCUAACACUCUGUAUUCUCUAAAUCGUUGGGGUAAGAAAUGUUGAAGAAGGAUUCUAAACCAACAUUUAAUUCUUAUGCUCCUUCUAAUUGGUUAGGAAAAUGACUUGGAUUUCAGCCCAUGAAUCUUGAUAUAUACCACAUGAAAGGCCUCUUCUUUUUUGAAAGACACAAUACAAGCUUUUACAGUAAUGAUCAUUUGGCAAUCCAUUCCUUUUUCUCUCUUCUGAAUUUGCUCUAUCAGUUUUAUCAAAAUUACAUUUUCUUUCCUGUGCUUAGAGCGCAAUAUAUAACAUAUUCGAAAUAAAAAUACUUCGAAGGGAGGACCCUCAGCUAGUUUCACCUCCAUGAUCAUGACCCAGCAGCUCCAGUCCAUUGUAGAGUGCCCUUCCUGCGACGACAGUAGCAAGACCCAGAAGAAAACCCACAAUCUGGAUCGAGAUAUGAAGAAAAACCAUUGAGGAUCAUGAUGCUUGAAGUAUCUUGGGAUGAUUGUCCCAAAUGGAAGGAGCACGCCCCAUGCAAUUGGAAUUCAAAGAGUUUUAUCUGAAGCUCUCACCAUAUUUUCCUAGAUAUAAGCCUCUCACGUCUAGAAUGUAAGAUCCUCUGUUCUCUGUUCAAAUUUCAGCUUUGCAAUUGGAGUCAAUACAUCUCGUAUUCAAUUCAAUCCUCAUCCUUUUCUGGCCUCCUAAAUUCUAAACCCUGUAUGGGUUUUCCAGUUUUGUGAAAAAUUACAUCAUGGGGACCCAACAUGAUGGGAUUUGAUUCAAAGUUAGAGACAAAAUUUUGGAAGAAUCUGUAAAACCCUCAACAGUUGUGACCAUAGCUCAAGACCAAGAUGGGACUUUACAAUCUAAUAAUGCUGAUGAAUGCUUCAUAGACGGCUCUCCAAAACUAGAGUUUGUAGGAAUGUCUGUCCUUUGUUGAAAGACAUGAAGGUCCUCACAUUCUCAAGCAGGAAGAACCUUGGCCGAAAGUAAUCAACAAAGGAUAAGAACGCCAGGAUCGUUUCACACUGAACAUGACUUUACCCCAGCUACUCUCUGUGAAGAUGGCAGCCUUGUUGUAGCUCUUAGAAUAGAGUAAAAAAAAAACAGAGCAGAAGUUGAUCAAACCUGGCAUGGAGGCCCCGCCCCCCCCAUUAAUAAAAUCAACUUGUCCAAGCAUCCGGUGAUGCAGAUCAUUUGGCAGCCUCAGAAGUAGACACGGGCAUCGACAUUCCCACAUUCCUCCUCCACACAACCAAUUUACGGGUCUAUUACAAAUGAGAGACAGAAAAAAAGAGAUUUUCAUGUUAAUGAAAUCAUUCACCUUAGGAUCGAACUGAAACGAUAAACAUCAAUGAUUCUGGCUGAUUGAAUUUGAGUGCAUCUCCAGCAAGCUCUUCAUAGUCAGUAGCCCACUUGGUUACUGAUGCACCUGCAAAGUUGGAAGCAACAGGAGAUAAAUUAAUGAUAAUUGGAAUGCAUAGUGGGACUUGAAGUUUGAGUCAAAGUUGAUAUGAUAUUUUACCCACAAUUAGCCAUCUUUAAUAGGAUUUGAAGUCAUAGUCAAACUUGAUAUAAUCAUUUGACAAAAAUAUAUAUAUAAUCAUUUUAAAGUUAGAAAACAUGAAUAAACACUUAUAAAUACUUCUUCUAAAAGUCAUUACGAGAAAAACAUGAAAAAUGUUAAAAUUUCAAAUAAAUGUUCAUAUUUGAAAAGCAUAUUUUUCUUACAUUUUUAUUAAAAAUACUUUCAAACAUACCCUUACUUGAUCUACUUCAAUUCCUAAAAUAAUUACAAACUCUAUUUAAUUUUUAUUUUUUAAAAUUUUUACUUAGGGGUGGAAAAUUCAUCCUCAAAUUAUACGGGGAUAUGAAUUAUUUGGAUGAAAAUUGGAGCUAACGUCCGCAUCAUAAGAAUGACCUAUUUUAGUGGAAUAUAGAGUUAUUGUAAGAUAAAUCUCACCCAACUAUCUCUUUACCAAUAAGACAAAGAUCGUUGCCUUGUAUAAUAGGAUGCAAAAAUACAUGAGUGGACACUUUUGACUUAAAAACAUGUUUCACAAUCACAUUAAGACAAAGUUCAUUGCCUAGUAUAACAGGAUGCAAAAAUACAUUUAAGUGGACACUUUUGACUUAAAAACGUGUUUCACGAUCACAUUAAGACAAAGCUCAUUGCCUUGUAUAACAGGAUGCAAAAAUACAUCUAAGUGGACACUUUUGACUUAAAAACGUGUUUCAUGAUCUCAUUAAGACAAAGCUCAUUGUCUUGUAUAAUGAGAUGCAAAAAUACACAAGUGGAUACUUUUGACUUAAAAACAUGUUUUAUGAUCACAUUAAGACAAAACUCAUUGCCUUGUAUAAUGGGAUGUAAAAAUACAUAUGAGUGGACACUUUUGACUUAAAAACAUGUUUUACAAUCACAUUAAGACAAAGCUCAUUGUCUUGAACAAUGACAUGUAAAAAUACAAUAUGAGUGGACACUUUUGACUUAAAAACAUGUUUUACGAUCACAUUAAGACAAAGCCCAUUGCCUUGUAUAAUGAGAUGCAAAAUAAUACAUAUGAGUGUGCAUUUUUUACUCUAAAAACAUGUUUCACAAUCAUAUGUGUUUUAAACUUAAGUUCAAAUAAAGAUACCACUUAAACCUCCUAACAACCCUUUGGAGAUGAACAUAAUAAUUGAAAAUAAAUAUAAACUCUCAUAUGAUAAUAAAAAAUAUUUUUCAAUUUUUAUAGAUGGUGAUCAUAUACAAAUUAAGUUAAAUAAGAAGUAAAAUGGAAUUUACAAAAAUGGUUUUUUUAAAUGUGUUAAAAUUUUCUAAUCCUCUUUAGGCAUGUUUUUUAAUGCUUGUUGAAAAGUUGUUUUUAUGUUUAAGAAUGAAAAAUAGUUAUUUAGUAUUUUAUAAAAAUAAGAUGUUUUGACAAGUUGGUUUUAAAAACGUUUUUUUAAAAUAAAAAAAUAAAAACUUGUUUGAAUAAGAUGUUUUAUAAAAAUAAAUUUUCUAUUUUAAUUUUUUAAAAACAUUAUAAAUUUAAUUUAUGUAAUAUUAAUUUAAUUUAAUUCAAGUAUUAUUGAAAAUGAAAAUAGUUUUUAAUUAUAAAUAAAUUAAAAAAUAAAUAGUUUUUAGUAAAACAUGAAUAAUAAUAUUAUAAUAAAAUCAUAAAUUGUAAUUUUUAUUAAAAAAAAAAUGCUAUUUUAGCUUCUUCUUUUUUUUUUUUUUUCAUGAUAAAGCUUCUCUCAAAAUUUGGGUAGAUGCAUGCUUAAGUGACACUUACAUCAUUAAUAAAUUACCUCUUUUAUUGGUAAGAAUUCUCUAUACUUAAAACUAUUUGGUCAACAUCCUAAUUGUUCAUGUUUACACAUCUUUGGUUCCCUUUCCUUUCCAUAUUUAAAAGCUUCUAGCAUGACCAUAUGUUUUCUUAAGAUGUAGUCCUUUACAUAAAGGCUAUAGAUGUCUUCAUCCCAUAUCAAAUCAAGUUUACAUUUCUUGACAUGUAGUUUUUAAUGAGACGUGUUUUCUUUUUAUCAAAAAUGAAUCUCCCUCUCACUUUCUCUCAUAAUCUCUUGAUUACACCUUUUUCUAACCUUGAUGAAUGGUUUUCAAGAACAUCAAAUGGAUAAUUUACAGUCUUCAAAUCAAAGAUCCUUCACGUCAUGAGCCACCAACCAGUCCUCCUACAAAUCGCUGAAUUGACCUUAAGGAUAUUCCUCAAGAUCCUAUUCCUCCUUAUCUCAAAUAUCCUUUGUCUUUAUCUCCUCCUUUACAUGAGCCCACCUCUCUUGAACACCACUCCCCUCCGCCUCAAUCUCCCACCCUCACAUCUCAUGGUCCAAGUGCUAUAGUCAUUGAAUACAUCUUGUAUUCAAUUCAGUCCUCAUGUUUUUCUAGCCUCCUAAAUUCUAAACCCUAUCUAGGUUUUUCAAUUUUGUAAAAAAUUACAUGAUAGGUCCCAAUAGGAUGGUAUUAGAUUUAAUGUUGGAGACAAAAUUUUGAACAAAUCUGCAAAAAUGCUCAACAGUUGUGGUUAUAGCUCAUGACCAAGAUGGGAAUUUACAAUGUGAUAAUACUGAUGAAUGCUUCAUAGACUGCUAUAACUAGAGUUUGAAAAUUUUCUACUUUCCAACAUUUUUUGUAUCAAGCUAUAAUCAUCUAAAUGGAUUGAAAACAAUUUUUUAAAAAUUUGUUUAAAAAUGAGAGGACUUCUUAUAAAAAAAUUUAAAACAAAAAAUCAACAUUUUUUUAGAGCAAUAGGAAACAUGGAGAAUAGGCUGAUAACUUUUGCAUUCUAUGUCAAUGCAUAAUACUUCCAUAGAGAAGAGACUGAGAUUUUUUAUUUUUUUAAAAUUUGACUCCUAAUAGAAUUUUAUUACUCCAAACAUUUAGGAGCUAUUCUUAAAAAUUGAUUUGUAAAAACUAUUUUUGAAAACGUUAUUGAGCAGACCCACAAUAUGUUGAAGUAACAAAUGGAAAACUCACCAUUUGACCUUGUUCCAAUUACAAUUUUAAAAAGAAAACAAACACAUAAAUCCUUAGACAGGACUAAGCAACAAGCAAUGUCCUUUCUUAUUUCUCUUAAUAUUUUGUAAAUCAUUUAUAUUAAAUUUUAAAACCAAAUUAACUAUAGUUUCUUCUACUUCUUUCUCAAUCAAAUGCAUGGUUUGUUGUUGAUGCUUAUCUUAGUUCAUCUUUAAGUGAGACCCAUUACCUAUGAACAAAAUAGACAUGUUUUUUUUUUUUUUUUUUUUCAUUUGGAAGUAUUAAAGAAUCAAAUUAAUCAUUUAUAGUCCACAAUAAAGUAGAAUGCAUAUUAGGAGGGGCCUUAGACCCAUUCCCAAAGGGACCUUAUAUCUGUAAAAUAUGUCUACAGGUUAACAAGAGUUUAUACAUAUACAAUAUUUAUGUAAAAUUGCAAGGUUUAAUGUUUUAAGAGAAACACUUCAAUUAAAAGCACUUUAUAAAAACACUUUCAAACGGAUAUUAGUUAUCUUCAGUUCCUAAAUAUAUAUUUAUUCUCAUUAUUGGGGGUACUUAAAUGCUCUUUUUAUCAAAUUGAACUAAGUGUAUCAAGUGGUUCUGUUUAAUAUGUUCAUCUACUCUUUGGAUAAUGUUCUCCUUGAGUUACUUGUUUCUUCUUAACAAAAAAGAAUACAGUUUGUCACCCAUUUUGAAGGGAGAUAAUAACAAAAAAAUCAGUUCAUGCUGAUAAGCAUUAAAAAAAAAAAAGGUGGGAAGAAAAAAAAGGUGAUUUCAACAGUUUUGGGAAUUAUGACUCUCUCAACAAUCUAUUAAAAAACUGUAAAGAUUUCAUGUUAGAGCCCUAGAAAAGGUGCAGACACAUGAACAAAAAUUCCAAUCGCAUCCAAAAACAGGAGUCGCAUCUGCCUUCUUGGAUCUCCCCAGCCUCAAGGACACUUACUGUUACAAGAAUGAAGGUCACAAGAAACCCAUAUCCUAUCUUCCACCCCGAGCCUGCUUCUGCCACUCAAAGUCCAUUCACAAUAUUCAGAGCUCCCAAGAAGAGAGCAAUUCUCCCUAUCCAGUGAUGUUACCAGUUCCAGUACUUGCGCGGUUUGGAUGUCUUAUCUAGUCGUAGAAUCAGGGCCAUUACCUGAGAAGAAGAAAACUUAGUUUUGAGCAUGCUUGAAGAAAUAUAUUUAGUUAAUGUCGAGUAAAGGCCCAGGCCCGAGCGAAAACAAACCUGAAGAAUGCUAAGGAAAAACACCAAUUAAGGAUCCAAGGGGUCUAUGAAUCUUGAAUUUGAUAAUGUGAUCGGACUCCAAUCCAUUGUAGAGUGUCCUUCCUGGGACGACAGUAGCAAGACCCAGAAGAAAACCUACAAUCUGGAUCGGGAUGUGAAGAUAAAAUCAUUGAGGAUGAUGAUGCUUGAAGUAUCUUGGGAUGAUUGCCCCAAAUGGAAGGAGCACGCCCCAUGCAAUUAGGUCCAUGUCUCCAUGACGCGUCUUCAAAUCUCCAGUGUUCUUGACACCAGAGGUAUAUCUUGUGAGACAGAACAGAAAUUUUCCAUAUCAGACUUCAAAGGGUUUUAUCUGAAGCUCCCACUUUAUUUUCCUAGAUAUAAGCCCCUCACGUCUAGAAUGUAAAAUCCUCUGUUCUCUCUUCAAAUUUCAGCUUUGCAAUUGGAGUCAAUACAUGUCGUAUUCAAUUCAAUCCUCAUCUUUUUCUGGCCUCCUAGAUUCUAAACCCUGUCUGGGUUUUCCAGUUUUGUGAAAAAUUACAUCAUGGGGACCCAACAGGAUGGGAUUUGAUUCAAUGUUAGAGACAAAAUUUUGGAAAAAUCUACAAAACCCUCAACAGUUGUGGCCAUAGCUCAAGACCAAGAUGGGAAUUUACAAUCUAAUAAUGCUGAUGAAUGCUUCAUAGACUGCUCUACCAAACCAGAGUUUGUUGGAAUGCCUAUCCUUUGUUGAAAGACAUGAAGGUCCUCACAUUCUCGAGCAGGAAGAACCUUGGCCGAAAGUAAUCAGCAAAGGAUAAGAAGGCCAGGAUCAUUUCACACUGAACUUUACUCCAGCUACUUUGGUUAAACAGGUUCAUCCUAGACAAACCCUGUGAAGAUGGCAGCCUUGUUUUAGCUCUUAGAAUAGAGUAAAAGAACAGGCAGAAGCUGAUCAAACCUAGCAUGGAGGCCCCUCCAAUUAAUAAAAUUAACUGUCCAAGAAUCCGGUGAUGCAGAUUAUUUGGCAACCUCAGAAGUAGAGACAGAGUCAUUGGCAUUCCCGCACUCCUCCACCACAGCCCUGCAUCACAAUCAAUUUACAGGUCUGUUACAAAUUGAGAGACAGAGAAAACGAGAUUUUUUUUUAAUGUUAAUGAAAUCAUUCACCUUAGGAUCACAUUGCAAUUGUUAAUAAACAUCAAUAAUUCUGGAUGAUUGAAUUUGAAUGCAUCCCCAGCAGGCUCUUCAUAUUCAGUAGCCCACUUGGUUACUCAUACACCUGAAAAAAUGGAAGCAACAGGAGGUAAAAUCAUCACGUUCUUUAACAUAAAUGUCAUCAAAUACGACUAUUUAGCUGAUGGAGAUACAAAUGAACUACCUGCUUGAAGGGCCCUUCAAAGAAAAAUAUAUUCCAAAGGUUGCAAGGACAUCACAUGAUGGCAGAUCAUGCUUCUGAAUAACCUCCACAUUCUACCCUUCAAAUAUCUUAGGAAAAUAAUAUAAUUGUAGUUUUAUAUUAUAAUAAACUGAUUCGACUCAUGGUAGCUUAGCUUUAAAGGCGUAUCAACAAAAUUUAUACCUUGAAUACUAUUACUAAAGUAGCCAAGCUACUAUAGCAUAGUGGUUCUAGGAUCGUUCACUGGGAAGGGUUUUCGCAAACACUAAUGAUAUUCAAAUUAGGAAAAUAGGUGAUUUUCUUAUGGAUGUUAGCUUUAAAAGAAGAUGUAAAUGUUUUAGAAAGAUUUAAACUAAUCUAAGCUAACAUUAAAGACUAAAAUGAAAAGGUGUAAAAACAAGUUUCUCAAAGAUAGGAUAGCUAUGCUCUGGCUCUUAUGCAAAUUGGAAAUCUCAAGACAGGCUCCUCGCGUUGGGGUUGCAACUAUGGUGAUGCUUGCUUCCCGAACCGGUAUGGAUUUAGCAAAUCAAGUUUUAAUCCUUUAAAAUGGCAAAACAGAUGGUAGUGAAUUUCAUCAAUGGUUAUUCACCUUAGACUUCCUUUGAAUGGCUCGUAAGAGAUAACUAAUGGUCUAAAGCCAAAAGCUUACCAAAUAUUGGCAACUCAAAGUCAUUCCAAGUGAUAAACUCACCUUUCAAUGGCCAUUGAAAUUGGUUCUAACGGAUUAAUACAAAACUUGGAAUUGAAAACCUCACCUUCCAAUAGCUCGUAGGAGAUAACUAAUGGAUAGAAAUCCAAAAGCUUAUCAAGUAUUAGCCGUUGGAAGUUGUCCAAAGGAAAUAAAAAACCAAACUUUGCCUUAAUGAACCUUUAAUGAAAAACGUCUACCUUACCUUCUGGGUGCGAGAAAUUUCCAUGGGAUUGCAUCCAAGCCAUCACAUAGCAUCCAUACUUUGAGAAACUAAAAAUUUUAGCCAAUCAUCCUUUGAGGAAAAGCCCUUAGAGGCUGUUUGGCUACUAAGAAAAUAAAAUAGUAAAGAGAAAAGAGAGACGAGAGAGCUCUGUGUAAAACGUAACACGCAUGUUCUAUAUUUUCCAAGGGGUGAUUUCCACCCCUUAUAUAGUCUUUACAAAAGCAAAAGCUUGUGAUUAGUUACUUACAAGGAUAAGAAAGGAAAUUACAUCAAAAAAUACAUAAGAAAAUAUCUAAAGUGGAGUCGGCAAAAGCAGAGCAAAAUUCGCACCACGCAUGGGUUAUGUGAAUUUUGAAGGUGUUAUGCGAAUUUCGCAUAACACCUUGUGUCGUGCGAAAUUUUCGCACAACCUGGAGCAGUUGGCUUCCAAAGGCUAUAUCUUCCUCAUUUCAGCUCCAAAUCAUACACAGUUUAAAGCGUUGGAUUCUUGACUUCCUGAGCUUUGAAAUGGUAUAUAGAAUGUAAAAAAUGGACUUCGGGAAGUGCUCCAAAAGUGUGAAAGAAGACUGCAGCUGCUGUCCUCUUUGCUUCUCUUUGCUUCUCUCCUUUACUUACUUUGAACGACUUUGGCAAAGGGCUAUGGAGCUCCAAAGCUUGGUUCUUCAUGAAUUUGAGCUUCCAAAAGCUUUGCCAUAACUUGUCCAAAUAGCUCCUCCAUCAUUUGGCAUGCUUGAAUUGAUUCAUAAGCUGAUAAAAACAUGUAAACUUGCCACAAAAUGGUUAAAACCAAUUACUAAGGACCUUAAUGAAUUAAUUGGGUUAAAUGAAUAUGAUUACUACUCAAAGGUGCUUAAAACCAUUAUAAUUAGGUCUACAAAAUAGCACUUUUUGGUAGUAAUCACACCCCCCAACCGACUCAUUGCUAGUCCCUUAGCAAUGGAGGAGAUAAAAACUAAGUAAACUAUAAUAAUAUACAUAAAAGGGAUCAUGCAAAUCACUCCAAAAAAUGAUAUGAGUGGCAUGAUGGAUAUCCAUGGAUCAAUAAAGAUGUGAAACUCAACCUAUAAUAAGAGUUGUCAAAGCAUUCACUUGAUCAUAGAGUACAAAGAAUGGAUAUUAUGCAAGUUUAAGCAUCAAAAGAAUUUCCACUCUCAAAAGAUCCAAAUCAAAUUCUUCCACUAAAAUCUAAGUGUUAUUUAUUAGUUUCCGGAUAUAGUAUGUCAAACUAAUCUCUCCCCUCAACCUAGUUCUUUUCAAAGCUUAACAAACUAAUCAACCUCCAAUAGGCUAAGAACGCACCUCUUUUCUUUCACAAUUUUUUUCUUGUAGGAGUGCAAAGCUUAAAGGCAUUCUUUUCUAAAUUGUCCAUGUAAAGGGGGUCCAUCGAUGACUCCCAACCAAUUAAGGUUUAGGGCAUCAAGCUUUAAGGAUCUUUCAACCACUAACUCCUCGGAUUUUACCCCGGACUUUUGAGAAUGAUUUUUAAUACCCAAGCACCUACAACAUGUUAAACUCCACCUAUUCACCCUUGUAACGAGCAUUGAGGUCGGUGACUCCCAACCAUUGAAGGCUUAGGGCACCAGGUUUUAAAGAUUUUCACCAUAUACCCCUCAGACCUUGCUCGGGUUUCAAGGCAAGUAAACAUUUUUCUUUCUUUUUUUAUUUUUUUCAAAGACUCAUUGGCCUUUUACAAGGUGUCCCAACACUAUUAAAUGAGGUCAAAGGUACCAAGUCUAAAAUUUUCCUAAGUCAAGAGGGAAAUAGUUUUUCAUCUUAUAAACGGAACCUAGUGUGCACGGUGUGUGAUAAGCUUAAAGUGGAAGAGAUAAGUUUGCAUGCAAUGGGAGUUUCAACAAUUCAUCAACUUUUAGAAGAGCAUAAUACAAACUCUAAGACUCAUGUAAUCAAGUUGAAACUCAACUUCUCUCAUUUAAUUUUGGGAGUUAAUCCUUAAUAUCCAUGGAGUUUAAAGCAAAAAUUUUAAAAUUUAAACAAAAAGUAGCUAAUUUAACUAAGUAUGAUAAAAAUUUAAACUAAUACUUACUUCCUCAUCUCUCCCCCCAACCGAGAUGAACAUUGUCCUCAAUGUUUGAAUCGAAAAUAAGGAGGAAGGAAGUGGUACCUCAUGUGAUGUGGACUUGGAGUUGAGAAGGUUGAACCACCUGUUUCAAAAUUCAAAAAUUGAAUGAGAGAGGAAUUUAUACUAAAUAUUUACAAAAAUGAUGAGUGGGCCCCACUUUGAGCAGCUGAGGACAAGGCUCAAAGGGUCCAUGCCAUGAUGGUAUACUGAUAUAAGUUGCAAUGACAUUUGAAUGUAGCUUGCAGGGGUGUUAAAAUUGGAGAUUUUUGGCUAAAACAAGGGAAGCUUAAAAAUUCGCACAAGGGGGGUGUUGUGCGAAAAUUUCGCAGAAGGGGGGGUGUUGUGCGAAUUUUUCGCACAAGCACUAUUCAGCCGCCCAAAUGCAAAAUUGGAUUCUUUCAAAUGGUCAUAACUUCUUCGUUUCAAAUCCAAAUCGCACGCCGUUUGAAGCACUGGACUCCUGACUUCCUAAGCUUCAAAAAGAGAUAUGGUAUGCAUAAUUUGAGCUCCAGAAAGUGCUCCAAAAACGUGUCCAACAGUAGCAAAAUGGGGUGAAGCUGCAACAUUCCCAUUCAGCUUUGCACAGUCGUCUUCAAACGGCCAUAACUUCUUCGUUUCAACUCCAAAUCGAGCACCGUUUGAAGCUAUGGACUCCUAAAUUCCCAAGCUUUGAAACGAGAUAUAGUACACAUGAAAUGAACUUCGGGAAGUGAUCGAAAUGUUCCCAACAGUUGCCGAAAUGGGGUGGUGCGAAUUGCUCUGUUUUGGCUUUUCUCCCCUGUUUUCCCUUGUUUUCACCAUAACUUCAAUUUUUGCAAGCAUCAUACCUGCAUGAACACUUCAAAACUCAUCUUAAAAACAUAUUAAAACUAAAUUAAAGCUAAGAAUUCAAACUAAAACAUGCAUAAAUUUAAAGAAAGCAUAGAAUUUAAAUGAAGCUGAUAGCAUGUACCCCAAAAAGAAGAUGAACUAUUUAGCUCAUCCUCACUCACACACCCACUUCAUGAUGAAUUCCCCCUGGAUCCCAAACAAAAUUGGCAUCCUUCCCAUUUGGUCCAAGGGAAUUCGUUUCUCUUCUCUUCCCUGGAGAAGUGGAUGCUUUAAAGGAUUCAGGUAACCCUUUAUCAUCUUGAACCUNNNNNNNNNNNNNNNNNNNNNNNNNNNNNNNNNNNNNNNNNNNNNNNNNNNNNNNNNNNNNNNNNNNNNNNNNNNNNNNNNNNNNNNNNNNNNNNNNNNNNNNNNNNNNNNNNNNNNNNNNNNNNNNNNNNNNNNNNNNNNNNNNNNNNNNNNNNNNNNNNNNNNNNNNNNNNNNNNNNNNNNNNNNNNNNNNNNNNNNNNNNNNNNNNNNNNNNNNNNNNNNNNNNNNNNNNNNNNNNNNNNNNNNNNNNNNNNNNNNNNNNNNNNNNNNNNNNNNNNNNNNNNNNNNNNNNNNNNNNNNNNNNNNNNNNNNNNNNNNNNNNNNNNNNNNNNNNNNNNNNNNNNNNNNNNNNNNNNNNNNNNNNNNNNNNNNNNNNNNNNNNNNNNNNNNNNNNNNNNNNNNNNNNNNNNNNNNNNNNNNNNNNNNNNNNNNNNNNNNNNNNNNNNNNNNNNNNNNNNNNNNNNNNNNNNNNNNNNNNNNNNNNNNNNNNNNNNNNNNNNNNNNNNNNNNNNNNNNNNNNNNNNNNNNNNNNNNNNNNNNNNNNNNNNNNNNNNNNNNNNNNNNNNNNNNNNNNNNNNNNNNNNNNNNNNNNNNNNNNNNNNNNNNNNNNNNNNNNNNNNNNNNNNNNNNNNNNNNNNNNNNNNNNNNNNNNNNNNNNNNNNNNNNNNNNNNNNNNNNNNNNNNNNNNNNNNNNNNNNNNNNNNNNNNNNNNNNNNNNNNNNNNNNNNNNNNNNNNNNNNNNNNNNNNNNNNNNNNNNNNNNNNNNNNNNNNNNNNNNNNNNNNNNNNNNNNNNNNNNNNNNNNNNNNNNNNNNNNNNNNNNNNNNNNNNNNNNNNNNNNNNNNNNNNNNNNNNNNNNNNNNNNNNNNNNNNNNNNNNNNNNNNNNNNNNNNNNNNNNNNNNNNNNNNNNNNNNNNNNNNNNNNNNNNNNNNNNNNAACAUAUUAAGGACCUUUGCAAUCACUUCUAAUCACUUUGUGUAAGUUUUGGUGUUUUUGUUAGUAAUUUGAUCACCAAGGCAAUCCAAGAUGGAGGAGAGUUAUUUGGAAUCCAUGGCAAAGCAAUGGAAAGCUCAGAAACAUGAAGAAUCAGAGCUUUGAAGCCUUAAAGUCCUUUGUCAUAACCAAUCCGGAAUGCAAGGAGGAGAAGUAAAGAGAGAAUCUACCUUGAAGCAUCCUUGAUGACAGUAAUUUCAGCCACUUUUGGAGUACUUCCUGAAGUCCAAUUUAUGCAUGAUUUAUGUCGUUUCGAAGAUCGGGAAGUCAACAAUCCAAUUCUUCAAACGGUUCGCAAAUCAGAGUUGAAAUGAAGAAGUUAGAGCCAAUGGAAGCAGAUCACUCCAAGCUGAAGGCCAAUUUCGCAGGGCUGCGAAAUCAGCCUUUGGCUGCGAAAUCAGCCUUCGGCUGCGAAAUUUCGCAGCCAUUUUGUGCGCCUGCGAAAUUCUCCUGAGUGCUUCCAGAUAUUUGCAACCAACGUUUUUGGAUAUUUUGCUUCAGAUAUUUGUUGUCUAGAUCCCAAUUCUCUCCUUGUAAUCCACCAAUUAGAUGAUUCCUUAGUUGUUAAGCAAGAAUACAGGGGUAAACAACCUGUUAUAUAUUGUUUUGUAAUUUUCAUUUUAAAACGGUCGGGGAACUUUCCCCAGGAGACCAACUUUUGUAAAGUUUACACUUAGCUAAAUACAGAGUAUCUUUUGCUUUCUUUUUCUCUCUACUAUUUUCUAUUUUCUUAGUAGCCAAACAUCCUUGGAGGAUGAAAUCCCCAAGGAUGAGAGGCUAAAACCUUUUAGUUUCUUGAAGUAAUGGAUGCCAUGUGAAGCUCCCGUGUCAGGAUGGAGAUUUCCAAGCCAUGAAUGUAAGUAGCUGAGCGUCAUAAAUGUUUUCAUUCAAAGUAAAGCUUUUAAUCCCUCUGACUUGCUUUGAAUGGCCAAUACUUGAUAACCUUUUGGUCUCAGUGGAUUCUUAUUGUUAGAUCCACUGAUGUUCAUUAGUUAUCUCCUACGAGCCAUUGUAUUGCAAGUCGAGGAGAUGACCUAUAUCAUUAAAAGAGCAUUUGUGAGGUUCAGCUACCCUUUUUGUAAGUUUUGAAGGACUAAAACUCAGUUGUUAAACACAUACCGGUUCGGGAAGUAAGCAUCACCUGAGUUGCUUCCCCAACUCGAGGUGAAAAGUUCCAAAAUCUCCAUUUUUACACAGUGAGUUAAGCAUGGCUAUCCAAAGCUUUGAGAAACUUCUUUUUCCAUCUUUUAACCUAUUUUCAUAUUAGUUUAGUUUACAACACCUUCAUCUUUUUAUGUUUUCAUCUUAACCUAAUUUUUAUUAAGAAAAGUUCACUCCAUCCUCCGAACUUCACCAGUUAAAGUAAAAACCAUUCCCAGUGUUCGAUCCUAGAGCCACUAUGCUAUAGUAGCUUUGCUACUUUAGUGUAAGGACCUUAGGUAUAAAUUUUGUUGAUACCCUUACAUGCCAAGCUACCAAGAGUCAGGUUAUCAUCUACCUUACCUUCCGAGUGCGAGAAAUUUCCAUGGGAUUGCAUCCCAGCCAUCACAUAACAUCCAUACUUUGAGAAACUAAAAGUUUUAGCCAAUCAUCCUUUGAGGAAAAGCCCUCAGAGGCUGUUUGGCUACUAAGAAAAUAAAAUAGUAAAGAGAAAAGAGAGACGAGAGAGCUCUGUGUAAAACGUAACACGCAUGUUCUAUAUUUUCCAAGAGGUGAUUUCCACCCCUUAUAUAGUCUUUACAAAAGCAAAAGCUUGUGAUUGGUUACUUACAAGGAUAAGAAAGGAAAUUACAUAAAAAAAUACAUAAGAAAAUAUCUAAAGUGGAGUCGGCAAAAGCAGAGCAAAAUUCGCACCACGCAUGGGUUAUGCGAAUUUUGAAGGUGUUAUGCGAAUUUCGCAUAACACCUUGUGUCGUGCGAAAUUUUCGCACAACCUGGAGCAGUUGGCUUCCGAAGGCCAUAUCUUCCUCAUUUCAGCUCCAAAUCAUACACGGUUUGAAGCGUUGGAUUCUUGACUUCCUGAGCUUUGAAAUGGUAUAUAGAAUGUAAAAAAUGGACUUCGGAAAGUGCUCCAAAAGUGCGAAAGAAGACUGCAGCUGCUGUCCUCUUUGCUUCUCUUCACUUUGCUUGCUUUUCCUCUUUGCUUCUCUUUGCUUCUCUCCUUUACUUACUUUGAACGACUUUGGAAAAGGGCUAUGGAGCUCCAAAGCUUGGUUCUUCAUGAAUUUGAGCUUCCAAAAGCUUUGCCAUAACUUGUCCAAAUAGCUCCUCCAUCAUUUGGCAUGCUUGAAUUGAUUCAUAAGCUGAUAAAAACAUGUAAACUUGCCACAAAAUGGUUAAAACCAAUUACUAAGGACCUUAAUGAAUUAAUUGGGUUAAAUGAAUAUGAUUACUACUCAAAGGUGCUUAAAACCAUUAUAAUUAGGUCUACAAAAUAGCACUUUUUGGUAGUAACCAUAAACGUAAAAAAAAAAAAACAGAAAUUAUGCACGAUUGCUUGCACCCACCUCAUGGAUGUCAUAACAGCAUGCCUUAUCUGCUGAAACUUCCUCAGGCCUGAAAAAUCUUCUUACUCUACCCAAUAUAAUCUUUUACAGUAAUAAGCAAUUGAUAACAAAUUUACAUGGAGAAGUGAGGACCCUCAGCUAGUUUCACCCCCAUGACCGUGACCCAACAACUCACCCAACAUAAUAGUGUGGAACGGUUUUGAAAAUGGUCGCCACUGUGUUGAGAGUGCUCGAGCAACUUGUUGCAUAGUUGGCCGAGACUGGGGAUUAACACGCAAGAAUGCUAAUGCCAACUUCACUGCAACCACUACUUCCUCAGCCACUUGAUUCACUAGAGGUGAGGGGUGCUGGUCCAUCACAUCAUUUAAUAGGAGAUGGUCCACAAUUGAUGAUAAUGGUGAUGAUGAGGACAUUGAUGAUAAUAGGGACGAGAUGAGUUCUCCAAGAUGCCUUCCCAUAAUUACUUCCAAUGUUACAACACCGAAGCUAUAAACAUCGGUUUUAUUAUCCACCUUCAUCGUAAAAGCAAGUUCUGCAAAGAGGAUUAGAUCAUGCUCUCCUAAGAUAUUAUAAAAGUUACAUAUGACAUGUAGAGGCCAUUUAGAGAUAAGAAAGGCACUAAGAAAAAUGUACCUGGAGCAGUAUAACCAAAAGUUCCUGCAAAUGAAGUCCAAUUAGAUGAGUCUGACUUUAAAAGCCUAGUCGUGCCGAAGUCAGAAACAUAAGCUUCAUAUUCUGAAUCUAACAAAACAUUGUUGCUCAAUAUGUCUCGAUGAAUUAUAGGAGGUGAGCAAUCAUGGUGCAUAUAGGAUAGAGCUUUAGCCAUGCCUUUAACAACAUUUGGCCUCACAAUCCAAUCUAAUUUUUCUGCUUCUUCAUCGUUGCUUAGAAUGUUUCUCAAGUUCCCAUUUUCCAUAAACUCAUAAACCAGAAACGAGUUCUCUGCAAAUGAAUAGAAGCUAUAACGCUUGACGAUAUUGUGAUGCCUUAUCUGUGUUAAAGCAUGAAUCUCGCUUUUGAAAGCUUUCAAAUCAUCCAUAUCUCCAUCUUCUGAUGAGUGAAGAUUUUUCACAGGAACAACCCAACCUGUUAGCAACUCAGCCUUGUAAACAGUACCAUAUCCUCCAAUGUCAAUACACUGUUUCAAACUGAAAUUGCUAGUCCCCUAUAUGAUGUGCUCAUACAACAAUUCACCAUCAUGGCCCCAUAUUGCAAAUAGAUCUUCAACAUCUGCUUCUGGAGAGUUGGUUUUUCUCUUCCUCGAUUUUUGGAAAAGAAAAUAAAUGCCAAUAAUAAAAGCAAAUAAGAAUAAUAGAGUUCUCACAGUGAGAAGUAUUAUGACCAAAAUAGAAAACUUGUUGGCCUUCUUUUGACUGGCACUACAUGGCUUGAGAUGAGUGACAUUAUUAUCACAUAGACCUUUAUUAUUUUUGAAUGCCUCAAAUGGAGCAAAGGCUUUGAUGUUGGGGAGAGGACCUUCCAAUUGAUUGUAGGAUAUAUCAACAACUGUCAAACUUAUCAAAUCAUCAAACCUAUGUGGGAUGGUGCCAGAGAGCCCGUUGCGGGAGAGAUUCAGCGUUUCCAGGUUUUGUAAUUCUCUAAGCAGCGGUAGCAUCUCUCCUAUCAACAUAUUUUGACUGAGAUCAAGACUUUCAAGAUGAUGCAUAUUUCCAAUUUCAUCAGGAGUGCUAUCCACAAAUCUAUUCUCGCUCAAGUUCAAGGACAAUAAUUUCCACAAGGUUCCUAGUUGUUUGGGAAUUGGACCGCUUAAGUUGUUUGAUGCCAAGUCAAGGAUUUCAAGAUUAGAUAAGUUUCCCAAUUCCAAAGGAAUACUUCCUAAAAGAUUUUUGUUGCCUAGCAACAAUUUGAACAACAAGGGCAACAUACCUAAUUCUUUUGGGAUCUUCCCAAUUAGAUGAUUUGAGGAGAGAUCAAGUUGUUGUAGUUGAAUUGUUUUCCCAAGUUGAGGUGGUAUAGCACCAGAAAUUUUGUUGUUGGAGAUGUUCAGGUUUGUGAGCAUGUGGCACUACUCCCAUUUCUCAAAAGGCUCACCAUAAAAAUUGUUACUCCUUAGAUCAAUAUAAUUUAGGUCUAGGUAUACACCAAAACUUUCAGCUAUGUCUC
Molecule: long non-coding RNA, 149434 nt
Filed under: Vitis vinifera (wine grape)
Lineage: Eukaryota; Viridiplantae; Streptophyta; Magnoliopsida; Vitales; Vitaceae
Description: long non-coding RNA (VVIN_LNC003922)
Source: RNAcentral